GAUAUUCGUUUGGUUAGGGGAUAGGGAUAGGAAUAGGCCCUUAUCCCCCUUUUAUACCCAAACGCUAAUUUUUUACCCGAGAAUAGUAGUUCUCGGUUAUCCCCACCAACAUCUCCAUUUUCUAUAUAAAACUAUCUAAAAUUGUUCUUAUCCCCGGGAACAACCCAAUUUUCAUCCAAACGCUAUUUUUCUUAUCCCCAUACUUGUACCUAUCCCUGUAAUAGCUAGUUCUUACUUAUACCCGAACCAAACGUACAAAAGUUUUGAAAGACAUAUUAAAUAUUUAUUCCUAUAAAGAAAUUAUUUAUGUAGCACUUAAAAAAUGGGAGGGAUUCGGGGCGGGAGGAGUUCCCCCACCUCCCACCUGGAUUUCUUGGUGGGUCGAGGCGAAUUCGAGUUGGAUUAUUUAUCAUAUUUUUUUGCUCCUAUUUACCGUUUUAUUUAUUUAUUUUUUUUUGAGAGAAAUGUAGCAUACUAUCCGCUUUGUUUAUUUUUUUUUAGAAAUAAAUUUAGCUGAAAAUAUGAAUCAAUUAGGAUUUGAAUUUGGGACCUCGGAAACCAACCACCAAGCUCUUUGCCACUUGCGCUAGAAUGGUCAGUUACUUACAGUUUUAUUCGGAGCAAAUCAGAGUGGGGGCAAAUCAAGUGAAGAAAGGAAUUGCCUGCAUCCCACUCCAUUUUCUUACCGAAUCGAGGCGGAUUCAUGAUGAAUUAUUUUUUUUCUUAUUUUUGGUCCCCACUUACCACCCGAUUUAGGGUGGAUCGGAGUUGGGAGCUCCAUCAAUCCGGAUUAGGAAGCACCUCGUGUUAAUACAAAUUUUAUCAAGAAUCAUCGCAUGUUAUCGCAUGUUAUUGCAUCCAUCGACACAGAAUUCUUAUCGAAAUCUGCAUCUAAGAAGUGAUAAUCUAUUUAUUACUGUAUACUAAAGGACGUGUAGAUGUUCUCUUUAGAUGACAUAUUGUACUGUAGACCAUGUAGAAAAAUUAUAAUUUUAAAUUUUAUUCGAUUUAUUUGAAAUAUAUACUUUUUAUUAUAUAGACUUUUGAAUGUUAUAGAAUACAUUUGAAAAAUUAGUUUUAAGUGUUCCAUUUUUCAGAGUAGGCAGUACAAUAAACCAUGCAUAGAAACAUUUCUUACACUUGGUGCACCUCCCCCUGUUUGUGAAAUUUUCCCUACACCGGGUGCAUAAAUAUAUGGCAUAUAUCAUUUUUUAAAAUACAAUGAUAAAUAUCUCGAGAUCAAAAUUUUAAUUUAUGAAUAAAAUAUAUGAUGUGCAAUGAGCCUACAUAUCAAAUUAUAAGAUUUGGCCAUUUUGGAACGAUGCCCAUUAAAAAUUAUUUUUUCAGUUUACUUAUGUCUUAAUAAUAGAUUUUUCAAGUCAAGUAAUUUUUUAUUUAUAGGCCUUUGUAAAAAAAUAUAGAUCGUACAGAGUUGGAACUCCUAUGCUUUUAAAAGCACAGAAUCAUAACAUGCUUUCGAUUUUUUAGCCAUCAGAUCGCCUCAAGAUCUGUGCAACAGUAAUAAGGAUGACUUAACGAGACACACCGUUAAUAACGUUGCACGGAUUUUAAGGCGAUACGACGGUUAAAAAUUCACAAGCACGAAUGCUUAUGUGCUUUUAAAAGCACAGGAUCUCAACUUAGAUCGCACAUAGAACUUUAAUUUUAAGGCAUUAACCAUCAAAAUCAAAUACGGUGCGUUAUGUAUACAAUUACGCCAAAUCUUUUUCCUCUUAUCCGCUGCGAAGUGCGGGCUUAGUGCUAGUACCGUCAAGCUAGCCUAAUCAGUGAUCAUAACAGGAAAAUUAGGUUAAGGUGUUAAACUGUCAAAGUGAUAAAAACUUGCAAAAUUUUCAGCUGUAAUGUUCUUAAACUUGAGAGAGAGAUUAUUUGAGGGCAAAAAUACUCAUAUGAGAUUUUGGUCUGUCACAUCUCACAUGUGCUUUGUGAGCUGGGAGUUCUUGCACCUGAAGCCAUGGAAAAAGGGCAUGUGGUUGCAUAGGCACAUUUCAAUCUAUCACUUAGAUUGGCAACAUCCCACCUAUUUGAAAGUUUUAUAUGUAGUGCAAUAGAAGCAACCCUAGCUCUCAUCUUUAUCUCUAAGGUAAACCACAAAGUGACCCAUCACCUUUCUCUCAAUGCUAUUUGUGUGGUUUUUUACUUGUCCUUUUUGUCAAGCAAAAGAUACAAGAAAAAUGUGCCGACAAACUUUCAGUUUUGAUGAUGAGACCUUCUAAACUCAUUGAAUAGUUCAGUAGGCCUCGUUUCUCGAUCAAGAUUAUUAAUUACACAGUCAUUUUGAUCGCAUGUUUUUGCAUAUAAUCUUUAUUUUCUCCCUUUUUACUAUUGAGAACUAAGAGUGAAGAUUGAAGAGUAGGGCAGAUCUUUCUCCGUUUUUUAUUUAUUGCGUCCUUCGUUUGUUAGGAUAGAGAAAAUGAAUUUCAUCGCAUUUUGAAACUAUAGGAAGAUACAUAAAAGAGGUGCGACCUAAACAGCUUUAUAAUUAGUUAAUUCAAUCGAGAAGAGGAGUUUGUUGAGUUAUAUGAUAAUGUUUACUAGGUUUAAUUGGAAGAAACUAAAAGUUCAGGAGAACUUCAUACAGUUUUUCCAAGAUCAAAAGAUGGAAUCUUCAGUGGUUUAAAUUUCGAUCUUCGACUAUAAAAAAUGAGCAUCAAACACUGCUAACAAUUGAGUCAAUAGAUGCAUGCAAAAAUGAGCCUGUUCUCCUGUUACCAGUUGCAUUUAGCUAUUUGCUUUUUAGUUGCAUCAAACAGAACCAUCAGCAGAGCAAACACUUAAACCAUUCUUAUUCAGCAAAUGCAAAAUUUCGAACUUUAGAUAUGCCCUUCUUAUACAAUCAUGCCUCUUCUACAACAAUCUAGGAGUGUAAUUUUACAUAGGGAAGUGUCGCAGAAAAAAUAAUUUCCAAAAUAGAACACAUAAACCAACAGGACCCAAUAGUGUUAGUCUUUCAGGAUUCGGAUUCAAGAACAACGAAGGAGACGAAAAUUGCACGAAUUCUUCUGUCCGGGAACACUUUGUCCUAAUCACUUUGAUGAUACGUCGCCGACCAACUUAAGGAUCACGCUGAAACCAAACAAGGAAAAUGUAAAGUGAUCAUUAACAUUUUUGCCCAAGCCUUAUUCACAUUAAAGAACACGAAAGAGCCUCCUUACCCACGUAAUAAUACUAUUGCCGCCACAAAUAUUUACAUAACAAAGUCGUCCCGAUUACCAUUCUCCUUACCAAUCAUCUACAUGACCGAAGCAAAGGACAAAAAAAAAAAUCUGCAGAAAGGAACAAGUAAAUUAGUACUCUGAACAUGGUGGGGAACAUUAAUGACUGAAUCAGAUCUUGAAAUCCGAAAAACCUGUAUUUGUUCAUUUUGUGUUAUACCUCUUAACAUAAAUUAAUCAAGGUUACACUCUAAUUUUGACUCUAUUGAGCUUUUGCUGAACCUUCGGUAGCUGCUGUUUCCUUUUUCUUGGACUGUUCCUGCCCUUUCUGUAGGACUGCUUUGUUCGGCAUGAGAACCAAGAAAAUGUUCCGCUCUCUGAAAUUUUUGCUCUCUUCAGUCGCAAGCUAGAAUUGCAAUUCAAAAACAAAUCAUUUUAGUGUAUUCAUCACCUUAGCAGUGGCCAUAUAGAGGAAACAAGUAAUCUUUAUUUUCUCAUAAAAAUCGCAUGCAAAUAGCAUCGUUCUAACAAAAAAUAAAUAAAAUAAAAUUCUGUAAAUUAGACCAAAUGAGGCAUGGCAAAACAAGCAAAACUUCAUAAGAACCCUCCUCUCAUUGUGGCCGUCACCUUGUUUCAUCAUCUUGAAACAUCUCUUAAGUCUCGAAGGUUUCGCUUACUUUGAUUUAUAAAACAUCGCAUUUCACAAUAAAGCAUACUAAUGUGUAAUGUCAAACCACAGAAAUUAUCUAUUAAAAAACUGAACAAAUUAAGUUUACUGAUAAGACUACUGCUUCUAAAAGUAUAAAAUACCCAUUUUUCCUAUGAAUAAAAAGGCAGAAUAAAAACGUUUAGCAGAAAGUGCGAAUCAUCAAGGCUUUAAGCAGUUCAUGUAGAGAUUACAAAUCAAGCAUCAGAGAAAUGAGGAAUACAGAUAAUUUUAAAUUGACGCAGUUCAAUACUAUAUGCAGAUGCUGAAAAUCGAGCCUCAGAUCUUUGAAAAUGAGAGUUAAUUUUAAUUCACAGUAAAUUACAGUGGAUGACUUCAAACUAAACAUAAUCCUUUUCUGUUUAUUUUUCAUGUUUUAUUUUAUUUGCUAGUUGAAGGUAUAGCAUCAGGAAGGUCUGAUGGGCCAUAAACAAGUGUUCUGGCCGAUGAAGAUAAACACUUUUGACAAACUAGAGUCCGGAGACAAAUGUUACAUUUUAUAUAUAGGUGAAAAGUUAUAGUACAAACACUAAGGCAUAAGACGUAUUGCACCCAUAAUGGUAAUGUAUUUCAAAAAAUUGCCUGUCUAUAUUCAAUCAUUACCUCUCCAAUAUCACUUUGAAAACGUUUAAGAAGUUCAAUAGCAAUGUUUCUGAAUUCAUUUUCCCGGCCUUUCAAGUUCACAAUGACCUUUACCUGCAAAAUGAAUUGGAAAACACAAGUUCACACAACAUAGCGAGAGGAAUGGUUUUAGCAUAGGUGAUAUAAACAAUUUCAUCAACCUUGUCGCCAUCUUUAAGGAAUUUUUGGGCAGCCCUCAGCCUCACAGAAUAGUCAUGAGAGUCAAUGUUGUACCUGAAUUGAAUUAUCUAGUUUAGCCAGCAAAACAUGCGCAGAAACGGACAAGGUACAUGAUAAUCCUUAUUACUACACUUCUAGCAAGUAUUCAGAUUAAAUCCUUAUUCUUCAGCCCUUUCUCUAAUUUAAGGCAGGAAAAAAGAUAAAUCAUGCUCAUCUUUGAUCCAUGAAACUACUAAGAUUUAAUAUCAUCCAGUUCUAACCAAAAUUCUGACAAUGCAGUGUUUAAUUGGGGAAUGGUAAUCAUGAGGGUAGGGAGUUAUAUCUAUAAUGAGAAUUUAUCUUAAGGUUUACCAUCCUCGUUAUGCUUGGUAGGGGAUAAUGGGGCUAAGGGGUUGCCCAGAGGAAUAGUGCAAUUCAAUUCCUACCUCAAGGAACUGCUAUUAUGUGAUAUCCGCAUAGUGUUUGAUGGAAUAACAGCGAUAUUUAACAUUAUCUUCACUCUUCUCCUCAAGCAAACAUUCACUAAAUGAUCCAUUAUAUUGCAAAUUGUAAAAAAGAAAACUGAAAUAACUAUUUUGAAAUAAAAUUUGCACAAGUUUGAUCAAGAACCUUAAAUAUACAAUGUCCAAUGAAACAAACAAAUAUGCAGUUAAAAACAAUCUGUAGAGCACCUGCAUGAUUGAUUGAUCCCUCUGAAUGCAGGUAUUAAGUAUGUGUAGUUUAUCCGACACGCUUUACAUUUUGGGGAGCACAAAGAUUCAUGAUUGUUAAAAAAAUAAAAAGGCAAAUCCGAUGCGGUAGAUUCAGAUAACUUUUGUUGUCAUUAUUGCCAGAGAGUUAAACAUAUAAAAUAUCAACGGCAGAAAACAAUAAGCAAGAAAAAUUUGAGAUGCUAAAUUGCUAAUAACUGACAGAAGUCAUACCCCAUUUUAAGCUCCUUAAUAUCCACUCGAUUUGCUGCAAAAAUAAAUGUGUGUAAGUAGGCGCUGUAUUUGCCAUGCUACAAGUAGAAAGGAGGAAGCAUGAUAUCCAGUAAAUUGUAUGGAGUAGCCUUCCAUGGAGGUGAAUUUACCAGCCGAUCUUUUCUGUUGCACCCUUUUCUUCUUUUGCUGUUCAUACUUGUGCUUUCUGUCAAAUAUUUAAUAUUUUGAUAUAUAAUGUUACAUUUGCAGUAGAGCAUAAUUCGAUAAAAUGGAGCAACAUAAAGAGUCGAUAGAUUGUUUGGUCAAAAUGAAGGUUACAUUACAACUUACGAAUCACAUAAGACACAGUAGGCAUUUGAGCAAGUAGAAAAUAAUGAAUUACUAUUGCAACUUAUAUAUAAAAAAAAAAGAAUUCCAAUUUGGCAACUACAAAAAUCCCACCCUUUUUUUCAUUUUUGCAAAAACAUAGCAUUUUUUUGGUUUGCAACUUUGGCCUAUUUUUCAACUUUUGCAACCAAAAUGUCCCUAUAUAACGCAGGGCAAAGAUAUUUGCAUUUGAAUGACGGAUGCACAAUUUGCAAAUUAGUUCAAGAAUAUGCAUCAUUCAAAACAGUGAGCUGUGAUCAUGCUUCAUGCAAUGGAGGGGCAGUGUGAUCUAAAUAAAUUAAAAGUGAACAUAAUUUGCAAAAAAAGAAAAAAAAUCCCCUUUUUUGUAAUCUAGUGAUGAGUAAAGAGUAAAUGAAAGGUAACUUUAUCAUGUAAAGACAUACUUGUAAUCCAUGUCGUCAAAGAGUCUGAGGACUGGGGGAUCCGCAUCUACUGACAAUAUAGCCUGAAACAAAACGUGUAUCAGGCAAUAUUCUAGCCAGUUGAAUUCCACAUUGUGAGACAUUGUAUCAGAACAUAAUGUACAUACUAGAAGUGAAAAACAAAAAUGAAAAUAUCGACUAAUUCCUGUUAAAAUUUUCUGAAAGUGCAUGAGCAUAGUGAUGGACUUAAAAGUACCAAUAUGGAGAGCUUAAUUUCUGAGUGUUUUCCUGUUUCUUGACAUAACCAUAACUUUUCUGUAAGGAUAAACCGUCUUUCAAUGCUAAUAUAUAUAAGGUAACGAAGAGGAAUGAGUGUUACAAGUUCUCAUGAUAAGUGCCUUUAAUAAUCUGCAGAUCAAACUAUCACUACAUAACUAUAUAACCAGGCUUAGAAAAAUAGAAAUGAAAAUAGACAGAAAUGACUCAGCCGUCGACAAAGCACAGGAAGUGUGUGAUGAACAUGUAGCAUAAGCAGAAUAAAGAUCAUUAUUUAGUAACAGCGAGAUCAAAACUUUUGCUGUACCAGUAUAAGAUCAGCAUCGUUUGCCAUUCGGAUGGCUUCAUUUUUGGACACUACACCAAUCUGCAAAGUAUAAAGCAAAUCGACUAAUUGAGAACUUAUUCUGCAGUACAGCACAAAAUAUAAAGCAAAACAUAAAGAAAAGGAACAUAAUAUACAACACGGGAAUAAGACUAAAUGGUGAGACUAACCAUAUUUUGCUGCUCAUCCAAAAGCCUUACAGUUGAUGACCUGAACUAAAACAAGUCAGUUCGAUUAGGAAGUUAUCCAUUAGAUGAUACUUUUAUACCCCCUUUAUCUACUAGCGGAAGAUAUCAAUUCAAUUAUGAAGUUAUCCAUUAGAAUUUGGACUCCUACAAAACCUUUUGGGAAACAAAGGUGAAACCAACACUUUAAUAGUUCUUGUCAAAAGUUUUAUGUUAAAUAUCAAGCUACCUAAUAAGACCAUCCUUCACAUUGUCUUCAUAGAGGCAAACCAACAAACACUUUAUAUCCAUCCCUUUCCGACAAAAUCAAACUUUGAACAUCAAAAAUCUAAACUUUAGGCCUCAUUUGACACCCCAAUUCCAUUUUUUUCCUUUUUUCUGUUGUUGUCAAAGAGGCAAACCAACAAACACAUCUCAGCAUCUUCUUCCACCAAAAUCAAAUUUGGACAAUCAAAAUCUAAACUUCAUGCCUCCUUUGAUACCAAUUUCGCUUUUUUGUUCCCUUGAACUCAAAUUCAAUGCAAUUGAACAACCCAAACAUAAAUCAAACCAACAAUAGCAAAGAUAAACGCCACAUACUUAACCCUAUCAAGAUCGAGCGCGGGAUCGUAGUCGGGGUCGGCGAUGCGAGCAUCCCCCUGCGGCCGCCUCGACUCGCCGUAGCCUCCCCCCGGCCGGUACCCUCCGCCGCCUCCGCCGUACCGCGCCACCACGGCCACCUUGGUCGCCGGGAAAACCCUACCCUCUCGAAUCGGCUUCUUGGGGAAUCGGACAAAGAACGAAGAACGGGAGACGGCGGGUUUCGCCCUAUGCGGCGCGGGAGUGGUGGGGGCCAACGAAGGAGGGGGAUUGAAGGCGAAAUCCGUGACUCUCGCCAUGGAUAGUGCUGCUCCAAAACUUCGCCGAGGAAGAUGACGAAGAUGACGACGAGGGGCUCUUCCCCGCUCAGUAGCCACGAAUUGGAGCGGGUAUAGAGAUUCUAGGAUUAGGGUUUGAUCGCAUUCUCAGCAGUAGAGUAGGGUUUGGGCCAUGAGAGGGGUAGAGAGAGAAAGAGAGACGUUGGAGGGAGAGGGGGAAUUUGGAGGAACCUUAUCUAUUUUCUCCGCCAUCAAUAGUGAUCCAAGUUUGAGACUUGGGAAACGAACUUGGGACUCGGGAAUCGUGAAGAGGGGAAAACGCUUCGAUACGGAAACAAUAAUACUCUUUUUAUGUUAAUUUCAUACGUGUCCUGUAAAUAUAGUGAAUGGUAAAUAGUUUCUAUAAAAUUUAAUUUAUAUAUAUUAAUUUUUAAAAAAUUUUAAUACUUUUAAAUAUGUUUCUCUAAUUUAUUAUUAUUAAAAAAUUAUUUAAAUUUUUAAUUUUGCAAUAACAAAUAUGUUCCUCCAUAAAGCAUAACAGUAUAGUAUAAGAGUGGUAAAAAUACCAAAUAUUAAUCAAAUUAAGUAUUUAACCUAUAGCUAAUUAAAUUUUCUAAUAGAUUCUAAUGAUAGGAACAUAUUUGAAAAUAUCAGAACUUUUAUAGAAACAAUAUAUAAAAGUUAAACUUUGUAGGGAUAUAUUUGUAAUUCACUAUAUUUGCAGGGACUUGUACGAAACUAAUCCUAAUAUUUUUAUCUUGAGACAGGCUACUAUAUUAUUAGUUGUACGGAAGUCUCCGUGUUCAAUGAUGCAUCUUCUGAAUCGACCACCAACUCUAUUAGAUUUGUUCAAUGAUGCAUCUUCUAAAUCGACCACCAACUCAAUGAUGCAACUUCUGAAUCGACCACCAACUCUAUACUAUUAAAAGUAUUUGAAAAUCAAUUUUUAUUUUUUUUUAUAUUAUUUGACUGGUGAUCAAAAGGUCUCAAAAUUGACAAGUUUAACGGCCGAUAUGAUGCGUUUGUAAAUUUAAUGAUAUAAACAAUCCAAAUUCGAUAAAAUAUUUAGGCUAAAUUACAGAAAACCUUUCAGUCAAAAUUCAAUUUUUCACUUUUUUUUCCUAUCAUUUAAAAAUCUAUACUUUGCCCUUUUGUAAAAUGAAAAAUGUUCACAGGAGGUACAGUGUGAACUGUGAUAACAAAAUGACUAUUUUGCCCCCCACCAUGUUCACUAAAAAAAAGACUGAGGGUAUUUUUGGCAUAAAAAAUAUAUAAUAAUAUUUUAUAAACGGAAUUCUAACGGAGUACUAACGGCAGAGGAUGAAGUAAAUAUUUUUUAUUUUACAAUGGAGCAAAGUGUAGGUUUUUAAAUGACAAGGGAAAAGUAAAAAAUCGAAUUUUGACAAUAGAGUUUUAUGUAAUUUAGCCAAAUAUUUAUAACAAAACCUUCACUAUUUAUAGUAAGAUCAAUAUAUCUGAUAUUAAAUUUAAAUUUUUUAUUAUUUUUUUUUAUAAAAUUUUUAUUUUUAGUCGUUUAUUCUUAGAUUACUCGUUUGAUGGAUAAUGAUGUCAAAAAAAUUAUGAAAUUUAGUUAAAUACUUUCAAUAGUAUUGAUCGAGUCUAACAGUGUUGAUCAUCGAUUUGAAGUCACAUCAUCGAAAGUAACUUGUAGUAUGGAGGCCUUCGUACUAUAGUAUAGUAGUCAGACUCAUUUUAUAUUUGUGAUUCAAAUUACUAUUAAUAUUGUAUUAUACUCUUUUUGGUUCUAUGUAGUAAUAAAAUAUCGAAUUGGUGUGCACGUAACGAUUAUACUAUUCUAAAAAUACUCUUACAAGUAAAUUCUAUAAUAUUUUAUUAAAUUUGUAAAAUAGUAAAGAAUUCGCUUGUUAAGUAUAGUAUUGCUCUUUUGUAUUUGUUUGGUUUUGGCACAUGUAGCAGUGUAAUGUGGGUUGAUGCCGAAAUUGAUUGGCCUAAUUUUUUUUAUUUUUAAAUUUUACUAUUUUUAAAAUUUAAAGUUUAUUUUUUAUUUUUUAAGAUUAGAUUUUUAAGUAAUAUUUUACUAUUUAUUCAGUAAUUGAAUUAUUUGUAAGUUCUAUAUAAUUAUUUAAAAAACAUUUAUUUGAAAUUUGAGUGGGUUUUAAAUUAUAUUUGAAAGAAAAAAAAGGAUUUAAAAAAUAUCAAUAAGAAAAAGUGAAAAAGGGUUUGACAAAGUACGUAUAUCUAAACAGUACUAUUAGAUUGCUCAUAUUUUAUAAUUUACUUUAUAAAUCUCUAUUAAUAAAAUUUUUAGUCAGUUUUAUUUUGAUCUUUGAACUUUAAGAUUGACAUUUGAGACUUUAAACAUUUAAAAUCAUUUCACCUAAAUUGCGAUCGCGAGAUUAUUGUUUGCAUGUGGUUCAUCAAAUUUUUACUGUGCCAUGAACUAAUAAGUACUUUGCUAUCCAUCUUACACUUUUAAUCCAAUAGUUCAUUUUUUAUGUAAAAGAAUUAAGGGCCUUCUCAAUGAGUUCUCACUAAGAUAAUUUGGUAGUCGUAUGAUUCAAACUGCUAGUGAAUUUUAAAAGGUUUGCUCCGUUCUCAGUAGUGGGAAAAAAAACCUUGAAUAAAAUGCCCUUCGUUCAACCUUAUUGCACUUUCCCUAAAGGAUAAAUUACAUAAAAUUUUUCUGUCAAAAUUUAAUUUUUUAUUUUUUCUUACUGUCAUUUAAAAACCCACACUUUGCCCCCUUGUAAAAUAAAAAAUGUUCACUUCGCCUCCUGCCGUUAGUAAUCUGUUAGGGUUCCGUUUAUAAAAUAUUAUUAUAUUUUUUUAUGCCAAAAAUGCCCUCAACCUUCUCUCCUGUGAAUAUAAUGAGGGGCAAAAUGGUGAGGGGGCAAAAUGAUCAUUUUGUCAUCAUAGUUCACACCGUACCUCCUGCGAAUAUUUUUUCAUUUUACAAUAGAGUAAAGUGUAGGUUUUAAAAUAAUAGGAGGGAAAAGUAAAAAAAUCGAGUUUCAACAGAAAAAUUUUUUGUAAUUUAGCCUUCCCUAAAUUAGUCGUUCAAUCUGAUGUUGAAAUUUGAAUAGAAAACUUUAAAAUUGAGAUAGACCAUUAAGAUUCACAAAUCACGAGUGGGGUGAAUUAUAUGACUCAUCAAACUGUCGUAAUAAAAAUUCAUUGAGAAGCUUCUCAACUAAGUUGUGCUAUCCAGUGGAUGGUAUGGUCGAAGUAGAUAAAUUUAUGAUACAUAAUGCAAGGUAUAUUCUUAGCAUGCGUGAUUCAAAAAUUUACAAUUAAUUAUUUUGCGCAUUAUUUUUAUUUUACUGAAAAAAAAUCUGCCAUCAUAUAGUAAAAUAAAUUCUUUUGAAAACCACAUAAUAUAAUGAUAAAUAUUCAUAAUAAAAUAAAAAUAAAAUUAUAAAAUAAUUACGUAUAAAUUUUUAAACUACAAAAUAACAAAAUAAAAAUACUCUAAACCAUCAAAUAUUUAACUAUAAUUUUUAAAUUAUAAUAUGGUAAAUCAUUAUAUAGAAAAAAAAAGGACUUUUUUCUUAUUUAUACCUAACUACUAUUCAAAAUUUUUAAAUUUAUUCUAAAAUUACUAACUAUUCUGUUACGACUCCACCUCGCCGCAACCCCGAUGACGACCUAGAUCCGAGGAUGGAUGGCGGUGAGGAAGAGCGUGGAGCUGGCUUAGCUAGAUCUGAUACUCGGGAGAGAGAUUGAUGAGAAUCAGAGAGAAUUUGAAAAGAAGAGAUCCAGAUCUGAGGGAAAAGAGGGAUUGAGGAAGAAGAAGAAGAAGAAGAAGAGAUUGGAAUUUGAAUUGAGAGAGUACUAUUCCAUUCAUACCCUUACAAUCGAAUGCCUCAGCUACUUAUAGCUACUGCUAAGGCUAAAAUUGUAAUUACAUUCAUAUGCAAAAAAUACUAAAAGCAAGUAUGGUAUUAAGUGGGCCUUGUUGGAUCCACCUCCCUACUGGUCCGGUCAACUCCACCCAGAUAGCUGGAUCUGGUGUACUCCAAGGUCUCCUCAAACCGGUUCAGGUAUGGAUAUUACAACCGCACCUUUAUUGUCCUCUUCUACUUCCCCUCUAUCCUUCGACAAUGCCCUAGGCCAUUCUCCAUGUGCUUCCUCCCCUUUCCUCCCACACUUGUAUUACAAUCCCUCCUCCAACCAAACAAUCCUUGUCCUCAAGGAUCAAAGUGAGGAAAUUGCUCCUUGAGGGACCCGUAGUCCUCCCAAGUUGCCAUGGUGCUCGGCAGGGUGCUCCAGGUUACCAAAACUUGCGCCUUGGACUUGUUCCCCUUUCUCACUGUCCUCCUCUCCAAGAUUUUCUCAGGCGCGGUACACAGUGUUUCUUCGUCCUGGCCGGGCGGUGCUUCUGGCGUGGCCUGUUUCCCCAUCGGUGGGCUCUGUUUGAGUAGCGAAACGUGGAAGACAGGAUGUACCUUGGACCCUUCGGGCAGCCGUAACCGAUAAGCUACUGCUCCUACGCGCUCCAGGAUUUCGUAAGGCCCAAAGUAGCGUGAGGUCAACUUAAGGUUCCGACGGGCCGCUACGGUUUGCUGUCGGUAGGGUUGAAGUUUUAAAAACACCAAGUCGCCAACUUUAUACUCUUUAUCCACCCUUUUUUGAUCUGCCAUUUGUUUCAUCCUGUUCUGCGCCUUGAGGAGGUUUUCCCUUAGGUCCUGAGUCACCCUCUCUCGUUCACACCCCCACUCCUUAAGUUCUUCUGUGAUACUCGAUUGUAGGUUGGCCACUAAGUAGUUCGGGGGAGCUCGACCAUAGAGAGCUUGGAACGGGGUGGUUCCGAGGGCUGUAUGGAAAUUGGUGUUAUACCACCAUUCCGCAUGCGCAAUCCAUCUGUACCACUUCUGUGGUUGCUGAGAGCACAAGCAUCGCAGAUAGGUUUCGACGCACCUGUUCAGUCGUUCGGUUUGUCCAUCGGUCUGAGGGUGGUAGGCUGAACCCAUCGCGAGCUUAGUUCCCAACAUCUUAAACAGCUCCCUCCAAAAUUCACUUGUGAAGAUCUUAUCUCGAUCUGAGAUGAUCUUGCUUGGAAGUCCAUGUAGCUUAUAUAUAUUAUUGAAGAAAGCCCGGGCCACAGUUUGGACAGUAUAAGGGUGUGCGAGAGGAAUAAAAUGCCCAUACUUAGAAAACCUAUCCACCACGACCAUUAUGGAGUUUUUACCUUCCGAUCGAGGAAGCCCUUCAAUGAAAUCCAUCCCUAUCUCCUGCCAAGCUUGUUGAAGUACAGGCAGGGGUUGUAACAGCCCUGCAUAGGGUUGAUUAUCGAUCUUAUUCUGAAUGCAUGUGGUGCAAUUCCUCACCAUAUCAUCUACAUCCUUCUUGAGACCCGGCCAAUAGAAUGUCUCUUUAAUUCUUUUAUAUGUGGCUUGUUGCCCCGAGUGGCCCCCUAAUGCAGAAUCAUGCAUCUGUCUGAGUACUCGGUUCCUCAACUCUUCUCCCUUCCCAAUGUAUAACUUCCCUUUGUAGCGUAGUAAGCCCAGAUCAUAUGUGUAACCUGUUACAUCAGCCUUUUGUGUAGUCAGCUGCUCAAUAAGUUUUUGACAAUCCCCAUCCUCCAGGUAGCUCUUCGAAAUCUCAGUAACCCACUCUGGUACAGCUGCCGAAAUGGCCUUACUACUUCCUUCUUCAAAGCCCCGGCGAGAGAGAGCAUCAGCCGCUUUAUUCUCCUUUCCCUUCUUGUACUGUAUUACAUAGUCUAACCCAAGUAACUUCAACAUCCCUUUUUGCUGUAUGGCCGUAGUUAUUUUCUGCUCAAGCAAGUACUUAAGGCUCUCGUGGUCGGUUCGGAUAAUGAACUGCCUCGGGCUAAGAUAAUGCCUCCACUUCGACACCGCCAUCAAAAUUGCCAAGAAUUCCUUCUCGUAGGUAGAUAACCCCAGAUUUCUUUUACUUAUUGUCUUACUCAGAAAGGCAAUAGGUCGCCCUUCUUGGGUUAACACUGCUCCUACCCCUUGGUCGCAAGCAUCAACCUCGAUGACGAAGGUUUUAUCGUAAUUGGGCAUCGCCAGUACAGGAGCCUCAAUCAUCAAUCUUUUUAGUUUGUCGAAGGCUUCUUGGGCACUGGAACCCCAGUGGAACCCUGAUUUCUUAAGCAACUCUGUUAACGGUCUGCUAAUGGCCCCAUAGCCUUUGAUGAACUUUCGGUAAUAGCUUGUCAAUCCUAAAAAUCCCCUCAGUCCUUUUAGAGUGGUUGGUAUUGGCCAUUGCUGCAUUGCUUCAAUUUUACUUGGGUCAGUGGCAAUUCCUUGCUGAGUAAUUAUGUGGCCCAAAUACUCGACUCUCUCCUGACCAAAGAAGCAUUUUGUUCUUUUGGCAAAAAACUUGUUUUCUCUCAAGAUCCUCAGUACCAUCUCUAAGUGUCGAGCGUGAUCUACUAUUGUUUUGCUAUAAACCAGGAUGUCAUCAAAGAAUAUAAGAACAAAUUUCCGCAGUAAGGGUGCGAAUACCUCAUUCAUGGUUGCUUGAAAAGUUGCUGGCGCGUUUGUUAGCCCAAAAGGCAUCACCCGGAACUCAUAAUGGCCCAAAUGAGUCUUGAAGGCUGUCUUGGGAAUGUCUUCCGGCCACAUCCUGAUCUGAUGGUAUCCUGAGCGAAGGUCGAUCUUUGAAAAAUAUUUAGAGCCACCUAAUUCAUCAAGUAACUCUUCAAUUAUAGGUAUAGGGUAUUUAUCCUUUACAGUGAUGUUGUUGAGCUGCCUGUAAUCAACACAGAAUCGCCAACUUCCAUCUUUCUUCUUUACUAACAAUACUGGGGAAGCAUAUGGACUUCGGCUUGGCUGAAUAACCUCAGUGGCAAGCAUUUCUCUAAUCAACUUUUCCAUCUCGUUCUUCUGUUCGAAGGUGUAUCGAUAAGGCCGCACAUUGAUCGGUUGUGCCCCUGUUUGUAGCGGAAUCCGAUGAUCUUGUGGCCUUUCUGGCGGCAGACCUUGUGGCUCUCUGAAAACAUCCUGAAAUUCUUGCAAAACAGUCUGAAUUGACUGUGGAAUAACUUUAUGCUCCCCUUCGUUUACACUGGUGAGUUGAGCGAGGGCACAGCAACUUCCUUCUAAGUACUCCUGUCUCCAUUGUUUGGCCGUGAUGCUUCUGAUUGCUCCCUUAUCUACCAAGCCUUUCAAUUCCACCUGCUUACCUUCUUUAGUGAUAGUAACCGUUUGGUUUUUAUAAUCGAAAGUCACGGGACCAUGCACCUUUAGCCAAUCGAUUCCCAAUAUCAUGCCCGACCCUUCCAACCUUAUCACUCGCAGGUCAGUCGCAUAUCCUUCUCCUUGCAUUUUCCACGCAAACCUUGGACACUUCAACUUACUAAGCACCUUCUGCCCGUUUGCCACUGUUACUGUCAAGGGUGUAGUCGUGGUGAUAGUCGCUUUGAUCUCUUUAGCAGUGUUUAUGUCGAUGAAACUGUGGGUACUUCCCGUAUCAACAAGUAUAAUGAAGGUCUUCCCUUUUGCUUCUCCUGGAAUCUUGAUAGUUUCUUGGGGAUUUUCAGCACUCAAUGCGUGCACCGACAAUCCGCAUUCUUCCACUUCCCUGAUUUCCUGUUCACUAUCCUCUGUCUCAUCUUCCAAGCAUUCUUCGUCGUAGAUCUCAUCAUAAAUCCCAGGGGUCUCGCUCGUAGCCUCCAUGAAGUGUAUGGUCUGUGUUUUGCACUGAUGCCCAAAUGAGUACUUAUCCCCGCAUUUGAAGCACAACCCUGCUGCUCGCCUUUGUUCAAUGAGUUGUUUAUUGACUGGAGAUCUCUCUGUGCUCUUCGUGGGUGCAGUCGAGCUGUUGCUUUUGGAAUUACUGCCAGAUACCACACUGCCUUGGUUUUUAAGCCAUAUCUUGUUCUUUUUCAUGACUGCCGCCAGAUUCUGCUCUUGUAAUCUAGCCAACUCGUAAGCUUGUGCGACAGACUUAGGCCUCAUCAUUUUGACUGCCGUUUUGAUUUCCUCUUUGAGUCCACUUAAGAAACUCGACAAAAAAUAUCCCUGAGCGAAUUGGGAGUCAGUAGUCAACAACCUGGAUCUUAAUUCCUCGAAUUGCUCUUGAUAUUCUUCCACCGUCCCUUGUUGUGACAACUUAUUGAAUUCCUCGACAACAUCGGUUAACCCGUUUGCAUCAAAUCGAUGGCAAACCUCUUGCACAAAUAUUUCCCAAUUAACUACUCCUUUUUCUGCAAGAAACCCAUGGAACCAUAUGUCGACCUUCGGUUCUAAAUGCAUACAUGCUAAUUCCAGUUUCUGAUGCUCUCGAAUGCCAUAGAUAUCAAAAUAUUUCUCACAUUUCCGAACCCAGCUUCUGGGAUUGCUCCCGCUAAAUAUCGGAAACUCCAAUCGAGGAAAUGGCAAGGUAUGAUUAACUCUAUUGAAUAAGUGGCAUGAAUUCAUGUCCUCACGUGAUGCUAAAGCAGGUGGGGUUGGUAAUAUACCUUUCUCUUCUUGUGCCAAUGACCCUGUGGUUCCCUUGGACGAAGAUCCCAUCGACUGGUUGAUCAUGAUCUCCAUUAAUUGCUCGAUCUUCUUUGCCGUACUCGCGGAAUCUUUACGCAGUGCUUCAUAGAGGUUAUGCUCUUCCUCCUUCAUGAUGUCUAUCUUAUGACUCAGCUCUUCGAAUCUUUUGUUGUUCCCCGUGGAUAACUCUUGGAACUGCUGCUCAAGGGAAUGGAUCUUUUCAUCGAGCACCUUAAGCCUUGUGCCUUCCGCCAUUGUCUUACUGACAAACUUGAAUCGGUUACUUCUAUCGGACCCGAUGGUUGCCUGAGGAAAUGACCCAACAGUAAGAUCUUCCCCGAUGAUGAUACCCUGGCUCUUAUUCUCUAAUUCUCACAAUUACUGGUGAUUGACCUUGUAAUCCAGACUCCUCCCUGAGGUGGAAUCAGAUUGCGGCCAAUUUCCUCCCUGUGUUAGCUCGACAGAUCUUCGAUCUGGAACUAACGUGGGAUUCACCAGUUGCUCCCUGGGACCGAGACAGCUCUGAUACCAAAUUGUUACGACUCCACCUCGCCGCAACCCCGAUGACGACCUAGAUCCGAGGAUGGAUGGCGGUGAGGAAGAGCGUGGAGCUGGCUUAGCUAGAUCUGAUACUCGGGAGAGAGGUCGAUGAGAAUCAGAGGGAAUUUGAAGAGAAGAGAUCCAGAUCUGAGGGAAAAGAGGGAUUGAGGAAGAAGAAGAAGAAGAAGAAGAAGAGAUUGGAAUUUGAAUUGAGAGAGUACUAUUCCAUUCAUACCCUUACAAUCGAAUGCCUCAGCUACUUAUAGCUACUGCUAAGGCUAAAAUUGUAAUUACAUUCAUAUGCAAAAAAAUACUAAAAGCAAGUAUGGUAUUAAGUGGGCCUUGUUGGAUCCACCUCCCUACUGGUCCGGUCGACUCCACCCAGAUAGCUGGAUCUGGUGUACUCCAAGGUCUCCUCAAACCGGUUCAGGUAUGGAUAUUACAACCGCACCUUUAUUGUCCUCUUCUACUUCCCCUCUAUCCUUCGACAAUGCCCUAGGCUAUUCUUCCUGUGCUUCCUCCCCUUUCCUCCCACACUUGUAUUACAUAUUCUUCCAAAAUUCAAUCCCUUUAGUGAAUCCUAAGAGAAAUGGAGAUAUUAGAAGGAAUUUUCUUAAAAAAUCAAUAAGAAUAUUUUGGUUUUAUAAAAAUAAAUAAAAUAUUUUUUAAAUUUUAAAGAUCAUAUCUAUUACUAUUACUAUUACUAUAUACUAAAGUUCUUGGACUAAUAUUACUGUGCUGCCACGUAUCACCUGACUGCUUCGGUGCAUCUGGUGCACCAUCGAUCACCCUUUCCUCAUCUCUCUCCCUACCUAUAUAUAUAUAUAUAGAGAGAGAGAGAGAGCGCGCUCCGUGCUACCGAUAGCAUAGUAGCCUAGUUCUAUAUAUAUAACUAGGCUACUAUGCUAUCAGUAGCACGGAGCGCUCCGUGUUACUAAGUUGUUUUUGAUAAUGCGGCUUCCAAAUCGACGAUCGGCUCCGUUAGACUUGAUCAACACUAUAGAAAGUAUUUAGAAACUAAAAUUCAUAAUUUUUUGAUAUCAUUUAUCUAUCAAACAAGUAGUCUAAAAUUGAACGGCUGAAGAUAAAAAUCUCAUGAAAAAUGAUGAUAAAAGAUUUAAAUUCAAGAUCGGAUAUACUAAUCUUACUCAAAAUAGUGAAAAGAAUUUUCUAUAAAACUUUCAUCGUAUUUGGAUUGUUUUACACCGUUAAACUCACAAACACACCACAUCGGCCAUUAAAAUUGUCAAUUUUGAGAUCUUUUGAUCACUAGUCAAAUUAUGUCAAAAAAAUUGGAAAUUUAGUUUCCAAAUACUUUCAAUAGUGUAAAUCAAGUCUAACGGAACCGAUCGUCGAUUUGGAAGGCGCAUCAUCGAAAGCAACUUGGUAACACGGAGCGCUCCGUGCUACCGAUAGCAUAGUAGCCGGACUCAUAUAUAUAUAAUACUAUAUAUAUAUAUAUAUAUAUAUAUAUGGAGAGAGAGAGAGAGAGAGAGAGAGGUAUACUAUCGGUAGUACGGAAGUCUCCGUACUACGAAAUUAUUUUCAAUGAUGCGACUUCCAAAUCGGCGAUCGGUUCUGUUAGACUUGAUCUCCACUAUUAAAAAUAUUUGGAAACUAAAUUUCGUAAUUUUUCAAUAUUAUUUGGCUAAUGAUAAAAAGGUCUCAAAAUUAACAAUUUUCUACAUUAUGGAUAAAAUAUACUAUAUUUGAAUAUUUAAAAGUGCUCACUCUCUCACUUUAAUCUUUAUUUAAUAUUACCGAUCGUCCCUAGAGCAAGUGGCAAAGGGCUUGGUGGUUGGUACCCGAACCUAAGUUCGAAUUCUAGUUGAUUCACAUUUCCAGUUAAGUUUAUUUCUAAAUAAAAUAAACGAAGCGGGUAGCGUGCUACCUAUCUCUAAAAAAAAAGAAUUAUUUAAUAUUUUUUUUUCUUUCUAAAUAAGAGAUAUUUAUAAAAAUUAGUAUUUUUAUUUGACUCUAUUAAUGACUUUACAUAAUGUAUAAUUUAUACUAAACUAUGAAUUCUCAAUAAUUUUGCUGACGUGGCAUGUUCUCCUUAAUUUAAAAUUUUUUAAUGUUUUGAUGUAUAUUUUCUCUCUCUUCUACCACGGCACAUCCUCUCAUCUCUGGUUUGCGCCUUCCUAUCUCCCCAAACAGCACGUCCGCUCAUCUCCCUUCUCCCGAAUUUUUUUUUUUUUUUUUCAUCUUUUAGCCUUCACGUCCCCCCAUCUCCCUUCCUCUCUCCCUCCUCUCCGCUCCCCUCUCCUCCCUCCCUAUCCCUUCCGUCACCCACCACCUCUCAUCCUUCACGACCUUGCCUCCUCGGAGGUCGUACAUCCUCAUGCCUCUUCUCAGGUUUUUUUUUCUACUCUUCCUUAUCCUCUCCCAUUCUUAUCAGAUUUUUCUACUCUCCUUCUCUCUCCCUCUCUAUCUCUUUCUCUCUCUCCCAACAAACCCCUCCUCUCCAUUUUCUCCCUCCUCCUCGGUCCUUCUGCCGCUGGGAACCACCUCCGCUUCUCGCUGCUGCGGACCCUAUCGGGGAAAAGCUCUGUCAGUCCAAUUGGGGCACCACUGCCGCACCCAUCUCCUCCUCCUCUGCCGCCGCCAGGCGACACCUCUAUGAGAGUUAUUGCUGAAUUUGUGUAGGAGAAAGUGAGGGGAUGUGAGCAAUGGCCGCGGCAAUGGCAGCACGGGGCUCCGGCAGUGGAAGGUUGGACAAGGAGGCGAUGGAUGCGGGGAACAGGUGAAGGUGCUCGAGAGCCAUCUUCCUCUUCCUUUUUUUUUUUUCUUUUUCCUAUUAUUUCCUUCAUUGCAAACAUUGGUUUUAUGGUUUGGUUUUAGGUUUGAGAGUUCGAAGAAAAGACGAAGGCCUUCUGCUGGUAAUUUGGUUGUUGGUAUUAAACUCCAAUUUUUAUCAUUAUUCUUAUGCAGAUUUGUAUUUUUUUGUGAAUUUUUUGUUGUUGAUAUCUCCUAAAAAUCCAAGUUUUAUCAUUUCUCUCUUAUGCAAUUUUUUUUGUGAGUUUCUGGGGUUGUUGGUAUUUUCCAAAACUUUGAUUUUUAUCAUUACUUUUAUGCAUUUUUUAAAUUUUAUAUUUGUGAAUUUAAGACGUAAAUUUUGAAUAUUAUAUUAUUGUUUAAUUCCUGUUGAUAUGAGUCAGUUUUAGGUAUCAAGUUGAGAUUUCUAUGUGAUUUAUAGGAAUUGUUUGAGCUGGGUUAUCUCCUUUGUGGCUAAAAAAUGUAUCUUUGUUGUUGGGUUGUUUGUCAUUGAAUCAUCUGAAUAUAGUUAUUUGUAUUUGUUGUUUAGGCAAUGAGGUUUAAGAAUUUUUUGUCCUUUUUUUUAGUUGACAGUGUGUGGAAAUACACUCAACUGUUUGUCAUUUGAAAUAAACCUCUCUUAUAAUUAAUAUCUACUCUGCUUUUGAUUAUUUUUAUAUACAUUAUUUUUAUCAAUCAAAUUAGAUGUUUCUGUUAAAUUCAGUAGUGAUUUUGUUAAAUUUAUCUCCCUUAACUUUUGCUUUCAUGGGCAGUUCUUAUAAUGUAUGUUGUACGAUAGGAUUUUUUUUUUUUUACUUUUAUUGCCUUAAAUUAUUCUUAAUAUCCCUUUGAAUGUUAUCUUUAAGACCACACUAAGCUGUUACUCAAAUAAAAAAUGCUUAGGAUGCUUUUUGUGUAUAUGAAAAGUAGUGCAAGGUAGAGAAGGAAAUCAUAUGCAAAGCACUUAGUUGAAUCUGUUUGUUUGGGGCCUACUGAAGCAAUGACCUAGAUACAUUCAUGUGUGAAUAGGUACACACAAAAAGAAAAAACUUCUAUAUAGGCGCAAAUAUAUGCACAGACACAAUAUUAGUAUGGAUAUAUGUAAGUUAUUUUCUGACCCAUUACUUGGUCCGUUACUAACCAAAAGUAAUCUUCAAUUAUCUAAAACAGGUUAAUCUUGCAUCGAUUAAUCCAGACAUUUUCGAAAAUGCCAAUCUUUGGUCUGGUCAAUUAGUGAAGCUUCUAGAACUCAGGCUUGUCCUAUAUACAAGACAAUUAAUAGAACCUGUUACAUACAAGUUUUUGCAGGAAUCCAGCUGGGCUAGCAAGCUAUACUCUGUACAAGUAUGGCAGCAUUACUACGGAUCUGGAGUCCUAUAGAUGUGGUACCUCACAAUAUUUUGCUUAAGCAUAUUCAAAUUUUUAAUAGUUAAUUACAAAUUUAAUUUUUGAUACUUGAUCGCUCUCUCAGUUUUGUACACAGAAUUUUAAUUUGAAUAAUUUAGUGCUGAAAUUUGUUCAAUGAAAUAAUAAAGCCUUUCAAUUAAUCUACGGUAGGAAAUUGGAUGACCAACUUAAUUUAAUUCCAACGUCUCAAUUUUGUCGUUAAUGAUGCUGAGAUUGUCAUGCAAUCAAUGGCAGAGUAUGAGAAUACCGGAAUUUCUACACAAAUAAUCUUCAAGGAUCCAAUUGCAGAAAUCAAAACCAAAAUAUGUGUUACAUGUUCAUCUCUCUUUCAGCUUGCAACGUUAAAUGGCUUGGAAUUCGAGGAGAUGAUCUGCAUCUUAUCCCUGAAGAGUUGUUGCUUGAGCUUAAACCACGUAUCUUCAAAUAGCUAACUAAAGAUUGGUAUGGUAGAUCGAGAACUAAAUAAUAGGGAAGUUAUAUCAACUUUUACCCAUGAAAGUAGGAAAACUGCAUUGAAAUGAACAAUGAACCAACGAUGGUCCGAGCAAUUUCCUUUGGGUUGUUGUGCAUGUCUUCAAAUAGCUAACUAAAAUUUGUGUGCUAUGUGUCAUCUCCAACAAUGUGAGUCUAAUUCAUCCUUUGAUUAGGAUUUCUUGGAUUUCUUUUGAGUGCUUCUAUUCUCAAUUUCUGUACUUGAUCUCUAAAUUAUGGCUUCUUUUGAAUUGAGUUUUUGGGAGUAAAUUUGUGUCUUAUUGAUAGUUAUUUGUUGAUCUAAAAAUAGCCUAAUUGAGAUCUUUUGCAUUCUUUGGGAUAUUACGAAAAGAUUUAAAAAAAUUUCUUUUUUUUGUUAUGGUUGUAAUAUAUAACUGUGAGAAGGGAGUUAGUGUCCUUUCUCUACGGAUGGACCUAAUCAAUAUUUUGUUAUCUUAUAGCUGGAAAUAUAUCUUUUCAUUUAAAUUUUAUUUCAAAUUUGUGCAUGUUUUAAAGUGCUAAGUGACUUUAUGGUGUCAAGACUUUGAUUUGUUCAUUUUUUUACUCACAUGUUGACUAGAUUUUGUUCUUUUUAAUACCUUUUUUUUCGCCUUUUGUUUGGUUGCUGCUAAAAUAUUUUAAUUACGUGAUGAUAAAUCUUAACAAAAGUGGCCUUUUAUUUAAUUUUGUGUUGGAUAUUGUAAAAAAUGUGAUCCUUUUACAGGUGUACCCAGAACUGCACAUUAGGAGCAAAAAAUUUUCCUGGGGGUGAGUGCCCUGAUACCUUAUUUUAUUUUGUCCAUGAUAAUUUGGAAUGGAUUGUAUAACUUGGCUCUGUGGUAAUUAUUGAUUGGAUAUUGUGAUAGUACACUGUUGAUUUAUAAGGUUUCAUUGUGCAAUUGUUAUCUAAUUAUAGGAAAAACUUUUGUCGCUAAGGGAUGGUUAGCAUACAAGUGUAAUUAUUAUCAAAUAUAGAGAUUAUGUUGUUUGUAAGAAAGAAGGCUUAGAUGAUUCUCUGUUGACAAUGAUACCAAGAUUUGAUUAUGGCGUCUAUUAUUGAAACAAUGGAAGGGCUCCAAUUGUUUUGAAUGUAAAAUGUUGGGCAAUGGACAUGUCAAGAGAAAUGGCAAAAAAUGAUGCAUCAUUCAUCAGAUGUUCAUCAAGUUUUUACGUCUCAUGAUCAGGGUAGAUUUGAUACUGAUUUGAUACUGAUUUUGGUUUAUUAAAUGUAUGUGUGAAUGCAAUGCGUUUUUAUUAUAGUGGUAGGACAUCUAUACAUAUGGUCUAUCACGAAUAUGUGUGAUAGUAUGUGGAAUGAUAUAUUAGCGUUGUGACCUUUGGCGCUUGAAUAGUAGCAUGAUUUCUUAAAUUUUUGUCUUUACUAUAGAUUACUUGAUACUUUCUCUUCAAAUAGAUAAACAAGAUGUUAUUGCGUAUUAAUAGUUAGGAGUUGAAAUGGGUGAUUGCUUAUUGUUGUUGCAUCUCUGCACCUCUUUCUCUCUAGAUAUGCUCAUAAAGACAUAAUAAAGCAGAUAACUAAGAUAACUAAGCACUAUGAAAAAACACUAAAACUAAAUGUUGCAUGUUACUGCAUCUAACUCUUUAUUUCUCUUGGUUCUUGCUAAAUUUCAAUAAAAAGAAUUCUUCUUCGGAUGAAUUAAGAGGACAAGAGUGUAACCUAUUGAAAAAUGUUAAUAAGCCCCUGUGACACUGAUUAAUGAACAUUCAUUCUGAUAUAACUAUUUUAAUAUUAAAAUCUUUCAUUUUUCUGUGCCACUGUGUACACAUUGUUCGUUAUCUUUUCUUUAUAAGUUAUGUUCCAUACAUCUACUCUUUAUUGUGCAUUCAGAUCUCCUAUUUUAAGUACUUAUCAAACAAUAAUAUAAUAUAUGUAUACAUUUAUACAGAUUACUGAACUUCUUCAAGCCAUAGGUCGCCGUAUAUAUAUAUAUAUAUAUAUAUAUAUAAAACUAUUUCUUUUAAUUUAUUGUGUUUACUGUUUGCUAAAAUAUAUUUUUUACUUAUUUUAUUUGUUUAUGAACUAAAGUAUCUUACAAUUUUGCUUUUUGCUUUUUUUAUAUAUAAAAUAAUAGUAUUAACUGUGUUUGGUAGUUCUUCUCUUACAACUUUCUCAUCCUUACAAUCGAUUUAGCAAUAAUAUGUGUACUAGCAAUUACUGUUAUUUUAUUGAUAUAUUAUUUUUUCUAUACUUUUUACUAAAUUAUUAUUUUAUAAUUUUUUAUUAAUUAAUUAUUAUAAUUAUUGUCCGCCGCAUCGCGCGGGGUUACUUAAGUAGUAUAAUAAUUGUGAACUUAAAAAUCGCACUCGCUGCAAAGCGCGGCGGCACUACCGUUAUACUUUCUCUACUGCUGUCUAGUUCCGUCGAUCGAAUCUCUCCACGAGUCGCCCUCUCCUUCAUUCCACCGAACGCAGAUAGGGGUGGAAACGAGCCGAGCUCGAGCGAGCUUAUGUCAGCUCAAAUUCGGCUUGAAAUUAAUUUCAAGCCUAAAUCUAGGCUCAAGCUCGGCUUGAAAUUAAUUCGAGCCGAGCUCGAGCGAGCCUAAUUUCGAGUCGAGCCGAGCUCGAGCUCUAAACGAGCCGAUUGAAAUUGUCAACAUUAUAUAAUCAAUAGUUUAAUUUUUAUAGAACAUUACCUAUAAUUUUAUGCAACAUGUUCAAUAAUUCAAAAUACAAAAUAAUUGUAAGAAAUGUGAGCUAGGGUGACUGCCUGACUAGGUGAGGGUCAGAGAGAGAGAGAGAGAGAGGGAAAAAAAUUGGGGAUUUGGGAAUUUGAAUGUUAUCAUGUUUUAGGGUUAUGUGCAAUAGUAAAAGUCUGAAAGAGAGAGUGUGUUAUGUAAAUUUAGAGUUGGGCUCAAUUGCACGGUUGUACUUGUUGGGUUUAUUUUAUGGGCCAACAAUAAUGGCCCAAAUUAAAUUAAAGCCUAUAUAUAAUUAAAAUACAUUAUAUAUAUAUAUAUAUAUAUAUAUAUAUAUAUAGAGAGUUGAGCUGGAAUACUAUCGGUAGCAAACGGGCUCCGUUGCCACCCAUUUAUUUUCGAUGAUGGAGCCUCCAAAUUGACGAUCGGUACCGUUAAAAAUGAUCUAUACCACUUGAAGUAUCUAGAAAUCAAAUUUCAUGUUUUUCCGAUAUUGUUCUCUCGUUCAUCAAGUGGGCGUAAAAAUGAACGGUUGAAAAUGAAUAUCCUCUAAAAAGUGAUGAUAGGAAUUUUGUAAUCAAGAUGGAGAGUGUAGAUCUUGUUCUAAAUAGUUUAAAGAAUUUUCUAACCAAAAUUCAAUUGAUUUGGAUAGUUUUACACCGUUAAACGAGAAAACACCUCACAUCGACUAUUAAAAUUACAAAUUUUGAAACCUUUGAUCAUUAGGUCAAUGAUAUCGAAAAUAUUUGGAAUUUAAUUUCUAGAUACUUUAAGUGAUAUAGAUCAUAUUCAACGGUACCGAUCGUCGAUUUGAGGGCUCCAUCAUUGAAAAUAAAUGGGUGGCAAGGGAGCCCGUUUGCUACUGAUAGCAUUCCAGCUCAACUCUAUAUAUAUAUAUAUAUAUUUUCGAGCUUUCGAGCUUUUCGAGCCUAAUUCGAACGAGCCGAGUAAUACUCAAGCUCGGCUUGAAAUGAAUUUCGAGCCUUUUAUUUUGUUCAAGCUCAGCUCAUUUAAUUUCGAGUCGAGCUCGAGCGAGCCGAAUAUCGAGCCGAACACGAGUCCAACGCGAGCCGGCUCGCUCAUUUGCCAGCCCUAAACGCAGAUGUCAUCUCGGUCCCCUCGCCUCCUCAUCCGACCGUCCAUCUCCAACCGCUUAUCUCCACCCUUCCUCCACCCCCGCGGGGCUUCCAGAGUCCGGCUUUUUCGUAAUUUCACUUCCCCCCCACCCUGGAAUCCUCUACUCCCUUCUUAUUAUUUAAUCUCCCCUUUCUCGGCCCUUCUUCUUCGCACUAUAAAGCAAGCUUGCUGAACUACAGUUCAGUCUGUCGGCUGUCGGCUACAAAGUUUUAAGAAAACUGUCGAUUUAUUGGUGCAACAAUUUUGCAAGAAGGAAAGAAUGGCGGGGGCGGGGAAGAAGGGGGGGAAGGCGAUAGGGAUCGACCUGGGGACGACGUACAGCUGCGUGGGGGUGUGGCUGCACGACAGGGUGGAGAUCGUGCCGAACGACCAGGGGAACCGGACGACGCCGUCGUACGUGGCGUUCACGGAGACGGAGAGGCUGGUGGGGGACGCGGCGAAGAACCAGGCGGCGAUGAACCCGCACAACACGGUGUUCGACGUGAAGCGGCUGAUCGGGCGGCGGUGCUCGGACCCGUCCGUGCAGAGCGACAUGAAGCUCUGGCCGUUCAGGGUGGUGGCCGGGCCGGGCGACAAGCCGCUCAUCGUCGUCGCGUAUAAGGGGGAGGAGAAGCGGUUCACGCCGGAGGAGGUCUCGGCCAUGGUGCUCGCCAAGAUGCGCGAGAUCGCCGAGGCCUUCCUCGGCCACCCCGUCGACGACGCCGUCGUCACUUGCCCCGCCUACUUCAACGACUCCCAGCGUCAGGUCUCUCUCUCUCUCUCUCUCUCUCACCAAUCCGGACCUGUUUACUGCUCGCAAUCCAGCUCGUUGUUCGGUUUCAACAAAUGAGCUCGAGAUCGAUGGUUUAAUAAACAAGACGAAUACAAACUGAAUUUUUAAGCACAAAAUCUUAAUAUUUUCCUCUUACUCUCUCUUUCUAUAUAUAUAUAUAUAUAUAUACAUACAUAGAGAGUGAAUUAUGCUAUAAAUAGCAUCAAGUUGCUGGUGCUAUUAAGUUUUCGAUUCUUGAAUAAAAAAAUAUGUGAUUAGAAUGAUAAUAAUUUUAGGUUGAGUGAAUGGUUUGUUGAAUAGUAUAAUUUAAUGGAUAUUCGAUAAUACUAAACAUUCGAUUAUACUAUUCAACUAAAUACCCACUCAACUCUAAGGAGCCCACAUCAUUCGAACCGCAUAUCUUUUAAUGUAAGGGCAGAAAACUUAGUAACACGAAGUCAUUGUUGCGAUUAAUAGUAUUUCAGCCUAGUUCUAUAGAUAUAUAGUCCGGCUACUAUGCUAUUAAUAGCGCGACGUAUUUGGUGCUACCAAGUUUUUCGCCGUUCGCCGUUAGAUCUAUUCUUUUAAUCAUUCUCACCUGUUAAAUUAUAUUAUUCAACCAACCACCCACUCAACCUAUGGAGCCCACAUCAUCCUAACCGCACAUCUCUAAAUCCAAUGACCAAAAACUUGAUAGCACCAAUGACUUGGUGCUAUUAAUAGUUAUUAGUCUAGUUUUAUAUAUAUAUAUAUAUAUAUAUAUAUAUAUAUAUAGUUCGGCUACUAUGCUAUUAAUAGCACGAAGUACUUGAUGCUACAAAAUUUUUCGCCGUUAGAUCUAUUCUUUUGAUCAUUUUUAUCCGUUAGAUCAUACUAUUCAACUAACCACCCACUCAACCAUAGGGAGUCCAUAUCAUCCUAACCGCACAUCUCUAACCGCACAUCUCUUAAUAUGUGAGUGAGUUGAACUAGAAUAUUAUGAGCAGUAAGUGAGUUUUGAUGUUACUGAUUUAUUGCUAUCAAUUUAUUUUUAAUGAUUUGACAUUCAAAUCAUCGAUGAAUAACAUCGUUGUACGUAAUUUAUUGAUUUAUUUUAAAAUUUGGUAAAAAAAUUAUAAAUGAUGACUUUUUAGAUUCAGCUUUGAAUUUUGAAUUUUGAAUUUUAAAAUUUUUUUUUAAAAUUUGGGUCUUGUUCGAUUUUUGUUGUAAUUUUCAAAGCCCAACGAUUUUGGGUUUGGAUUCAAAUUUUGGUUUCAGCAGCCGGGGUUCGGUUUGGGAUUUCGAAUUUUUAUCAACCCUGUUCCGUAAUCCGUAAUCGACUGGUUGAUAUUCCUACUCUGUUUUUCUAUCUAGCUGUAAUUUUUGUUAUUUUUUGGGACUACGUGGGUAAGCGACUACACUAUAUUUACAAUUGCAUACAACUGAUGAUACACCUACCUGCAGGCAACGAAGGACGCGGGGACGAUCGCGGGGCUGAAUGUGAUCCGGAUGAUCAACGAGCCAACGGCGGCCGCCAUCGCCUAUGGCCUGGACAAGAAGGCGGGGGGCCGUGCCGCGGAGCGCAACGUGCUGAUCUUCGACCUGGGCGGCGGCACGUUCGACGUGUCGCUGCUGACGAUCGAGGAGGGGAUCUUCGAGGUGAAGGCGACUGCCGGGGACACGCACCUGGGCGGCGAGGACUUCGACAACCGCCUGGUGAACCACUGCGUGGGCGAAUUCAAGCGCAAGCACAAGAAGGACAUAUCCGGGAACGCCCGCGCGCUACGGCGGCUGCGGACCGCCUGCGAAAGGGCGAAGCGGGCGCUGUCGUCGACGACGCAGACCACGAUCGAGGUCGACUCCCUGUACGAGGGGAUCGACUUCUACUGCACUGUAACCCGAGCCCGGUUCGAGGAGCUCUGCAUGGAUCUCUUCCUCCGUUGCAUGGAGCCCGUCGAGAAGUGCCUCCGGGAUGCUAAGAUUGACAAAGGCCAGGUGAAAGACGCACUAACAAACUAAUAAAUGAAAUUAAUUGUUAGAGCGGGAAAUUUAAUCUGAAUGUUGAGCUUGUGACUUUGGUCAGGUGCACGAUGUGGUGCUCGUCGGCGGGUCGACGCGGAUCCCGAAGGUGCNGCUCUGUUCAUGACGUUGUGCUUGUCGGUGGGUCCACCAGAAUCCCACGUGUCCAGCAGCUGCUGCAGGACUUCUUCAACGGGAAGGAGCUCUGCAAGAGCAUCAACCCGGACGAGGCCGUCGCGUACGGUGCCGCCGUGCAGGCUGCAAUCCUGAGCGGCGAGGCCCACGAGAAGGUGCAGGACCUCCUGCUCCUCGACGUCACCCCGCUCAGCCUUGGCAUCGAGACCGCGGGCGGCGUCAUGACCACUCUCAUACCGCGGAACACGACGAUCCCGACGAAAAAGGAGCAGGUCUUCUCGACCUACGCCGACAACCAGACCAGCGUGCUCAUUCAGGUUGUUUAACAACUAAUUACUCGACAAACUUACAUUGUCAGAAAACGGUUUUAAUUUUUCAUAUAUUUGACGCAGGUGUACGAGGGUGAGCGUGCGCAGACCAAGGACAAUAACCUCCUCGGCAAGUUCGAGCUCAAGGGGAUCCCCCCCGCGCCGCGCGGCGUGCCGCAGAUCCUCGUGACCUUCGACAUCGACGCCAACGGGAUUCUGCACGUGUCGGCCGAGGACAAGACGGCCGGGGUGAAGAACCAGAUCACGAUCACCAACGACAAGGGGCGGCUGAGCAAGGAGGAGAUCGAGAGGCUGGUGCGGGAGGCCGAGAAGUUCAAGGCGGAGGACGAGGAGGUGAAGCGGAAGGUGGAGGCGAAGAACUCGCUGGAGAACUACGCGUACAACAUGCGGAACACGGUGCGGGACGAGAAGAUCAAGGCGAAGCUGCCGGAGGCGGACCAACAGAAGAUCGAGAAGGCGGUGGAGGACACGAUCACCUGGCUCGACUCGAACCAGCUCGCGGAGGUCUCGACAGCAAAUUUUAUACAUCUCGCGACGUAGUACCAAUUUACGAUUGUUAGUAUAACAAUUUACCGUCUGCUGCAGGUCGACGAGUUCGAGCACAAGCUGAAGGAGCUGGAGGAGGUCUGCAAUCCUAUCAUAUCGAGAAUGUAUCAGGACGGCGGUGGUGCCGGGCCGGCCGGGAUGGGCACUGAUGGGUAUGGCGGCAGCGGAGGCGGCGGCUCCGGUGCCGGCCCAAAGAUAGAAGAGGUGGAUUAAUAGCUUUUGAAGCAGAAGUGUUAGUGUUACUUCAAAUACAAUGCAUUAAAAUGACUAGGGUCUAUGGUGAAAUAUAAUGUGUGAUGUUUUGGUUUUUUUUUUUUUUUUUUGUAAGUUUUUCUUUUACUGUGUAGCUCUUGUGUGUGUGUGUAUACUGCAUAAUAAGCUUUUGGCAUGUAGGUGCUUUUUGAUUAGUGGAGGGAAAGUAUAUAUAGCUUGUUGUUUUAGAUAAUUUUAUUGUUUAUUAAUUUUUGAAUUAUCCAACAUUUUGUCUUGGUCAAUUUUGGGCUGAGUAAUAACUGGCCCAAGUGAGUCCAAAGUCCAAUUGUCGAUUUGGGCUAAUCAAGAUCAAAUUGAGUAGACCCGAGAAUAUUUGGGUCGGGCACGAUACGAAUAUAGUGAUACGACAAUUCAUAACAAAUGCAAAUCACAGAAAUAUUUAAAUAAAAUUUUAUUUUAAAUAUAUUUUAAUUAUAUAUUGACUAUAUAUAAUAAUAUAUUUAGAAUAAUUAGAAUAUCUGAAUUAUAUUAAAGAAUAUAUAUGAAUGUACAUUACCUUGUAUAACUAUUUUAAAUUUGUUUAUAAAAAAACCAAUCCUUUAAAAUUAAUAAUUUAAAAAAUAUCAACCAACUAUCAUCACUAGUCCCAAUUAACUAUUUUCAUUAAAAAUUGCGUCAAUUAUUCUCCUAUUAUUAUCAUCUCAAAUUGGUCCAGCAACUUGGAAUCGUUAUUGAAUUCAGCUAUAAAAUUUUAUAAAAAUAAAAUUACACAUGAAGUUCACAAUAAAUUGAAUAAAAUUGCUUAGUAAACUAUCAAUUUUAAUUAUAGUAAUAAAAUAAAAUAUCUAUUUUAUCUAAAUUUUUAUUUUUAAAUUAUAAAUUAAGUAGAUGUUGAGAUAUGGAACAAGUGGCACACUAAUUUGUUUCGGAAAAAUUCUAUAAUUUAACUUACUAAUUUUUUAAAAUUUUUAGAUCUAUUUAAGACGAUGAUAAAGUCGGGAACAAUAAUUAAUGUAAUUUAUAUAAUUUUUUAUACACAAAUUAAUUGAGUGAGCAGUACUCAAAGUGCAAUGAGAUUUUUUUCUUAUAAUUUAAUCAAAAUUUUAAAAUAAAACAACUAUGAAAAAGUCAACCUAGAGCUUCUUAUAAAAAUUGACCAGGCAAUUGGAUCCAUCUCUUUCAUGGAAAAGUCCGACCCGUGAUGUCAAGAGGGACAAUAAAACCCUCUGUUUCAAAUAUUUGAUUGAUUUGGGAAUCAAGUUUUUUUUUUUUUUUUUUUUCUUUUUUUUAGCUAAGUAUAAAAUUUCAAAGAUCAAAGUUUCUUGGACAUUUCUCAGCUUAUUAGGAUUUCCAAUAAAGUUGAUAUCACCUUGUGUCGAAUAUAAAUAUUAAAAAUAUUAUUUUUAGUAAAUUUAGCUGGUAGAGAUAAUUUAACAUGAUAUUAGAACAGGAGGUCUCCUAAUAUUUUUAAUUUUCUCUCAUUUAAUUCAAGUUCAUGUCACGAACCUAAUAAAAAGUCUCGAGUCUAAACAGAAAGUCCAUGUCUUAAACCGAGAGAAUAGUUUUGAAUAAAUUAGAGUUUAUAUAAAAAUUACUUGCCUUCUCCUUUUUGUUUGUGUAGUUGUAGAACUGAAACUUUUUCAACCAGUCCUAACAGAAAGUGAAUAACGUAAAAACUGCAGUUGUGAGAGGUGAAUUAGUAUUUUAAUUUUUUUGGUAAUUAACUUUAUUUAACGGUAAGCUAAAGCCAAUUAUGCUAAAAAACAAUAGAAGUGUGGAUUUACGGUCGAAAACUACUUCAGCCCUCUUUAUUUUCGAUAAAACAAACGCACUAAAGCCAAACUCAAAAGCACAAUUUGAAUAAGGCGCAUGAAAUGAAGUUUUGCUUUAAAACUUAGGCUCCGUUGCAAGGAGAUUGCACUACGUGCGGUGAGAAAGAACAAUAAAAAUUAUCUUGUUUAUUUUCGUACGUAAUAUUGCGUUACGCAUAUCGCGAUUAGUCGAUUAUGAUAUAUUUUCUGCAGCCUCAUCGGAAAAUGCAGAAUCAUAUCCCUAUAUUUUUUUUUCUCAACUCUAUUUUAUUUAAUAAUGUUAGAUAGAUCUUAAUACAAAACUAGACCUUAAUUGUCACGAAUUUGGACCACUCGGCCGCGCACAUGCAUGAGUUGAUAAAUUUGGUUUUUGACGCUUCUAGAAACGUUUAAUACAAGCCUCCGUUAACUAGGAGGAAAUUUAAUUCCUUCUAGAAACUUUGUCACCAAAACAAUUUUUUAAGUUUCCAGGAAAGAUGACACAUCUUAAGUCCCAUGUCACCUAUUUGACUUUGUUGCGCUCCGGAGUUCAACAGCUGCUGUACCUAGGGACGAAACUAGAAAUUAAGAUUCGAGGUGGAGUCAAAAUUUAAAUUUGAUAGAAAAAAAUUCGACCUCAGAUAGUGAAAAAAAAAAUUUGUCGAAUUUACUGAGUAGUCAUUACUAGCAACAAUAACGACAAUAUGCUUAAAGAGAAACAAGACUGUAAGAGUUGACGGAAAAGAACCAAAAAAUUCGGAAAAAAAUUGAGAGACAAAUUUUAUUAAAAAAAUUAAUUCGGCCCCCUCAUAUUAAAAUUUAUAAUAUUUUACUUUUUAUUAUAAAGGACUUCUACAUAAUGUUAAAAAAUUUAGGAGUCGUGGCCACAGUGGGCCCCUCAAUGGCUCCGCCCCUGGCUGUACUAUCACAACACCUUACAUUUUGAGAAAUCGACCUGUGAGCAUCGGUCAGAUUUAAUGUGUCUACUUAGAUAAUAAUAAAUAUUGAUCGAUCUGCUGAUAUGUAUGCUCAUCGUUGUCGAAAUAUCACGUUUUUUUUCGUUCUACCGGUUCGUCCAAGUACUUAGCCUCUUAUCUACGUAUUGGAGAGGGACCUUCUUCCAAUCACUUUUGCAGAUGGUUCUAACAUCGGUCCCUCUCCAGAAUCAUACUCGCCUUCCAGAGACGACGCUAGCAGAGACGGACUUUAUGCAUCUUCCAGCCAUCCUUUUUUUAUAAAAAUAUCUGCUGUAGGGAUGCUCUUCUUUAGAACCAACCAUCGUACUUAAACGAGAGUUCCAGUGAGAUACGUUAUCAGUAUAUUAAGUGUUAGCCGCACAUGCAUAAUAAUUACGAUGUUCAAGCAGAGGAAUCUCUAUCAACUGCUCUAAACAAUGGUGGUCAUUUUUAAGUCGAAAAGUCUAAACAAUUAACUAUCCAAAAUUUGCGACUUAGUUCCCUUUUUUUUUUUUCAACCUAUGGUUUCUUUAAUUUUAGAAAAAUCUAAUAACUACUACCUAGUCUAGUUAAUUAAUUUGGUUGUUGUUUGAGUUGAAUUUUUUGCACAUAGGGGUAUACACAAUAUUCGUUCCGUUUCAAACUAACGAGUCCUGAGUUCGAGUCGCGAUUAAUUUAAAUAAGCAUAAUUAGAGAGAGAUUUACCAAAUUAAAUUAUUCACUUGUAAACCACAAGCUUAAUUAUAAGUUACUAAACAAGCCAAAUUAUACGUGGUAGGGUUACUAAAAAGAAAAAAAUCAAUAGGCUAAGUGCCAAGUUGCAUCCAAAAUAAUAUUAAUUGUUAAUAAUUACAUCAAUUUAAUUAAAUCAAAUCAGGUGCAUUAUAUUAUUUGUGGACUAUAUAUUAGUAAUAUUUUUUUCUCUCACAUGAUCAGAAUAUAUUCUUAAUCUCUCGAAUGCUUCGCUCGAGUUUUUAUAAAAGUUUAUGUUUGAGUAGUACAGCUUAUGGUAUCUUUUCCACAAAUUCAGGAGUAUUAAAAAUUAAGGUAAAUAAAAAAAAAGAAGCUAAAUUAUAGAAAAUCUUCAUAUAAAUACCUGUUUUUUUUUAUUUUUUUUCGACUUUUACGAAUCUAUAUUUUAUCAUCUUAAAAUUUUAGAAAUAUUUUCGAGAGGGUACGAUAUUAAUGGAGAGGGCAAAAUAACUAAAUCACUCUUAUUUCUUCUAUAAGAAAAAAUAUUUUUAAUAUAUUUCUGUUAUUUUGAAGGGUAUUUUCAGUAUAAAUUAUCAAAAAUAGACGGAAUAGUGAUGGAACCCCAACGGAGGGUUGCUAAAUGCAAUAACUUGAAAUGUUGAAGAGUAAAAUGUAGGUUUUCGAAAGUUGGAGAGGAAAAGUAAAAAAAUAGAUAUUUAUAAGAAAAUUUUUUAUAAUUUAGCCUAAAAAAAUAUAAAUUUGUAAUUUAUGAUUUUUUCACUUUUAAAAUUCAAAAGUUUUAUAUUUUAGAAUUUUUUGUGAGUGCGGACGUGAAGGGCUUUUAAUAAAACAACGUAAAAGACGUACAUAAUUUAUUUGAACUUUUGCUAUCUAAUUUUUUAAAAUUUUGAUUUUGCCAUCCAACUGUUCAAUUUGUUUGAUUUGAAUUAGUCAAUAUUACUGUGACUCCAAAUUUUAAAUAUAUUGUUCAUCUUUACAAGUUUAACUAAUAUAUUUUGUGCAAUUCUUGCAAAUUUUAAAAUCAAAAACAUCAUUAUCGACUUACUUAAAUCAAACAAAUUGUAAGGUUGAAUAGUAAAAUAAAAAAUUUUAAAGAUUUGGCAGCUACUUCAAAAUAGUCGAUAGUUCACACAAGUUUUUUAUAUUUUUUCCAUAAAAUUAUUAAAAAUACUGUUAUCUGAUAGCAAAACAUUUAAUAUUUUUUUUACAUCUUUUAAAUAAGAACAAUAAUUUCUUAUACAAUUUUGCUUUCGAAGUAAUUAAUUACUUAAAUUAAUGACUUAAAUGGGUUCCAAACUCUCACUCCCGUUAUUUUCAAGGAACUUGUAUUGCACAUUAAAAUAAUAACUUUAUGGUUACAAAAAAUAAAAAAAAAAUAAAAAACUUUGUUAAUAAUUUGUAUUUGGUAUCUAACACCUCAUGUGGAAAUAAUUAAUUAAUGUAAACCACAACUAGUUGCCCUUUUCUUAAGAACCCAAUUCCCAAAUCAACGGUCACAAAUUUUUGGGACCACUUACUACUCUCUAGGGACCUUUUAAAAAUGUAUUAAAAAAAGCACAAAAAGGAAAAAAAGUAGGCUAUUACUUUAGAACUCGUGUUCUAGAUAUAAUUUCCUAAACCUGGUGUAUCAUAAAACUAAAAUUGUUUUUGAGUUUAGGGCAUGUUCGUUUCGCCGGAAGCAGCGAGAUUCAUUGUAUGCGCGAUCUCGACUUUAUCUUGGUAGGACGCAAAAUUCUGUUUCCACUCUAUAUACAAAGUCGGGAUCGGUGCUGACAAAUUGUAUACUUUUAACUAUUCCAUGCGUUCGAUCUCCGAACUUAUCGGUCUCUUUCAAAUGUCCACGUUUGUGCGAUUCGAUGAGAUAAGGAGUUUUAUUAAAGCAGAAGUUUCGACAAAACAAAUAUGCCCUAAAUGCACGGUAAUUUACCGAACUUUUGGUCGUUCGUAGAUUUGCAAUUCAAACAGUCAAAAAUUUUAAACUAACCACUUAGAUAUAUAUAUUUCGAGUCCGGCUAUAAUGCUUGUAAAAGCACCAAUCACUUUGUGCUCGUAGGUUUUUAACCGUUAGAUCAGCACUGUUGAUCAUUUACACCUGUUAGAUUAUACUAUUCAACCAACCACCCACUCAACCCUAGAGGAUCCACAUCAUCCUAACCACAUAUUUUUUAAUCUAAAGGCCAAAAACUUAUAAGCACCAAUGUCUUGGUACUUUUAAAAGCAUAAGAGCUCAAUUCUAUAUAUUUCAUCAAUUUAAAACGACUGAUAUCAAUCAAAUAGUCAAGAAACAAUAAAAAGACACGUGUAAGUGACAUAAAUAAUUCUUCUGAAUAAUCAAAUUUUCUUUCGAUGGUAAAAUUAACCAAAAUUUUUAUAUUCAAUUAUCGACAAGCAAAUUAUCAUAUGCCAGUAACAUACAUUUCUAUCUUUUUUUUUCCUUUUUUUUUAAAAAAAAAAAUUUGUUUGUGUUUAGGGAUCUCCUACAUUUAAUCUUUGGGAAACACUAGCCUAUAAAGGAACACUGUGGUGUGUGCAAAAAUUUUGCUUCAUUGAGGAAAAGAACAAAGUAUAAUGGUCCUUAAUUUCUCUCCCCUCUUCUGAAACUUAUUGCACAGCAUCGUCACCCUAUCUCAUCCCCUACUUCUUGAGAUGAUCUUCGGUAUAGCAGUUGCAUUAUAUUAUAAAUAUAUUUCGAGCCAAUCAAUUUUUUCUUUUUUUUUUUUGAAAAAAAGGUACAAUAAUUUUUAUCUUUUUAAAAAGAUCUACGAUGAGAUAAAUAAACCACAGAAACACAAUUUGAUUGGUUAAAAGCAUGACGACAUGAUAUUACUGUUAUAUUUUAGAUUUUUUUUUUCCUAUAUAAUAUUAUUGGCAAAAAGCUUAAUGACAUAUAUUUGAGAUUUUUAAGUUAAAAUUUAAUUACUUUACAUUUUUAGCCCUAUGUUGCUCUUUUUUUUUUUUGUGUGGACGGAAAUGGCUUUCAAUAAAUGACUAUUCCAUUUAUUAUUUGUCGCGCUGUGUGAUGUAAAUAUCAAAUAAAAAUUGACGGUGGACAAAACGGUCCCACGAAUUUAAUAGCUCUAAAGCUAUUGAUAGUUACAGUUUUUUUUUUUUUCUUAAUUUCUACGGUGUGCGAAUUUAGUUUGACUCUCGCUUGGAGCACAAAGACGUUACGUCUCUGGCUCGUUUGGUUCGAAAAUUAGUAGAAACUAGUUAUAUCGGAAAUAUGUACAAAUAUAAAUUUUUGUAAGAAUAAAAAUAUUUUUUUUAUUUGGAUGAAAUUAUGAGUAUAAGCUGGAACUAGAAAAAUUAUAUUUGGAUGGUUAUUGAGAAUAAGAAAAAUAGUUGAUGUAUAAAUAAAAAAUAAUGAUAUUACUGCUGUAAUUAAAUUUUAAAUUUUAAACUUAUAAUUUUAAAUUGAAAAUUUUAACUUUUAAAUUUUAAAAUUUAAAAUUUAAAUAUUCAAAUUUAUAAAUUUUAAAUUUUAAAUUUUAAAUUUAAGACUAAAUUUAAAUUUGAAAUAUAUAAAAUAUCAAACUUAAAGUUUAAAAAUUUAUAAUAAUAAAUUUAAAUUUUAAACUUUAAAAUUUAAAAUUUAUAAUUUAUAAUUUAUAAUUUUAAUUUUAAAAUUAGAAAAUUUAAAUUCUAAAUUUUAAAACAAAACUCUCUCUCUCUCUAUCUCUCUCUCUCUACCCAGUGGGUGGGAACAACAGUUCCCACCUCUUAAGAGGUGGGAUCAAUAGUUCCCACCAUAAACAUUUCUUGUUUGGGUAUAAAGGGAAUAGCCCUCUUAUCCCCCUUUUAUACCUUUAUCCCUCUUUAUAUUCGAUUCAAACGGAGUGUAGAGAUAUUUGUUUAAAUAUUUUAUAAAUACACGACCUAAAUUUUUUAGCUCGAAAUUUUUUCAGCUCGAAAUUUUAACAGGCUGAAUAUGAAAAGCACUAAAUACUUAGUGCUUAUACGUUUCCCACUAUUAAAUUUACUCUUUUGAUCAUUUUUACCGAUUAAAUCAUAUUAUUCAAUCAAUCACCCACUCAAUUAAUUUUUAAAAAAAUUAUCAUCCUAACCUACUUUCCUUAAUUCAAGGACCGAAAGCCUACAAGUAUUAAUAACUAGUCAUUUUUAAAAGCAUAGAAACACAAUUCAUAUAUAUAUAUAUAUAUAUAUAAUUUAGAUUUUAGGCCAAUCAAAUAAUAAGAAGAUCUAUAUUUUAUAAAUUAAAAUUAUUAAAUUAAAAUUAAAAUUUUUAAUUUUUUAUUCAGCAAUAAAAUUGAUAAUUUCACUUGUUGCUUGUAAGCCAUCUCAAACCGAACAUAAUUUGUAUUUUUGAAAUCAUGCUUUAAAGGAUCAGUUUGUGUUUAGCUCAUUUAAUAAAGGAAAAUUUUCAAACACCCUCCCGGGAUUUCGCACUUUCUCAUUUUAGUACCCUAUGGUUUAAAGUGUAUCAAGUUAGUACCCUGUGGUUUCGCACUUUCUCAUUUUAGUACUCUGUGUUUUCAAGUGUAUUAAAUUAGUAAGUAUCAUGUGGUUUUAUUUUUCUAUCAAGUUAGUAUCCAGUUGUUUCAAUUUUCUCCUUUUAUUAUUAAUUUUAGGGUAUAUAAUUUAAUGAAUAUUAAACCACAGGGUACUAAAAUGAGAAAAUACGAAACUAUAAGAUAUUAACCCACAAAGUACUAACUUAAUAUACUUGAAACCACAAGAUACUAAAGUGAGAAAGUGCGAAACUACAUGAUACUAACUUGAUAAACUUUAAACCACGGAAUACUAAAAAUGAGAAAGUGCGAAACCACGAGGGUAUUUGAAGUUUCCUUUUUAAUAAACAAACGAAAAUGCAGUGGUCCCAAUUAGCUCAUGGUCAGCUCGCUGAGAUGAAUGAAAACUGGACACGUACAGUAGUCCACGAAAUGCGCGCAUACACCAGGUUCAGUGAAAAAUACCUUGUCAUCUUCCUCCCCCUUUCGUAUAUAUAUAUAUACAUACAUAUAUGAUAUCCAAUUGGGACAAUGACUCAGUAGUUUUAGCUAUACUUUUCGCUUUCCCUCGUUCUCGUUCUCGCCGCCAUUAAAAUUUCCUCGAAGCUCGCUCCAUCCAUUUCUCCCCACAUAUAUAUAUUUUUAGAGAGAGAGAGAGAGAGAGAGAGAGGGAGAGAAAUGGGGGAGGUGUUCGAAUCGUGCGUGGUGGGUCCGAGCGAGGAGACGCCGCGGCACGCUCUGUGGGUGUCGAACCUGGACUCGGUGGCGGCGCGUGGGUUCACGCCAACGGUCUACUUCUACCGGUCCGGUCCGGCCGGGCCGGCCGGGGAGGCGGUGGCGGCGCUGAAGGCGGCGCUGGGCCGGGCGCUGGUCCGGUUCUACCCGCUGGCCGGCCGGCUCGGGGCGGACCGGUCCGGCCGGGUCCGGAUCGAGUGCACCGGCGAGGGCGCGGCUUUUUCCGCCGCCCGGUCCGAUUCGACCGCCGACGAGUUCGCCCGCGACUUCGCCCCCUCGCCGGACCUUCGCCGGCGCUUCGUCCCCCCCGCCGACUCCGCCGAUCCCCCCUGCCCUUUGCUUAUGCUUCAGGUUCCUCCCCUUCUCUCUCUCUCUCUCUCUCUCAUUAUUAUUAAUUAUUAUUAUUAUUAUUUUUAUUACUAUUGGGAUUCUAGAUCUUUCCGAAUAUUUGAAAAUAUUUGUAAAAAUUUAUAAUAAUAAUAAUAAUAAGAAAUAGGCUGGAAUACUAUCAAUAGCGCCAAAUUAUUAUUACUAUUAAUUUUUUAGCACUUGAAUUGAAAAAUAUGCGGUUAGAAUGAUGUGUGCCCUCUAGGGUUAGUGAGUGGUUGGUUGAAUAAUAUAAUCUAACGGAUAAAAAUAACCAAAUCAUUAAAUAUAAUGGUGGAAAACUCGAUAGCAUCGGACCCUUAGUGCUAUCGAUAGUAUCCUAACCGGACUCUAAUAAUAAUAAUAAUAAUAAUAUUUUGGUCCGUAAAAAAUAUAUUAUAAAAUAUUUUUAAAAUUUAGAUAUUAGUCAUAUUUAGCUAAUCUGAUAAAGCUAAGUUUGGAAUUUUAUGCCCUUGUUCAGCUCGAAGUGGGAAUUAAAGUGCCCUUUGUUAAUUUUUUAAAAUUUGUUCAAAUAUCUUCAAAAUUUUAAAAUUUGUUAGUAAAAUUUAGAGUUUAGAAGAAUAUUUUAAAAAUAGAAGUGCAAAUUUUUUAAAAAAUUGAAUAGUGGUUGGAAAUGUAGAAAGAAAAGUUUCUUAUUUAAUACCUGCCAACUGUCCUAGGCAAUACUAGCUCUCUCUCUCUCUCUCAAUUGAUUUACACUUUUUUUUUUUUUUUGUCCUAUAUUUAUAGGAUAAACUAUAUAAAUAGUUUUCGCACUGUCUCUAUUUUGUGGUUUGGUUUUUGUAUUUAGUUCUUAAAUGUAAAAUAAUCUAAUAACUAACUACUGGCUAGUCUAGUGCAGUGUUAGUUAAUUCGCGAAUUGUUCGCCAAUUUUUGAGAAAAUGAAUUAAACUAUUGAAUUCGUAUUUUCCUGGAAAAUUCGCAAAAAAAAUGUAUUUUUUGGGGGAAAAAAAACCUAUUUGCGAAUUAUUCGCGGCGAAUUAUUCGCCCAAAAAAAGGGCCCGUGUCCCCCCCCCCCAACAAAAAAAAAUCACUAUCAAAAAAAUUUAAUCUCUUAUGUAUUAUUUUAAUCUUUUAUUUACUUAAUUUAUUAUUUAUUUUGAGGUAUAAUAUAGUUUGCUAUUUUUUUACUUAAUUAGCUUAAUUUGUAGUUCUUUUUUCUUAUAUUCUUAGGAAAUAUGAAUAUUUAUGCUAAUAGCAUAAAUUUUGAGAGAAAAAAAGUUUAAUUUAAUAGCCGAAUUUUUUAUCCCGAAUUUUUAAUUGAUGAACGUAUAAUAUCCGUAUAAAUCACGUGUCCGAAUAAUUGACGAAUCCGUUUUUUAGCCGUAUUUUUCAACAAAUUUAAAAAUUAGAAGACGAAUUUUAUCCGAAUUAUACCCGUACCGAAUUUUUGCUGAAUCCGAAUUAACUAACUAUGGUCUAGUGAUUUAUUAUUUGGGUAAACUUUAAAUAUUAUUCCUAUAAUUUUGUAUUUUUUUAUUUUAGCAUUAUGUGGUUAAAAGUGUAUUAAUUUAGUAUUAUGUAGUUUUUUUUUUUUUAUUUUCGUCAGUCCUUCCGUUAAUUUUUCGUUAAAUUAUAUACAAAAAUUUCAAAUAUUUCACAUAUAGUUUAUCAAAUAUUUGCUUUAUUAUUCUUUAGUUUUAACUUUGUCACUAAUUUAACAAAAAAAAUUACUGAAAGGAGAUAAUAAAAAGAGAAAAAUAAAAUCGUAGGGUAUAAAGGUGAUACAUUUUAAAUUAUAGGAUACCAAAGUGAGAAAGAACGAAACAUAGAAGUGAUAUUUAAAGUUUUUUUCCUUAUUAUUUUUAAUAAUAGAGUUUUUUUUUUAAAUAAGAGGUCAAGGAUUUAAGGUUCCCCCUACAAGCAUGAUAAAUAUUUGGGGAAAAAAUUCUAAUUUUUUAUAAAAUAACCAAUUAAUUUGUAGCCUUUCAUUGAAAAUAAUUUAUUUUUUUAGUACACUUUUAUAAUGUCCUUUUUCUAAGAAGUACUCAAGUGAGUAAAUUAAAAAGUAUGGAGACUAACUUGCCACGUGGACAAAUAUGCAAGGACCAUCCAUAUAUAUUUUGCCCUUAGAUUUAUUAUUACUGUUCUAUAAUUUGUUUUUAAUUUUUGACCUAAAUAUUCUAUAUUUUAUUGAUUUGGGGGUGUUUAGUAGAAUAAUUUUUUUGCUUAGAAUUAAUUAGCAUAAAUUGCGUUUUAGCUCUAGAAAUUUAAUGAUAUUACUCCGUAUUUUGUAUGUUCGAUUAGCAUUUUCUAAUUUUAAUAUUUUAUUUUGGGUUUUGUUUAAUGAAUGCUUGGGUGUUUAUACUUUAUAAUGAUAGUUAGCCAUGUUACAUCAUUGACUUAAUUGGAAAGGAUUAAUUACUUUAACUAGCAAAUUAAUUUGGUCGUUUUAGGUCCCAAAUGAUAAUUCAUACAAAAUGCUCUUUUUUUUUUUCAUUUAUAGAAAUAGCGAUUUGGAAAAGCAAUUUUUUAUUUAAAAGCAUUUAUAAAAACUUUUUUUUGUAAUUUUUAUUAUAAUUAUAUUAGGAGUUUCAUAUUAGAGUUUCUGUAUAAAAUAAAAUAAAUUAGGAGUUUCAUAUUAGAGUUUUUUUAAAAAAAUUUUUGGGGUUUAGGGAGCUUAUAAUGUUGUUUAUUUUUUAAAAAAAUAUUGUUAUUAUAAAAAUAAAAGAGAACUUGUUUAAGAAGCUUGAUUAAAUUGUUUAUUUUUAUUUUUCUCUUUUAUAAGAUAACGUUUGAAACAAGUUAGUGGAAGAAUACAAUUCCCCCUAGACUUUUCUCUUAUAGCAUUUUUAUUAGUGUAUGAUUUAAUUGACUAGUGCAGGGUUUAAUUAACUAAUGAAGGAUUAAUUAAUGAGAUCUCGAAUCUGAGUACGUAUUAGUGUUGCUAAUUUGAGUUGAAUACACCAAAAUGACUUUAUAAUUAAUCUCUACUUUAAUAAGCAUUAAUUAGAAAUAAUUUAAAAAUAAUCUUAACAUAUUCAAAAACAAAAAAAAAUAAAAAAUAAAAAGGAAGGUUGAAAUUUAUAACUUUGAAUCAGUAGUGUGGACAUGUUUCUUUUAAAUUAUUUAAACGAGAAUCUUAAACUUUUAAAUUUAGAAAUUUUUAUUCUGAUAUUAUAUAAAGUAAUUAAUUUUUUAAGUACUCAUCUAUGCAUAGAAGAAUAAUAAUAUCUUUUAUAUGGGAAUAUUUUGUCACCAACAAAGAGGGAAUAAAGUGUGUUGUAUUAGAAUUUGAUUUCUUAGUAAUUACUUAAUAAAAAGGAAGAGCAUAUAUACAAUAAAUAUAUUGGUGUUUUCAGAAAUAUUCAUUUUUUAAUUAGGAUAUUAUUUUUAUCUUUAAAUAAAAAUGGUUUGAAAUAUAUAAAAUUGUAUAUAAACUAAAGUUGUGAUAAUUGUAAUUAAAGUUGUACAUUGGAAUAUAUGUAUACAUGGAGUUUUGGGACUUUAUAAUAUACUCUUCUUGUUUAAUCUUUAAAGUCAACUCCAAACAAUAAUCUAAAUUAAAAUAUUUAUAAACUUAUAAGAAUAGUUGAGCUAAGUUGAAACAUUUUAAUGCUUCAUAAUUGAAUAGAGCAUAUUCUUUGGGUACAAUGUAUAGAGAAAAUGAUAGUUUAGUAAUGCCUAUUUUUAUCAUUUAAUAUAGUAAAUAAAAAUAAGAUAAAAAUCUAUUGUGCUCACCCUCAACUAUCUCUUAUUUUCAUAUGACUAAAUUGUUAAAAAUUUCAAUUUUGUUAUUUAAUUUUUUAAUCUCCUAAAUUUGAAUCAGUUAAUGACUUUUCAACUUUAAAAUUUAAAUAUAUUGUUUGUCUCUACAGAUCUAAUAAGUAUACUUUAUGUAAUUAUGUAAUUAUAAAUUUUGUAUCGAAAAAGUCAUCAGAUGGCUUGAAUCAAACAAACUGAAAGACUUUGUGUUAAAAUUAAAAUUUUAAAAAAUUAAAUAAUUAUAUCAAACUAGUCUAUAAUUUAGAAAUGAACCGUACAAUUUUAAUGUAAUUAAUGCAAUAAAAAAGUUAAAUAAUUAUUGGUAAUUUAUUAUUGAUUAAAAUAGUUUCAAUUUCUUUUUUUUAUGAUGAUAAGGAGAGAGAACUAAUAAGUUGAGUAGAAUUGCGGUUCAUAACAAAUCCAACGAUAAAAAAUUUAAUAAUAGAUAUAAUGCUUAGAUAAAUUUAAUCAGAUCGAAAUUCGUGAGCGUUGUAACUGAGCUUUUAACUGCGAAAGUGCGCUUUUCUUAUUACCACCUAUUUUUGGGAUAGAGGGACAAGUGGACAAGUGGGGACACACUCAUUUAUAUUGUGGUAUCUUUCAUUGAUUGAAUGUCACAUCAUUCCAUGAGAUAGCUUCUAGAUGCUCCCCCAAAGUUUUAUUUUAUUUCUUGGCCUAAUGAUAUACCAUUCAUUUUUAUAAUAUUUUAUGCUCAAUGAUUCCACGAGAAAUAAUAAAUAAAAAGGUACUAUUUGUACAUCUCAUUACAAGUUUAAAUGUAUGGAGAUCUCCUCCACUAUAUGCCAUUUUGAAAUAGACCUCUUCAUUUUUACUUUUUUUUUAACUAAAAAUAUAGAGAAAUUAUUUAAGGUAAAAUAUAUAUAAAAUUUAUCUGAACUAUGGACUAUUUAUAUUUGGCCAGUCAAUCUUUUAAAAUUUUAAUUUUACUAUACAGUUUUUCAAUUUAUUUGAUCUGAGUCAGUCGACGAAACUUUGACUCUAAAAUUUAAAUCAGUCGUUUAUUUCUAUAAGUCUAGUUAAUAUAUUUUUUGCAACUCUCGUAACUAUAAGUUUAUUAAAGUAAGUAAUUUAUUAGAUACAUCACAUUUUUAAUUUAUUGAAAUCAAAUAUAUAUUUUUUAAUGAUUAUUAGUACACAAUCGUGUACAUAUAUACUAAUUUAAACCUAACAACCAUGAAGUCACCUUAUAUAUGUACAGAGACAUAGAGUAUAGAGGUUUUGAUAUUUAUAAGUCGUUUUUUGUGGUAGAGUUUUCAAAUCCACAAUCUAUACUGUUAAACAUAAUUAAGAAAAUAAAAUGCUCAGAAAUCAAAUUUUAUAAAAUUUUGAAGCUAAAAUAAAGUGUAGCGAGCGGAUAUAAAAUGAACGAUUAAAUCGAACGACCCGCACAAAUAGUUUAUAGGGUUCUUCAAUUCAUAAUCGAAGUUAUUGAUUCUCUAAAUUAUAUUUAACAGUAUAAAUUGUUGAUUCGGAAGUUGUACUAUUAAAAAUAACUUAUGAGUACAAAAAUGAUAUGAGUCGGACUCUUUUUACGUAUAUAUAGAGAGAGAGAAUUGGGUUGGAAUACUCUUUAAUAGUAUCAAGUUGUAGCUGCGAUCCAGUUUUUCACAAUUAGAUUUAUCCUUUAAUUAAUUCCACCCUUUAGAUUGUUGUAUUUUAUCGACCAUCCACUAAAUCGUGGAGAUCAUUAUCAUUCCAAUCCUAUAAUUUUUUAUCCAAGGGUUAAAACUAGAUAUGAUUCAUUAGCCGGAUACUAUUAAAAGUAUUUCAUUCCGACUCUAUAUAUAUAUAUAUUUAUAUAGAGUUUUGCUAGAAUACUAUCGGUAGUAAACGGCUCGGUUUACUACCAAUUUGUUUUCGAUGAUAGAGCUUCCAAAUUGAUGAUCGACACCGUUAAAUAUGAUCUAAACUAUUUAAACUAUCUAGAAAUCAAAUUUUACACAUUUUCGAUAUUGUUCUCUUGUCCAUCAAGUGAACAGAAAAAUGAAUGGCUGGAAAUAAAUAUCCUUUAAAAAGUGAUGAUACAAUUUUUAUAUUUGAGAUCUAGAGUCUAGAUCUUAUUUUAAAUAGUUUAAAGAAUUUUUUAACAAAAAUUUAAUUGAUUUGAACUCUUCUAUACCGUUAAACGAGCAAACGCACCAUAUCGGCCAUUAAAAUUAUAGAUUUUGUGACCCUUUGAUCGUUCAGUUAGUGAUGCCAAAAAAUUAUGAAAUUUGAUUUCUAGAUAAUUUAAAUGGUCUAGAUCAUGUUCAACGGUGCCGAUCGUCGAUUUGGAAGCUCUAUCAUCAAAAACAAAUCGGUAGUAAACCGAGCAGUUUACUAUCGAUAGUAGUCCAGUCAAACUCUAUUUAUAUAAUAGAUAAUUGAGUUAGGGAUCUCUUUUUGCUAUUAUAUACACUAUAAACAAACACAGGCUAAAUCUUAGUGGGCCGAUUUUUAUGGGCCUGAAUUUGGCCUCAUUUUGUUGGUCAUUUUUUUUAAAAAAAAUUAGAAUAAAAUUUUUAACUUAACUAACUAGAAUAACUGUUUUGUGCACUCAGGUGACAUUCCUGAAGUGCGGGGGCAUGGCACUAGGCUUUGCCAUCCACCACCUGGCCUUCGACGGCCGCGGCGCAUCCCUCUUCAUCCAAACCUUCUCCCGCAUCGCCCGCGGGGCCGACCUCGCCUCCCUGCCCCCGCCCUUCUUCGACCGCACCCUCCUCCGUGCCCGCUCCCCGCCCUCCGUCCUCUUCGACCACUCCGACUCCACCGCCUUCUCCGACAGCAACGCCAACAAUGACAACACCGCCGCCGCCGCCGCUAUUGUGUCGCCGGUCGUCACGGCCCACCUCGCGCUCUCCAAGUCCCAGCUCCAGUCCCUCAAGUCGCGGUGCGGCUCCGCGACCGGCCCCGCCACCCCGCGGGUCUCCACGUUCCGCGCCGUCGUCGCCCACGUGUGGCGCUGCGCCUGCAUCGCCCGCGGCCUCGCGGGCGAUGUCCAAACCGAGUUAUACCUCCCCGUCGACGUCCGCGCACGUCUCGUCCCACCACUCCCCGCAGGGUAUUUUAUAUUCAUCACUCCUUUUGUCUUAGACUCAAAAUACUUUGAUAGGCUGAAUACAUAAACUUUAGAUCUCUCGUCUCUAGAGAAUAGUGCUUUAAUAUUUUAUAUUCGACAGGUACAUCGGCAACGCGGGGAUCCGCACGAAGGCCGUCCUGACCGUCGACGAGCUCAUAUCGAGCAGCUUCGCCGAUAUCGCCGAGACGAUCCAGAACGCGGUCGACCGCGUGAACGACGACUACGUGCGGUCGUUCAUCGACCACCUUGACACGGCGGACGCGAACACCCUGUCGCGGCGGGGGGCGCUGCCNAUUUUAUAUUCGACAGGUACAUCGGCAACGCGGGGAUCCGCACGAAGGCCGUCCUGACCGUCGACGAGCUCAUAUCGAGCAGCUUCGCCGAUAUCGCCGAGACGAUCCAGAACGCGGUCGACCGCGUGAACGACGACUACGUGCGGUCGUUCAUCGACCACCUUGACACGGCGGACGCGAACACCCUGUCGCUGCCGCGGACGAGCCUGUGCGCGAUCAGCUGGCUCGGGAUGCCGAUGCACGACGCCGACUUCGGGUGGGGGGAGCCGGAGUUCAUGUCGCGGGCGCAGAUGUACGGUAGCGGGUAUGUCUACUUGAUGAGCACCCCCGGAAACGAGGGGGGAGUCUCAGUUAUACUGGGGCUGGAGAAUGAGAGCAUGAGGCUGUUCAAAAAGAUAUUCUAUGAGGAGCCUGCUUGUAUAGAGGGGUAAAGUUCGAAUUGUGAAAGAAUUACACGAGCGCGAUCUCAAACUACUACUACAAUUUGAGCCGCUCCUACAAAUUUAUAUAGUAGUGAAUCACGAGGCGCAAUCGUGCGUUGCCUCGCGAUGCGUGAUCAGCCACGUAUGCGGUAGGUGUUUCUAUUUCAAGUUGCUCUCAAUCGAGACCGGUCGGCGCUGUCGAUUGAUUGCUGAUCAUGUAAACUUGGGGUUUUAGUCAUGUACUUGGGGCAACUUUUACUGUUUUUGUGAUCUUUUAGAGAACUGAUAUGCUUUGUAAUAAUUUUACAGUAAAUGGUUACACUUUUAUUUGUGAGUAUUUACAAAAGUAUAAAGCUUAAAAAAUAGAUUCAGCCAUUCCAAAUACAUGAAUUUUAGAACUAAAAAUUAAAGAACAUACACUAGCAUCGUAUUAUUUCUUUUAAAAAGUUGUGAAUGAAUGAAUCUGAUAGCUUAAACUUUGUAGGAAUAUAUUUGUUAUUCGAUAUUUUUAGUGAAGCACGUUUCACCGUCGAAUAAUGAGAUUAUAAUGUUUUCUUUUCGAUACCGAGCAGAAGCCUCACCCACAUCGAGAGAGCGCAACAAACAACAUCCAAAGUUGGAUUUUGGACCAGGCUGUUCUGGGCAUGUUCGAAUUGGAAUAACUACAAAUACGUUACAACGAUCUCGGUCCAAAAUGAUCUAAGUCGGAUCGUAUCGGAGCGUGUCAAAUUGAGAAAUCAUGUCUCGGACUAGGUUAACCGAAAAAAACGAAAAGCUCCGGCCUCGGUUGGCUUAACUCGCUAAUAAUUCGGUAAAGAGGACUAGAUUGAUAGCAAUAUAUGUCGAUGAAAAUCGCGCUAACUAAAUGAUCUAAAUGAUUGGACUUAAAACCCUAGCCUGGGAAGAGGAGAGCGAUAGCUCUACAGCCCAGUGUGCAGCUAUUUCUAUCAAAAAUUAGGUUGAGAUGAUCAGAUCAGGUAAAGUCCGGACGAAUUUGCUCAGGCCUACUAGUAGCUAUAUUUUUUUAUUGAUUUGGAUUGUAAAUUUAUUUACUAAACAAUAAUUGUGGUGUUAGUUUAUAAUACACUCUCCUUAUUUUUUUUAUGUGUUUUUUGGAUUUUCAUUUGUAUAUUCUCUUUUGUGUUGUGUGGAUGCAUGCCUCAAUAUUUUUCCCAAGUUUAUAUUCGAUUUUACCUAUAAAUUUUCUUGUCAAAAAAAAAAACAAAAGAAAAAAAGCAACUCAAAUGCGAAAUAGAGAAUCCCCCAAUUCAUAGAUAUAUACUACUAUUAGGAAGAGUUGGGUUAUAAUCGUUAUGACCUAAUCCGUUAAUAACAAUAAUUCGUUAGGUCUAAACCACCGGCCCAAAAUAAUUAAGCCAAUAUAUUAUUACUAACAUGUAGGCCUCAUAUAUUAUAAUCAAAAUCAGUUUCCACCUGGGAGUUAUAAUUUUGCCAAAAUAUAUAUAUAUAUCAAAACAAAGGUGACGAUAUUAGGAUUUGAUUAGAUUGUAGUUAUCUAAAAUAUAUAUUAAUAAAAGUCUAAUUAGAUUAGUAGAAAAAUAUAGAUUGAGAUUUAAGUAUUUAAGAGAUUAAUUUGGAUUAGAGUACUAAUCCUAAUUGAACUCUAAUGAGACUAUGUUAGAUAUAGCUUACAUCAAAGUGCCUUGUCGCAUCUGUGUUAGUUACGGAUUUAUACAAGACGAGAGAAAGGUGAUAAAGAUUUAGAAAGUGACAAAGUAAUAAUCCAAAUUUUAUUAGAAUUUAACUCAAAGUUUCAGUAACAAUAAGAUUUAAUUAUCCACAUCACAUUUAUAAUAAUCAUGUUUAAAGUCCACAUGGUUAGAAUUGAUUGGUUAUCUUAUUCCAACCCUGAAGCCAUCAUAAAUUCACAACUGAGAUUCUGAUUGAUAAAAAAUUUCUCUGUACCUUUACCCUAUUAUUCUAUUUUAAUAUUUUAUUAAAUAUUAAAUAAUUAGUAUCAGAGAAAAUAACGCUUCGAACAGAACGAUGCUCUCGAAAUUUUUUUUUCAUCUUUUGUAAUUUCUUUUCUUCUUUGUUUUUCUUUUUUGUGGUUGUACAUAAUUUUAAUACGGAGACAGGAUUAUGGUAAAAACUUUAUUUAGCGCUUUCAGUAAUUAGUAUCAGAGCAGAUUAAUUACUGGUUCUCUAUAGAUAAUCGAUCUAAUUGAGAGCUCAUUACGAAAGAUCGAAGGGGUGAUUUAAAUCGAUGAUUGGUUACUUUCUUAACAUUCUAAUAUUCUGUAUAGUGUAUGGAGCAUUGGUAUGCACUAAGCGCAAGCAAAGAUUUUUUCUCUGUUUUGAAAUUAUGAGUGCAUCCUAUUAAACAUUCUUUAUACUAAGUACAUAUUUGUACAUAUACCACAUGCCUAAAUAGAAAUUUCAAAAUUAAUUCAUCAAAUAUAAUUUAAAUUCUUAGACUUUUUAGAUCAUAUAUAUUUAAUUAACCAAACAAUCGUGUACUUAUAACAUAAAUAUACCAAACUAAUUAAAUAAUGUAUUUAGAUCUUCAUGUAAUUGUAAUUGCUUUAACCAAACAAUUGCAAAGUUUUUUUUUUUUUAUGAAUGUAAAAGUUUUCUAAUCAACGAUAUAAUUAGUAACUCAGUAUUUUACACAUUACAUAAAUAAAAUAUAUUUCUUGUUACGGUUCGUUUAAAUUAAUGCUACUUGAGUAGUGUUAUUAUAGAUAAUUUGUGAUAACACUAAAUUAAUUAAUGCGCAUAAUUAAUCGUAAUCACGCGAGAAAUGGACGUAACGUGCACGUUCUUAUAAGAAAUUAAAAGAAAACUAAAUUAAGGUGAAAAGUUAAUGCUAUAUAUAUGUAGCCUAAAAUGUAUUAUAGUUAAUAAUACUCCAUCAGCUUUACGAAGUUCUCUAACUAAUAUUGUUAAUAAUAGUAAUAAAAAAAAUAAUAUAUAUUUUUUAAGACAUGUGAUCGUAUUAUUAUAGCACAGAUAAAUUUGUCACCAUGUCCAUCGAAGAAAUUAAAAAUUAAAAAAUGAUAGUGACUAAUUAAUUAUAUAUUAUAAGGAAGGUUUGAGAGUGGGACACAUAUAUAAGCAAAAAAAAAACCAAAAAAAAAAAGAAAUUGUCACGUAGUUAAUUUAAUUGUAAUCAAUGCCCAUCUAAUUUAUUAGUGGGGUGCUCGAGUCCACGCCUUUAUUGAAAAAAAACAAAAAGGUUAUAAUUAUUAUGGGGAAAGAUUCUGGAACCUAUUGAUUAGAUAAUCUUAAAAAAAAAUUAUUAUCUACUCUAUUAAUUGGGUGCUUAGCUUUUUUGUUAAAAAAUUACUAUUAAUUAUGGAGAAAGAUUCUGAGAUGGCAUCUAAUUAAUAAUAUUACUAAAAAAUUACUAAUAUUAGUAAUUUUUUGUUAAAAAAUUACUAAAAUUUUUUUUUAAAAAAGAAUUAACGACUAGUAUAAUUGGCUGAGAAUUUAAUUAUUGGUAUAUGAGAUUUCGGGUUGCUUCAUAUUUUUCGUUAAGUUUAUUUUUAAAAAUUAGGAGCAAUUAUUUAUAUAUUUCUAAAAAAAUUUAAAUUUUUUUAUUCACGAAUUUUAUAAGACUAAUAUUGAAAAUACUCUUUUAAAAUUUUAAAAAUUUUCAAAUAUUCUUCGAGAGUUAAAUUCAAGUUCCCUUGGGUCUCACUCAUUUUAAAUCAUUUUAGUGAAUCUUCAUUAAUUAAUGCUCACCAAAAUCCACAUCCAACAUUAUAUUUGGGUCUCACUCAAAUUCAAUACAAAAGCUGACACGGCACGUUCUUAAUUAUUAAUCCUUUCUGGCUAUUGUAAUUAUCAUUUUAUCUGUAAAUUAAAUCUCUCUUCAUAUAUAUAUAUAUAUAUAUAUAUAGAGAGAGAGAGAGAGAGAGAGAGAGAGAGAGUGGGGCUGGUAUACUAUCGGUAGCACGGAGUCCUCCGUGCGAUCAAAUUAUUUUUAAUGAUGCGAUUUUCAAAUCGACGAUCGACUCUGUUAGACUUGAUCUAUACUGUUGAAAGUAUUUAGAAACUAAAUUUUAUAAUUUUUCGACAUCGUUUAGUCAGUGAUCAAAAGAAGAGUGCUCCACGCACUUUAAUAUAUAUAUAUAUAUAUAUCAAUAGAAAUAGAUGCUUUUAGAAGUAAACGAAAUCGUUUACUUCUCCAUUACUUUAAUCGGUGAUCGAUAUUAUCAAAUUUGAUCUAAAUUUUUUGAAUAAUUUAGUUUUCAAAUUUCCCAAUUAUACGGCAUUAUUUUGAAUUUUUAAGGCUAAUAUAGAGUGAAUUUACGAUCAUUUGGUCACUCAGACAAAUGAUAUCGUGAAAUCCUAAAAUUUAAUUUUAAAAAUAUUUUAAAUAAUUUAAAUUAUAUUUGAAUUUACUAUAGUCUCAAACGACAUAAGUUUUUAUUUAUUUCUAAAAAUAUUCUAGUCUAAACUUUCAUUUUAUAAGUCUUGUUAGAAGCCACGUAGCUUGAUAGAAUAUAUGCCACAACUUUAUUUUGUUAUUUUUUAUACAUAUUUUUUGGGCCUUACAUGCAAAAAACAGAAAAAGAAAAAUCACUCGUGAUAGCUAAGGAAAUUUAUGUACGUCUAUUUUUAGACUCUCAUGCAUUAAUUAUGUACACUUAAAAAUUAUAAUUAAAAAAUAUUUUAUUAAUUUUCAUACAUAAUAUCGUAUUAUAGCUUAGUUUGGUAUUAAGGCUCUGAUUUAACUCUAUUUGAUAAAAUAGAGUUGGGAUAAAAAUAGAUAGGCACGUAUUUCUGUAUUUUUCGAUAGUAUUGUAGAAAAUAUAUCGUAACCGACUCAUCGCGAUAUGCGGAACAUAAUAUUACGCAUAGAGUAUUUUUUCAUUAUACUUUCUCAUCGCAUGUAACGCAAUCUCUCUGCAAUUCCAAACGAAGUCUACGUAUAUUAUAAUAACUCAGUUACGAUAAAUUUAAGGAUUAAUUACAUAUAACUUUCUGUAAACAUAUCAAGUGUUAAAUAUAUUUCUAUAAAGUUCAACUUUUUUUAUAUUUAUCUCUACAAAAGUUCUAACAUUUUUAAAUAUAUUCUUAGAUUUGUUAGAAAAAUAUAUAUAGUUAACCAUAAGUAAAAUACUUAAUCCUAAUUAAUGAAUUAGGUAACUUGCUAUUUUUAUUUCUCUUAUAUUAUUUGUGAUGAUAUAAAAAAAGAAGAUGAUAGUUAAAAAUUUUGGAUGAAAUGGUAACAGUAAGGAUAUUUUGAAAUAACGAAAAAAUAUAUAAGGGGUAUAAUGGAAAGAAAAAAAAAGGUAAAUAAAAUAUUUUCAAAAUUUUCAGAGAUAUAUAUAGAUAAUUAUUUUUUUUUAAUUAUAUAUGUCAAUAAUAAAAUAAUAAACGAGGAGGAGUGUUUUGGAGACCCUAAAACAGAAAAGUCAUUUGGAAUUGACUUAGAUAUAAGAUUCCUUUGGUACAAUUUUUUAACCUAUAUGUAACCCUAACUCUCUUUGUUGAAACAUAGAGAGAGAGAGAGAGAGAGAGAGAAUGGUGGAGAUAUUGGAGUCAUGCUUAGUAGCUCCAAGUGAGGAGACCCCAAAGCAUGGGCUAUGGCUCUCGAACCUCGACCUCGCCGCGGCCCCGGGCCACACGCCGACGGUCUACUUCUACCGCCCCAGCGGUGACCACAACUUCUUUUCUGUGGAGGCGGUCAAGGCGGCGCUUUCUAAGGCCCUGGUGCCUUUCUACCCCCUGGCGGGCCGUCUCGGUGUCGGCCGGGACGGCCGCGUCGAGAUCGACUGCAACGCGGAGGGCGCGCUCUUCGUCGCGGCACGGUGCGAUUACACCGUCGACAGCUUCAGAGAGUUCGAGCCGUCGCCGGAGACGAGGAGGCUGUUCGUGCCGACCGCGGACUCCGCCGAUCCCCCCUUGGUCAUGCUCCAGGUUUCUUCGCAUAUCACUUAUAAAUAUAUGGAGCGCGCUAACAAAAUAAAUUUGAGAGACAAAUCUUUAAAUGAAAAGAAUAAUAAAUGACGGCAUGAACAAUAAUAAAAAAUAAAAAACUGAUGCUAAAUUAUAUAUAAAAAAUUUUAGAUUACUCAACAUAUAGUUUGUCGAAUAUUCAUUUUAGUAUUCUUUAGUUUUAACUUUAUCAAUGAUUUAAUAAAAAAAAUUAAUGAAUAGAAUAACAAAAAGAGAAAAAUAAAACUAUAAAAUACACAACUGAUACGAAAGUGAGAAAAUGCGAAACCACAGGGGAGAUAUUUGAAGUUUUUCUUACAAAAAUUAUUUGAAUUAUGAUAUAAAUCAAAAGAGUGAUCGACGGUUGAGAUUAAUCUUCUUUUUUUUUAAAAAAAAAGAAGAAGAACCUUGUACCUGGUACAUGCAUCAGAGUAAACUAUGUAGAACUUUCAAUUUAUUAAUACUGUAUAGUUAGGUAUUAUAGUCUCAUUUUACCACAUAAUAAUACAUAUGAAUCAGCACUUCAUACUGUUAAAUAUAAAAUAUAAUAUUCGAAGUUCUUAAGAUGUAAAUUUUAAAAAUUUGUAAACUUUUUUUGGUGUAUCGAAUACAAGGGACAUGGUAGUCCCAUCAUAAUUAAAAAAUAAUUUAUUAUAGUACAACUGUUAUUUAAUAGUGGGAACAUUUAUAUGUAGUUGAGUAUACUUGUUUAGUAUAGCUUCUAUAUAUAUUUAUCUAUAGUUCCAUUUAUUUGCUAGUGUCUUUAAUUAGUAAGAGAAAAUUUUGAAACACCUCCCACUAGAUCUACCAGCAUAUAUAAGCUCCUAAUUUCCUAAUUUAAAGCUUUUAAUAAAAUAUAUUUUAAGAAAAAUCAUUAAUAAGACAAUUUAAAUAAUAAUAUUUUAAAUAAUACUAAUAUGUCACAAUAAAAAUGCAUUUUGUUUUAUCAAAAAUGGAGAUGCUGGUACAGUGAUUCUCGUUUGCAAAUACUUAUUUUCGUUGUUUGAUGCAGUAUAAUUUCACCUUGGAUCAAAAUUCAAAAUUUUCAAAGCGACUCAGUUCUAUCCUAGGCUGAAGUCAAUUAUAAUAAAAAAAAUAAAAGUAAGAAAAAAAGUAAUUAUUAAUUCAUCUUCGGUACCUCGAGUUUUACGUCGAUCAUUUUUGGCUAAAUAAAUUACAAAAUUGAAAAAAUUUUAAUCCCACAGAUAUACAAAUGUUCUGAUUCUUUUUAAAGUUGAUGGUGCUUAUCCUUCUAUUGUAAACGCUAAAAUAUAUUAAGAAAAUGAAUAUAUUCGUGUGCAACCACGUAACAGCAUCUAAAAAUAGUGGCUUAAUUGGGGGAACCCCAAAUUUGACCAAAGCAAAAGUAAUAUUCUAAGUUCCAAUGAUUCGUAGGAACUAAUUCUUUUUUUAUUUGUGGAAACUUAGAAGAACUAAGUCGCGUCACGUCUCUGGCGCAACGAAAAAGUAAAGUUAUUUUCGAACAUAAAUACUCACAUUAUAAAUUAAAUUAUCUAUUUCAUAUUUUUUAAUUAUUAUUACUGACUUUGUCGUGUAUAGUAACUGUAUUAAUUACAAUAAAUUAAAAUUUGUGGGCUACAAUAUAUCCCCAGCCUCAUAUAUAGUUUAAUUAUCAAACACGCAAUUUAUCCUAAAAAUUACUUUGGAAUUAUAGUUAAUGUUUGCGUAUAGAAUUAUGUCACGUCUCUGUGACAACGAAAGUAAUUGUCACAGUAACUUUUAAUAAUUUGGAUGUACUUUAUCUAGUUUUGUGGCGCAAAUUGUGAUAGGCAUUAGGAUAAUGCUAAAGAUAAGGAUGAUGUAUGCAUCAGAGAGGGAAUUUAUGUUUACGAUAUUUAAAAUUUGAGGUACCUAAAUUUACUUUUUAUUUUGUUUAAUUACAUCAACUAUUUUUCUCAUUAAUUGAUCUCAAAAUGAAAGGAUUUUCAACAUAAACAAUUUAAAAAAAAUAAAUAAUACAAUUUCUUAGUUUAAAAAAAAUGUCACAAGUUGAUAAGGUCUCAAUUUUUUUUAAAAAAAAUUGUCAAGUUAUAUUUCUAGUCGAUCUCUAUGCAGUUUUAUUUUACCUUAUUUUAAUUUUUUGAGUGCCCAGCUAAUAAUGUGUUGGUCCCAAACUUUUUAUUAUUCAUAUAUAUUUAUGGGACAAAAGGCGCUAAUAAAUGCUGCGGUUCUUUGGUGCCCAUAAAGAAUUGAUUGUAUAAGGAGCUUAAUGGCGAAAUAACAAUAAUAAUAAAAAAAAUUAUUGUGGUUUGCACUCUAUAAGCUUCGCGAGUGGUCCGUGCUAUAUAUGUAGAAUUUACCUUGUCAAAAUCUAGACCAAAUAAACCCUUCUACUAAGAGCAGUGUUAUUCUCAUCGAAUCGACGCGCUCCGGCGAUAGGGGGGCUCACAGUUUACAGUGUGGGUCCGAACCCCCUGAUCAAUGGUUCUCGUCGAUUCGAAUAGAAUUUAUCUUAUUCUGAACCAAAUACGUAGGGGGCAGUUUAAAUUUGACAUGCAGGUUCAGUUAUAGUUUUCGUAGCUGUCUAAUUUAAAUUUGAAUUUGAAAUCAAAUCUACAAAACUUGAAUUUCGAUUCGAGCUGUACUAAUAAGAGAAACUAAAAGCCCGGGUCGGGCUCAGAUUUUCUGAGCCUCUUAUAUUCGGAACUGGAAGAAGGCUUCUAGUUUCGAAAAUACCUAACAUAUAUUUCAAUUUUUCGAUUCUAAGCAACUGAGCUAUUUUGCCGAGCUCUCUUAAGCUGAGAGAAGUAACAUGCAGGUGACAUUCCUAAAAUGCGGCGGGGUGGCCUUUGGAACUGCGAUGCACCACUUCGCCACCGACGGGCCCAGCGCUUUCCACUUCAUCCAAACAUGGGCCAGCCUCGCCCGUGGGGAGGCCGCCGACGCCCUCCCCCCGCCCUUCCUCGACCGCACCCUCCUCCGCCCCCGCUCCCCUCCCUCCGUCGUCUUCCACCACCCCGAAUACUCCCCCGACACAUUCUCCGCCCGCUCGACCGCGCCUUACGUCGCCGCAAUCCUCAAGCUCUCCAAAGGCCAGAUCGCGCUCCUCAAGAGCCGCGCCAGCGGCGGUGGUAGCGGCUACGCCGUGUCGACGUUCCGCGCGGUCACCGCCCACGUGUGGCGGUGCUUGUGCGUCACCCGGAAGCUCGCCCCGGACGCGCAGACGCGACUCUACCUGCCUGCUCAAAUUCGCAACCACGUAAAACCCCCACUCCCGCAGCACUACUUUGGCAACGCGUUGAUCCGCGUAUCGGCGGUCACGACGGUCACAGAACUUGUGAACGGCUCUCCGUCAUUCGCGGUCGAAAAGAUCAAGAGUGCCGUCGAUAAGGUAAACGAUGUUUACGUGAGGUCGGUCAUCGACUACUUGGAGCUGCAAGGCAAAAGAUGCAUGUCGGCGAGGAACGGAGUUAGGGAUACGGAUCUGUGGGCGAUCAGCUGGCUCGGGAUGCCGAUGUACGACGCCGACUUCGGGUGGGGGCUCCCGCAGUUCAUGGCGCGGGCGCAGCUCUACUCCAGCGGCUUCUUGUACGUGACGAGCAGCCCCGGGAAGGACGGCGGAGUGACGGCAGUGCUCGGAUUGGAGACCGAAAACAUGCACCGGUUCAAGGACUUGUUCUACGAGGAACUUUCAUGCUUGCAGUGUUAAAAAAAAAAAAAAAAAGAGAAAAAAAAAAAGGUUACAACAUUGCUGUGCUAGUUCCAAUUUGGGCUUGUUUCGAUGUCAGAACAAGUUAUUUAUCUGGUGAUAGCUUGUGUGUUACUUACGAGUUUAAUUUCGAGCUUACUAUGUAUCAAAAGUUUAAGAAUACUACAUUUUCAAUUGUUACUGAUUAAACCGAACCGAUCGAAAUGACAAUUUGGUUUAAACUGAAUAAUGCUCGUUGUUUCCUACGAUUGCGGGCUUAGGAAGGGUCCAAUCUCUACUUGCUUGGGCUCGAUUAAAUUACGCGUUGGGCCGAAUGAUGCUCCGCAAAAUAAUGCAGCCCAUUUUAGUUGGAACAAGUAUUAUUAGAUUUUACGCGCAAAUAUAAAAAAGAGUAAUACUAUUUGUACACUUACUAGUGCGGUACGAAUUUUGUACUCUACUUAUCCAAAUGCUAGUUGUACACCUACUAAUAUACUUGUUGUACAUCCCAUACAAGAGAGUACAGAUUACACGUACCCUUGAGUCCAAAGAAAAAAAUCCAAAUUAAUUUUAGUAAAUAAUAAUAAUAAUACUAAGACUAGUUAGUAGAUUUUAAUCAUAUGAAUACUAGGUUGUACAUCUUACACUACCAUAGAUGUACAGGUAACAUUGCUCAGAUUUAAAAACUUUUUUUGAAUUAGUAGUAUAAAAAAAAAUUGAUCAUAAGAUUAAGGAGUAAAUAUAAGUCUUUUGAUAGCUAAAAUAUGAGAUUUAUAAUCAUAUAGCUAUAUAUACACCUAGUACAUAGGUGUAAAUCUUACGCCGCUUUUCCUCAGAAGGUUAGGAUAUUGCGACUUGUCAUAUCAAAUUUUUGAAAAAAUACUAAAAAAUCUUAAUAACUUUUGUAAACAUUUCGAUCUAAAAGUGUGAGACAUAUGCCAGGUGUUCUAUGUCACACUCGCACCACAUCACCUAUGUCCUAAAUUAAUCAAAUCUAUCCUUUUCAGAUAAAAGUAUAAAUUUUUAAAAAACAUAAAUUAUAUGGUAUCGAUGAACGCCAAGGACACGAAAAAGUCUAAAAUGUCGCAGUUACACAUAUAACCAUUCAAUCAAAUUCAACAAACCUUUAAAAUUUAUCCACCCUAUCAUGAUUUUUAAAAUAUUUUUUAUCUAUUCUUACCUCUAAAGAAAAAAUAUGAUUGGUUUGGGAUAUAGAUGGCGUGAUAUAAACGUGACAUUGUAAAUCACCUCUUGAGGCUGUGUUUGGAUCGGGAACAAGGACGAGAAUAAGCCCUUGUUUCCCACCUUUGUUCCCAAAUAUAAAUUUUCGUACUUAAGAACAUUAAUUCUCUGGUUCCUGCAAUAAGCUGGUAUAACUCAGUACAAAUUUGAAACUAUUGUUCCAUCAUUUUUUCUGGAACAAGAUUGCUCCCAAGUGGGAAAAAGGUUAUUUAAAGUCUAAAUUUAAUUUUAAUUAUGAUAUUAAAUUAUUAAUUAAUCUAAUUAUUAUAUUUAAAUCAUUAUCAAUUACUUAAAUAAUAAAGUAAUUAAUUAAAUUAUUACUUAUAAUUAAUUACAUAAUUAAUUAUUAAUAAUUUAAUGUGAUUAUUCAUAAACUAAUAUUUAUAUUGAUCAAUCAUUAAUAUUUUUAUUAAUAUAAUUAAUUUUUUUUACUAGUUAUCAACUAAAAUAAUUUACUAACCAAUUAAAAAGUUAAAUUAUUUUUUAUAAUUAAUUAAUUAAUUAACAUAUUUUUAUUUUCUUAUAUAAUAUUCAUAACUAAUAAAAUUAUUAAUUUAGUAAAUUAUUUUUAAUUAACAUUUUAAUAUAAAUUCAUUAGAUAAAAUAUUUUAAAUUUAAAAUUAUAAUUCUUAUUUCUCUCGUUCCAAUCUACCUAUUCAAAUAUUAUUUAUCUUAUUCUCAGGAACAAUUUAAUUUUCUUUCAAAUACAAAAUUUGUCUAGUUUCUAUUUAUAUCUGAACUUAUAUCUAUUUCUAAAAUUAACAGUCUUAUUUAUAUCCGAACAAAACGCAGUCUUAAUAAGAAUAUAUAAUUUGAUUGGCUUGGGACAUGGGUAAUAUGAUGCGACAGUAGUAUUUUUGGCUGUUUCCUACGAUGCAUAAACAAAUAGUACAUUUCUUGAAAUUCGGUCACUAUACUAUCGAUAGUACAAGCAUAGUUUAUCUGGUCAGUAUCGAUUUUUUGUACUUGUUUUAAUGCGAAAGGUUACAGUGAUUGGUGGGAGUUGCGGUUGUGACGUUUCCACGUGUCCAAUAAUGUACAUGUUUGGUCACAUUCAAAUUAAAGUUUGUGAGGGACCUCUCAUUGGACCUUGUGAUGCAAUCAUUUGAAAAAAAAAGAACAAAUUAUUUUUCUUAGUAUUAGUAUAUUUGGAAAGGGCUGGGGAGUUUAAGGGGUAUUUCGCCAAGCCUUUAAAAAACGUUUUUGGGUUGAAAAAUAAUUUUCUGCUCAACAGAGCGUUUGACAACUCCACUUUUAAAACCUGAUUCUGCUUUUUAAAAUUAGAAAACUGAUUUUGAAAACACCAGAAUCAGAAGCUGAAAAAAACUGCUUCUUAAAAUCUGAUUCUGAUUUUAGACUCAAACUUCAAAAUUUUAUUUUAAUUUUAAAUUCAAUAUUUAAGUUUAAAUUNCCCACACAAUCUUAAAUUCGUAACCGAAAUACGAGAGAACAAAAACUUAGCGUCUUAAGAUCCAUCACCAAACACAUAUUGCGAUCAAAAAUAGAGAACACAUGCGAGAACACAAACUGCUUAAAUACUAAUACCCGAGUAAAGAGGAGAGAUGAGCGAUCCUACCACCUGUCCCCCUCGGAGGCCCCGACGCUCCUCCCGUAGCGGUUCCCCCCCUCGUAGCCGCCUCCGUAGCCACCGCGGGACUGGGCCUCGUUCACGGUGAUGCUCCUCCCGUCGAGGCUCUUCCCAUUCAUCCCCUCGAUCGCGUCCCGCAUCGACUGCUCGUUGGCGAAGGUGACGAACCCGAACCCCCUCGACCUCCCCGUCUCCCGAUCGUUGAUGAUCUGCACCCCCGAUUAGCAAAUCUCAACGAUCCGAUCCGCGAUCAACAAGCUCAGAUCCAGAUCUCGUAGUCUCAGAUCUCAGAUCUCAGAUCCACGAGAUCUGGAUCUCAAAUCCACACCAAAAUCAAAUCGAAACAGGGAAAAGGGAUUAGGGAUCAGGGAUCGAACCUUAGACUCCAGGAUCUCACCAAAGGGUCGGAACGCCUCCUCGAGGGUGUGGCUAUCGGUGGCCCACGCGAGGCCGCCGACGAAGCAGCGGAACUCCACCUCGGUCGUCGCCAUAGAAACCCUAGAUCGGACGUACGACAGAGAAGGGAGAAUCGGGGAGAGGGGGAGGAGAUCCAACCCACCUCUAUCAGAGCACGAGAGGAAAGAAGAAACCCAAACCCUAGAUUUAUAGAUCAGAGGCCCGCGGUAAAGUUACCCCACUCCGCAUACGAUCACCGCCGUUCCUUAUCGUCAACACAGCGUCGCGUGCGGAUCGUGCGGUGGAGAGUGGGGGAGUAGAGGACUAUUAACUUGCGCCGCGGAGUACGGGACCCACUCCCGUGGAAUAUACGAGAAUAACUAUCUCUAGUAACGUCUACGGAAACAUCCCAAGAACAAGUCGAAGAACCGUUUCUAUUGGACCAACGUGGCAACACGCGAUAUUUGGACCAAUGGAAAGUGAGUUAUUUAAAACAAUCUUCGCAUUUUGCGUCGGCGUGUUAAGCGAAUAUCGGAUGGUUUACUUUUCUUUAAAAAGUGAGCUGUACACUAGCGCGCGCGUGAUACAAGGACAGUUUCUAUGCGGAACUCCGUAUAGUGCAACUUUUAGGAAGCGGGCGUGGCCGUUGAAUUGUGCUUCGUGGGUGUAUAUGGAGGGCAUCUAAGCGAAAGGCAUAGACUCUCUAUGCGGACCUGCGCAUAGAAGUAUUUGGUCGUUAGAUACAUUGUUCGGGGUUGGGGUGAGGCAAAAAUAUCUAACGAGUGGAAUUACUGUCUUAGCCCUGGAAUAAAUGUUUCAUCGUUAUCCUUCACCCGUAGACCGACAUAAUGGCGGACACGCGGCAGGCGUUGACAGGUUGAAGAGAAUGCGGACUUGGUUCACCACGUCAUCUUGAGAUGUCCCGGAAUCCGAAUCCGAUUAACGGUGUGUUCUGUCUAAUUUUUAAAAAAUAAUUUUGGAUUAAAAAAUAAUUUUCCAUUCAAUAGAGAUUUGUCAAUCUUAUUUCUAAAAUAUGAUUUCGAAGAAAAUAUGAUUUCGAAGGUUCCUGAGAAGCAAAAAUAAAUUGCUUCUUAAAAUCUGAUUCUGAUUUUGAACUCAAACUUUAAAUUUUUAUUUUAAUUUUAAAUUCAAUAUUUAAAUUUAAAUUUAAUUUUAAAUUUUAAUUUUCAUAUUUAUUUUUAAAUUUUUAAUUUUCAUAUUCAUUUUUAAAUUUUUAAUUUUUAAUUUAUAAAUUUUAAAUUUUGAAAAAUAGAUUGCAAACUUUAAAUUUUAAAUUUUAAUUUUUAAAUUUUAAAUCUCAAAUUUUAGAUUUUAAAAUUUUAAAUUUUAAGUUUUAGAUUUCAAAUUUACGAUAAAUUUUAAAAUUUGAUAUUUUAGAUUUUAAAUUUUAAAUUUAAACAUUUAAAAGUUUUAAAUUUUAAAUUAUAAAAUUUAAUCUUCAAUUUAAAAAUUUCAAAAUUUUAAAAUUUAAAUUUUAAAUUUUUAAAUUUUGAAUAUUCCAAUUUUAAAUUUUAAAUUUCAAAUUUCAUACUUAUUUUAAAUUUUAAAUUUCAUAAUUAUUUUAAAAUUUAAAUUUUAAAUUCUAAAUUUAAUUAUUUUUAAAUAUUAAUGUUUUAUAUUUUAAAUUUCGUAAUUAUUUAUAUUUUUAAAUUUAAAUUUAAACUUUUAAAUUUCAAAUUUACUUUUAAAUUUUAAUUUUUAAAUUUCAUUAUUAUUUAUAUUUUUAAAUUUAUAUUUAUGUUUUUAAAUUUUAAAUUUUUAAAAUUUUAAAUUAUUUUUAAAUUAAAAUAUCAAAUUUUAAAUUUUGUACAAUUUUGAAAAUUAAAAAUUUUAAUUUUAAUUCAAGUUUAAAUUUAGUUUUUAAAUUAUUUUAAAAUAAAAUUUAAUAAAAAUAUUAAUUUAUGCAAAUAUCAAAAAAAAUUCGCCAAACUGUUUUUCAAAAUCGCUUUAGAAAAAUCGUUUUUAUCUAAACUCAGCCAAAUGCUCUACACCUUUUAACCAAAAUCAUUUCUGCAAACUAAAAUUACUUUUUCAGAAGCUAGGCCAAACGGGCCCUAUCUGCACCAUUAAUAGAUUAUUAUGUGCACAAUUUAAUUAAUUAAUUUUGUCACAUAGUUGGGAACACGCACUUUUUUAUGCAACAUAUUUUUUUUGGGUACUGAUAUUUUCAAAAAAUUCUAUACUCGCAUAUAAGAGAUGCUAUUAUUUAUAUAUAAAUUAACUAUGAAAAUAGGAUUUUCUUUUUUAAAUUAUAUUAAUUUAUUGACGCAUGCAUACCCAUAAAUUAAAAAUACUCCUAAUUAGAAAAGAGCUAAUGAAUUAACAAUUCGAAAAUUAUUGGUAAACAAACUAGUUUGUUAAAUUUACUAGUUUUUUAUGAUAUAAAUUUGAUCAAAUUUGUUAAAUAAAAAUUAGAUUCUAAAAAAUUUUGUAAUCAAACUUUUUUAAGAAAAAAAGGGCAAUUGUUCUUUUUAAUAUGAAUCGUGAUCGUGGUUGGUGGGAGUUGCGGCUGUGAUGAGUUACACGUGUGAAAAAAUGUUUGGUAAAAUACAAAUUAAAUUUAGGCCGUUGAUCAUAGCCUCUCAAAGGUGGAUAACCUCAUUUAAAAAAUAAUAAUAAAUAAAAAUUUGUACAUUUGAACUCAAUUUUUUUUUAUUCUGAUACCAUAUUAAAAAAUAUGAAACAACUAAUCAUUAAUCUUCAAUAGCUUAAGCUGUCAACAAAUUGUAUUUUGACGCCAUAUUAAAGAAUAUGAAGUAGCUGCAAUUUCCAAUAGUUUAAGCUGUGAACGAAUGUUAUUAUUUUUUUUUUUGAGAGAGAGAUAGGUAGUACGCUACUCGCUUCGUUUAUUUCAUUUAGAAAUAAACUUAGUUAGAAAUGUGAAUCAACUAGGAUUCGAAUUUGGGUCUCGGAUACCAACCACCAAAUCCUUUGCCACUAACUCUAUAGACGGUCGGUAACGAACGUUAUUUUUACUGCAAGGAGCAUUGAGGAACUCGAAAUAAGAAUCUCCUGUUCUAAUGCCAAUAUUAAAGAAUAUGAAACAAUCAUUAAUCUCCAAUAGCUUAAGUUGCCAGCGAAUGAUACUUUAAUACCAUAUUAAAGAAUGUAAAAAAAGUUGUUAAUCUCCAAUAGCUUAAGCUGGUGGCGAACGGUAUUUUUAAUGCAAGGAGCACUGCAGAACUCAUAUUCACGACUUCCUACGUACCCUAAUAACAUAUUAAAGAAUGUGAAACGAUUGUUAAUCUUUAAUAGCUUGAGCCGUCAGCGAAUUGAAUUUUGCUAUCUAUUCGUUCAUUUUCGGUAGCUUAAAUUGCCAACGAACAAUAUUUUUAAUGCAAGAAUUAUUGCGGGAUUCAAACUCAUGACAUACUAUUCUGAUACUAUAUUAAAAAAAUAUAUAAAAUAACCGUUGAUCUUCAAUAGCUUAAGCAGCGAGCGAAACAAAGAUGCAAAGAGCAUAUUGCAAACAAAGUAAAAUAAAAAUUUUCCAUUAUUGUACAUGAACAUAAAUUUCCAUGGCCUAGCAUUUUUGAAAAUUAAAAAUAUACAAACAUGAAUUCAUGUGUUUAUGUGACGCCCCAACUUCCCAGGGGGUCACACAUCCUAGGACUACUCCUGUCCCAGCACGCUUAACUCUCUUAACCUCUUGGGCCUUGCCACCACUCAACAUGCUUAAGCUGGGUUAAGAGUUUAGCCCUAUUAUAUCUCAUAUAUAGGACUACCCGGGGUCUCACAAUCUCCCCCCCUUUACGCCCUGACGUCCUCGUCAGGCUCAAACUCACAAGUACCAGGCGAUGUGAGACUUGUCUCGCUAGCCCGUCAUCCAGACCCUGGCUCAGCCGAGACUCAUCUCACACUUCCGGCUGGUAAUUGGCUCUGAUACCAUCUGUGAUGCCCCAACUUUCCAGGAGGUCACCCAUCCUAGGACUACUCCCGUCCCAGCACGCUUAACUUUCUUAACCUCUUGGGUCUUGCCACCAUCCAAAAUGCCUAAGCCGGGUUAAGAGUUUAGCUCUAUUAUAUUUCAUAUAUAGGACUACCCGGGGUCUCAUAGUUUAUUUAGUCAAUUUCUAGUGGAAAAUGUUAACUAAUUAGUACUACCCACGUAACAUGCAUGUGUUCUAUAAAUAAACUAAUGAAAAGUUAGUGGAUUUGCCUCCUCAACGUGUCAUAAACUUAUAAUAAACUCCUCCUCAAAGGACACAAAAAUUGAAAUAAAAGAUUAUAAAAUAGAGUAAAAUAUUUGCAAUAAUUUUAUUUAUGUAUUUUUCCUUCAAGUUGUCAUUUGUCGUCUUAUUAGUUGGACAUUAAUGAGAUGCAAUUAAAAUGGGCCCAUUUUGCCCUUAAAAUAAUGGCAAAUAAAAGAGCACCACUAAAUUGUGAAAUGUGAACAUGCAUGCGAAACAUUAUUAAGAUUAAUUCUAUAGAAUCAUCUAAAUUUUUUUGGCUUAUUUGCGCAUAUACAGCUGUUAAAACUUUAAAAAUUUUAUGUUUCUCACCCAAAUUUUUAACUUUGUAUAUUUUUCAAUUGACCAUCUAAAUUUUUAUUUUACUAAUUUAAAGUUCUCUUAAAAAAAAAUGAACGUUAUACGCCAAUAAUAUUGGAGGAUCUUGUUGACGUUGAAAUUUAUUCUUUCAAUAAAAAAAAAGUAAUAUUUUACUAUUAAUUACUAAAAGUAAAUGUUAAUAAUUAUAUUUAGGUGAAAGCUUUAAAAUUUAGGUAGCUGUAUGUAAAUGGGCGAAAAAUCGGUGUUUCUGGCGCAUUUAAAUUUUUGUUAACCUCUUGCGUGACGCCCUACAUUUCAAGAGAUCAUACAUUCUAGGACUAUUUAGGAUCUUACAUUCUUCCCUCUCUUUAAGCCUUGACGUUUUCGUCAGGCUCAGAAUCACAAAUAUCAAGCGAUAUGAGACUUAUCUCGCUAAUCUUAACCGACCUUGUGAGGGAGCCGCGCUAGCUCUACUCACAGCAGUUAUCAGCAUGAGAGUUUCGCUCUACACACGCUGUAUAAUCUGACUAAGUUGAGGCUCAUCUCACGUUUUCAGCUGAUAAUUGGCUCUGAUACCAAUAGCUAGCGACACCCUACUUUUCAGAAGUCACUCAUUCUAGAACUAUCUGAGGUCUCACAUUUUGAUUCUCUAAAACGCUACUCUUAGGACGAAUUGACCUGCAUACUAUCAAAAAUUUUAAUUAGUUUGUGAAUACAACGUUAAAUAUAAAAUAAAACCACUUUCGUUGGUUUAAAUUUUUAAAGAUAAUUAAUUGUUUGAUAUGAUAUUAGAACAAUUAUUAUCAGAUCCGCAAAUUAAUUUCAGUUCCACGUUCCACAAAUAUAAAAAACAAAAAUAAAAUGCUAAUAAUAAUAAAAAAAGAAUAUAUCGUGUGAGCGUGACAAUGACUACGACGAUUUAAUUAUUAAAUUAUUGUGUAUAUCGCAUGUACGUAGUUAACUAUGUGACAAAAAUUAAUCAUACACCAAUUAAAAAUUGUGGCAUAUGACAAAAUCACACAUAAAUUAAAGUGUAGGCACGGUCACAUUUUUGUAUUUUAGGUAUAUAUGUAAAUUGAUAAACAAUUUAACAUAUCAUCCAUCUCGUGAUUGUGAAUCAUAGGAGUACUAAUAUAUUUUUUUUUGCUACACUUUUUUUUUUCGAAUAAACUAAAAUAAAAAUUUUAGACUAUAUAUAUAUAUAUAUAUAUAUAUAUAUAUAUAUAUAUACAAAAUAUUUUUGGUUUAGCAUUUUUGAAAAUAAAUAAAUAAAUGCAUGCGUUCAUGCGUUUAUUUUAUUCAAUUUAUAGUGGUGAAUAAAUAAGAGUUUUUAUAAAUUAAUGAAAAGUUAGUGAAUUUUCCUCCUCGGACGUGUCAUGAUAAACUCCUCAAAACACUCAAAAUGGAAAUGAGAAAUUAUAAAUAGAAUAAUUAUAUUGUCCAUAGUUUUUAUUUAUUUAUUUAUUUAUUUUUCUUUCAAGUUGUUACUUGUCUCAUUGUGACAUAUAUUCAUUUAUUAAUUAGAAAUUAAUGCGAUCCAACUUGGAUCGCAUUAAUGGUGAAGGAUUUUUACAUAUUGGAAAAAAAGAAAAAAAAAAGAAAAAAAAAAGAAAAGAAAAAGAGCACCACUAUGUUGUGGUUCUACAGUGGAACAAUGGAAAACAUAAAUUAAGAUAUAUUUUUGUUCACUUUAAUUCUACAAAAUAUUUCUUAUUAUUUACAAGACAAAUUUCUCAAUUAAUAACUUUAUUUGAGAAAGACUUAUUUAAUUAGUUGCUAAAGUUAAAAAAAAAUUAAGAUGACGGUUAAUAAAAAUGUGCUAAAAAUAUAUAAAAAAAAUAUUAUCUCAAUUAUUGCCUAUUUGGAUUUAGCUAUCUAAUUUUUAAAAUUUUUAAUUUAACUACCAGACUUUUUAAUUUAUUUGAUUUAAUAAAUUUGUGACUUUUUAACUUCAAGACUUGGAUACAAUGUUUAUCUUUACAAAUUUAAUUAGUAUAUUUUAUAUAAUUUAUUUAAUUAUAAAUUUAUUAAAAUAAAUAAUUAUUUUAAAUUUUAUAUUAGAAUAGCCAUCAAAUUUUUUAAAUCAACAAAUUGAAAGAUUAGAUACUGAAAUUAAAAUUUUAAAGAUUGGAUAAUCGAAUUAAAAUGGUCAAUAGUGUGGUUCAAAAAGCGCUAACCAGCUAUUCCAAAAGUACGCACCGAUAAGAAUGAGACAUUCAUCGCACUUAAGUACUCAGGCUUAAAUCUUAAGCUACCCCAAAAAGUACGUGCUGAUAAAAGGGCGCAUCCAUCGCAAGCUCAGCCUUUAAGCACUCAGGUAUAGUGCUCACGUGUUUCGACCUGACUCAAUCCAUCUCGUCGAUGAAUCGAUUAUUGGAUAUCUUACCAUUAGGUCUAAUUGUGAACUAUAUUUUUACUAAAGAUAUUGGGCUUAAUACAACUCAAUUUAUUAGCGCCCUAAAUUUAUUAUUAAGAAAUAAAAAAAUUAAAUAUAGUGCAUUCAACAAAUACUUUCUAAAAGUUUUAUAUAUUUUUACCUAAAACUGACAGAGUUCUAAUCUUAUAUAGGUAAAAAAAAAAAAAAAAAAGGCAUUAAAUGUGAAAGGGUCUUUGAUUUGUCCCAUCCUUGUAAAUGUCCAUAUCAAAUAUCAAAUAAUCAAAACAAUGGAUCCCACAAAAGUUGAAUUUUAAUCAAUUUAAGAUAACCAAUAAAUAGAUUAGCAACUGUAUAAGUUUAGAAGGCAAAAUUAUACUAAACUUAUUUGAAUUAUAGACUAUUUUGAAUCAACUAUUUAAUCUUUUAAAAUUUUAAUUUAUUAUGCAAUCUCUUAAUUUGUUUGAAUUUAGUCGGUCAGCAGCACUUUGACUUCAAAUUUGAAUGAAUCGUUUAUUUUUACAAAUUUAAUUAUAUACUGUAUAUAAUUAUGGUAAAUGUAAAUUCAAUAAAGUAAGAAUUAGCUUAAAUUUUAAAGUCAAAUUUUAAAGCAAUUAAGAAUUAGCUUAAAUUUAAUAAAUUAAAAGAUUGGAUAAUAAAAUCAAAUUUUUAAAAGACCACCAAAUCUGGUCGAUAGCAGUACUUUGAGACUUGCAUAUAUAAUUUUGUAAAAAGUUUGAAACAGAAAGAAAAUUAUUUUAUAUUCUAGUACAAAAAAUAAUAAUAAAAUUAGAUGGAUCAAUGUGGUUCUACGAUAAGUUCUGGUGCUUAAUUAUCAUAAAUAAAAGAGAAGAAACACCAUUUUUUGUUUGAAAUUUUGAAAAAUUAUGUGUAAACUAAGAAACCAAAACAGUAGUGUAAUUAAUAAGCUCUAGAGAGUUGCUUAUUAAAUUAUUUGAUAACUAUUCAAAGGUCUAAUUUUUCAAAAUUAAAAGUAUAAAAAUCUAGUUGCAAAAAUAUUAGAGGCCUUUCAUAAAUGUUAUUUUUACUGAAGUUCUGCACGUAAUUAUCAAAACUAAAAGGGAGUGUAUAUAUAUAUAUAUAUGGUCCGCUACUUACAUUAUGUAGUACGAUCACUCUCGGUACUCAUAAAGUUUGUUUCGAUAUAGAGCCUUCGCAAUCGAUGAUCGCACACCGUUAAACGUUAAUUUACAAUCAUGUAAGAACUUCUUAAAAUUCAAAUUUUAUACAUUUUUCGACAUCAUUUACCCUUAGCGGUCAAGAGGUCACAAAUUUGACAAUUUUUUAACGGCGUUAGAUACAUGUAGUUUUAACGCGUGUAAAAGAAUCGAAAUUUAUGAAUUUUUGAUUAGAAAAAUUCUAUUCAGCUACAUAAUAAAAAUCAAUAACUCCGAUCUUAAUUGAAGGACCGAUCAUCCUUUUUUAGGGACGUCGUUCGCGAUUGAUCCGUUCAGUUUUGCCGCACUUGAUGAACUUUAUUAGAUAUUCGAGAAAAUUUACGAAAUUUAUUUUUUAGAAGUAUUCAAAUACUUUAUGAUCAUAUUUACGGAGUAUAUUUCGAUUUCGGAUCUCCAUCAUUGAAAAACCAACUAUAUGCAGUACUGAGGGCUUCCAAUUAUCAUAAUAUGAUUAGUAGGCCAGGGCCUAUAUAAUAUAUAUAGUAUAUAUUAUAUUGAUGAGAGACGAGAGAGCAAGGAGAGAGAUUUUGAGAGAGAGAGAAGAGAAGUUACUAGACUACUAUAGUAGCAAAAAUUUCAUUGUUCUACCAUAAUUUUUAGCAUUUGGUAUCAAUUUUCUCUUUUCAUUAUUGCUAACCAUUGAAUAAAAUAUAUAGACCCAUGUGGACCAAUCACAUACCCGGGACCACUCAACACUAACGAUAAUAUCAUCCUGACACCUUACAAUUUUUUUUUCUCAUCCCAAGGGUUAAAAUUUGAUAGGAAAAAGAGCUUUUUACUAUUAAUCAGUAUUCAGUUCGAUAUAGAAUUUAGGCUCGAAUACUAUUAAUAGUAAAAACGCUUCUUUUUCCUAUCAAGAUAUUUAACUUCCUGCGAUGAAAAAUUUGUAGUGUCAAGACAUGAUAUUAGCGGUUAGUGCUUGUUUUCCCACUUGCCUAGUUGAUGGUCCCCACUGGUUAUAGUUUUAAGCUCCAAUGGCUUAAGAUAAUAAUACAAAAGUUGAUUCCAAAUAUUCUAAAAAACUGGUAUGCAACAAUGAAAUUUUGCUACUAAUACUAGCCCAGUCCAACUCUCUCUCUCUCUCUCAUCUCUUCUCUCUUCUCUCUCUCUAUAUAUAUAUUAUAAUAUAUUAUAUAUAUAUACGUCCGUACCACUUACAUAUCGAUAAGUACCAACUCUAUACUAUUGAGUUCUCUAACCGUAGACCAACACAUUCUGAUCAUUCCACCCGUUAGACUUUAGUAAUAUUAACCAAGCCACCCACUCAACCAUAAGAGGACCACUAUCAAUAACGGGACCACUAUGAUCCUACUGCACAUCUUAUUUAUCCAACGGCCGAAAAUUCAAUAGCUACCAAAGGCUGGUACUAUUGAUAUUAUAAUACUAAUCAUAAUAUAUAUAUAUUAUAUAUAUUAUAUACUAUAUAUUAGUAUAUAUUUGAGUCGUUAUGGUGCGUAUAAAAGUACAAGCACUUGGUGCUUGUAAUUUUUUAAGUCCGUAUAGAUCUACGCUUUGAUCAUUUUCACCGUUAGAUUAUACUAUUCAACCACCACCCACUAAACCAAGGGGUGGGUGGUAUAUCUAUAUAUAUAUAUAAUAUAUAAUUAUAUUAUAUUAUAUAUAAUAUAUAUAUUUAUAUAUAAUGGUGAUCCUCCAUGCCUAUAUUAAAAGUUAACCAAAAUCAUUGUGCUGUAAAGUUCUUUAGCCCUUGAAUUAAUAAAUGUGCGGUUAGAGAUGCGAGCUCCCUAUGGGUUGAUGGCGUGGUGUUGAAUAGUAUCAAUCUAACGCUCUGUAAAGAUCAUCAGUGCUGAUCUACUACGUUAAAAAACCUACCAAGCACAUAAGUCAUUGCUGCCUGUUUUAGUCAACGCCCAUAGCGUACUAUAUAAUAAUAAUAUAUAAGUAAUAUUAAUAUAUAUAUAUAUAUAUAUAUAUAUUAUAUGAGCAGGGCUGCUCUGCUCUCAGUGACAACGGCAGGCCCUGUCCUGAGCCGUUUUUCAUGAUUGGAAUUUCGCAAUCUGACGAUUCCUCGCUCCGUUAGACUUGAUCUAGCGCAUUUGAAGUUUCUUAGAUCAAAUAAUUUUUGUGCAUUUUUCGAUCUCAUUACCUAGUGAUCGAAAUGAAAUUCAAAAUCCAUAAAUUUUAAUGUUGAUAUUGCCCGUUUUCAAGUAACAGUGUAGAAGUAUUCAAAUAGAUGAAAUUUUAAUAGAAAAUUUCUUUACUACUUACAACAAAUCUAUAUAUUCUGAUCGAGAUUUUUAGUACCUUAUCUACAACUUUUAUAGAAUUUUUAUUUCAGCCGUUAAAAUUAAUUGAUUUUGAAUUCCUUUCGAUUGCUAGGGUAAAUAUAUCGAAAAACGCAAAAAUUAUUUUCCUAAAAUUUAAAUACAACGUAGAUCAAGUUAACGGAGCCGAUCGUGCGAUUCGAAAACUCCAUCAUCGAAAACGGUCUAGGUGAGCACGGAGGCCUCCGGCCCUGAAGCACGCACCUGCGACUAUAUAUAUAUAUAUAUAUAUAUAUAAUAUAUAUUCUUCAAAAUUCAUAUGUCAAACAUGUAAUCGAAAUGGUCGAGCAAUUAAUACGUUCGUGUAAAGAGAGAGGUGUACAUUAUUUGACUAUUUGAUGCGUAGAAAAAAUGGACUAAAAAUCAGAAAUUACGAUUUUAGAACCCCCAAUAGCGUAUAUAAAUUAUUGGGAGAUUCUCAAUAGAUUUAGCUGUUGACGGAGAUCGUAUGGCCCGACGGAUACGGAGCCUACAGAACCAAAAGAUGGAGAGAGAGACGUCAGUCUCAGAUAGAGACCGGGGCCGAAGAGAGAUCAGACAGAGAAAUAUAGCAACCGGUCGCGCCCACAGCACGAAACACGAGAAGAGAGAUAUUUGUCUCGAAGAGGAAAAAAAUUUAGAAUGCAACGAAUAUAUUGGUGACGUGACGUAACAAAUCAAUCAAAUAUCUUCUUUUAGAGGUAUACGUUUUAUAAUAAUUGUAAAAAGAAUAUUUUUAUUAUACUUUUGUUUUAAAAAAAGGAAUGUGAUUGGCUUGUUAUUGAUGACGUGGUGCAAGUAUGACAGUAUAGAAUUCAUCCUCGAAGAGAGGUCGGAAUGAUAGAUCAGAGAGAGAGAGGACAAUCAGCGGAGCCUCAAAUGGGAAAGCAAAGCAGGAAUCCAAGCAACCGAAAAGCCGACAUGCAGAUAUUUGAUUAUUUCCGACGUAACGAGUAUUCAAUUUAAACACUCUAAUAAUGACUUAUCAGAGAAAGAAGUGUUGAAUCCAACUCUGUUUUGAAUUAGUCUAAUAUCACUGCAAAAGCUUAACUUAAUAGAUAAAAAACCUCUCGAUUUAUCAAACAAUUCAGAAUUCUAAUUUAUAUUUAAUACGAAACUAAUAUAUUUAACGUUUCUGCUCGGCCUGUGUUAGGUUUUACUAGCGAAUGAAAAUUGGACAAAAAUGGACUAAAAAAAAGAUGAGAAUUGUAUUUUAGCUUUUCCAUUAAUAUCAUUUUUUUUCUAGGGAAAAUUUUCAAUUGGCCCCUGUGGUUUAGUGUAUUUUCAAUUAGGUACUUUAUGAUUUGAAUACCAUUAAGUAAGAUACUAAAUAGAGACAAUUUAUAAACUAUAGGAUAAUAAAUUAAUAUAUUUUUCAAAUCAUGGGAUAGUAAAUUGUAGCAUUUUUGUAACUUAUACUUUUAUAUAGCGUGGUUUUUAAAUAAAUUAAUUUAGUACUCUACUUAACGGCAGAUCUUAAUGAAAAAUGAGACACUUUAAAUCGCAAAAUACCAAACUGAAAAUAUGCGAAAUCACAGCAGAGCAAAAUGGAAGCUUUAUCUUAUUUUUAAUCAGGAAGUUUUGAGCUAAUCAAGGAUUAGUUUAAAUUAAUCAAGGUUAGUUAACCAAUCCAAUUCAAUUAAUCCAAUUGAAUUUAAAGUUGUCUGCAUCAGUUGGCAGUCUUUUCUGCCAAUCUUUAAAUUCAUAUUCCGUGAAAGACUUUUUCUCAUUCCCUGACAAAGAAUGGUACUAAGAUUGAUUGCUGGGACUACGACGACAACAACGACGACGAUAGUGGCAAAAUCCACGUAAAUUAUUCAUUGUAUUUGAAAUUUUUUGAUUGAUUAAUUAGCAAGUACUUACCGAGUCUCGUCGAUCUCACGAUGUCAAGGUAAACGUAAGCUAUGCGGCAAAUACCAAAGAUCAUGGAACGAUGACGAUGGUGGCGGCGAAACCACGUAGAUUGCUUCUUCUACCUGGAGACUGUGGUUUGAUUGGCGAACAAUCACCCAAUUUCAUCGAUCCCUCGAUCUCAGAUUAGAAGUUUUUAAGUCAUGUCACAAUUUCCAAACCUAAUUUAUUGCUCGUACCUAUUUGUGCCUAACCAAUCCAAUUUAAUACAUGUAUUAUAUUUGUUGAAUAUAAGAAUAUAAAAAUAUCAUUCUCUAAAAGCUUACUGUAUUAGAGAAAAUAUUUUUAUCAAAUCAGAAAGUUUCGGAUUCGAAUACAGUCAGGCUCUUACAGUUUAGUAUAUUAAAAAAAAAGUUAAUUUAAUUAUAUUGCACAUUUCCAAACCUAAUGUAUUUUUUCAAACCAUAUUUAUGCUUAACCUAUCCAACUCAAUAUAUGUAUUGCAUUUGCUGAUUAUAAAUAUAUAAAUAUAUAAAAAGAAGUUAUUUUAUGUUCUCUAAGAUGGUGGAAAAAUAUGAGAAUAAGAAGUUUUGAGUUCAAAUUCCAUGAGAGUCCCAACAUCUACUAUCUUAAAAAAAAUUUAAUUUUAUAAUUAUAAUUUAGAUUAAUCUAAUGCAUGUAUUGCACAUAUCCAAAUCUAAUCUAUUGCUCAUAUAUACCUCUUUAUGCCUAACCAAUCUAAUUUAAUAUAUGUAUUAUCUUUGUUGAAUUUGAAAAUAUAAAAAUACCGUUCUCUAGUAAUUUAAAGUAUUAGAGAAAAAUAAGCAUUUUACAUUUUUUUUAACAUGAUAUUGGAAUAAAAAGUUUUGAGUUCAAAUUCAGUGGGACUCUUCACUUCUAUUGUCUUAAAAUUUUAAAUUUUUAUAAUUAUAAUUCAGAUUAAUCUUGUGCGUGUAUUGCACGGAUUAUAUAUGCAAGAAAAGUACCCAAAUUCUCAUUUUGUGAUAUGAAUGAAAGCGAAUGAAUUGAUUAGUGAUCAAUAAUUAGAUUAUAAUUUGUCGCGCCAUUUCAAAUAGAAACCUAAUUCUAGCUUAGUUUACCACUUAUAAUCUAAUAAAGGACAUUACUAGGACCCUCACAAAUGCAAGCAAGCACCAAAAUUAGCAAUUUGUGACAUGCUUAAGUAACCUACAAAGUGAUUAGUCAAAACUUAUAUAAGGUGACAUCAUUUUCAAACCUACAUCUUAGUAUAGCUUAAGCAAUUUAUAAUAAAGGAUAUCUCUAGAACUUUACUGAUGAAAGGAAAAUAGCAAAAUUCUCUAUUCAUGAUAUGUUAGAAUAACUUGGAUUUUUUUUUUCUUAGGGAAAACAAGCCCUGAGGCGAUUUUAUUUAAUUAAUCAAUGAAUACAGACUGAGAAAAUUCAUCAAUUGAAGACAAAAAAAAAAAAACUUUUUACUAGCGAGGUCUCAAGUGGCCAAGCGAUCCGCGACUAUAGCAUUCUUAGAAAAUCUCAAGAUGGAUUUGAAUAUCUCUGUAAAAAUCCAUAGCUCUGUGAUUCUUGUCCGAGUUUCAGGUGUUUAGCAAAUCUAAAUGAUAACUCCUGAGGUGCAAAGUUUUGAUAUUAAUUAGAUGCUGAAUCUGAGAAGAUAUGAAAAGUUUCUCCAAAAUACAUUUGUAAAAGAAGCUCUAUCGCUCAAGGGAUUGCUCCAAUUUCCACCGAGCAACUUCGAAAUUGAUUAGUCAAAAUAUAAAUAGUGAGCCAUCAUUUUCCAAUCAAAAAUAUAUACCAAUCUUAGGCCAACAAAUUUGAAGGACAUUAGAAGAAUCUCGAUAGAUGGAAGUAAAAAUCCAAAUUUUUAUAUAUAAAAAUAUUAUGCAUUGGAUGCUACAUAAAAUUAUUGGCAAAAAUAUAAAAGAACAUCCCCAUCAAUACUCUCAUUUUUCAUUUUUUCUCUCUGCCUUUCAAAAUUUAUAUUUUAUUCCCUUAAAAUUUUAAUUUGAUGCAUUUAAUUUUCCUUCGUCAGAGUUUCGUCACUAUUCUCUCCCGUUCUUAUAAUUUAUACCGAAAAUACUUUGUAAAAUGAUAGAAAUAUACUAUUUUUUAUAUAUAUAUAUAGAGCAAGUAAGAGCAAUUUUGUUAUUUCUUCAUCUUUAGCUAUUAACGCAUAACCUUGCGAAAAUAUUUUUUUAAUUUUAGAGGUGCAAAAUUUAGAUUUUUGAAAGUGAGAGAGAAAAAAAUAAAAAAAUAGAUAUUUACAGAAAAUUUUUUAUAUUUUUCCCAAAACUAUUCUUACAGGCAUACUUUUAUUUUUUUUUUCUUUUCACNUAAUCUAACGGGUGAAAAUGAUCAAAGGUGCAUAUCUAAUGGUAAAAAAUUCACAAGCACCAAGUGCUUGGUACUUUUACAAAUAUAGAGUUGAGCUACAAUACUAUCUGUAGUAAACGAGUCGUUUUACUACCGAUUUGUUUUCGAUGAUAGAACUUCCAAAUUGACAAUCGGCUCCGUUGAAUAUGAUCUAUACCACUUGAAGUAUUUAGAAAUCAAAUUUCAUACUUUUCCUAUAUUGUUCUCUUGUCUAUCAAGAUCGAGAGUAUAGAUCUUGUUCUAAAUAGUUUAAAGAAUUUUCUAGCCAAAAUUCAAUUGAUUUGGAUAGCUUUACACCGUUAAAUGAGAAAAUGCUUCAUAUUUACCAUUAAAAUUAUAAAUUUUAAAACCUUUUGAUCAUUAGGUCAAUGAUGUCAAAAAGAUUUGAAAUUUAGUUUCUAAAUACUUCAACUAUUAUAGAUCAUGUUCACCGGUGCAAAUAGUCAAUUUGGAGUCUACAUCAUCGAAAACAAAUGGGUGGCAACGAAGGCCGUUUGCUACCGAUAGUAUUUUAGCUCAACUUGGUGCUAUUGAUAGUAUUCCAGCCUAAUUUUAUAUAUAUAUAUAGAGCAAGUAAGAGCAAUUNNNNNNNNNNNNNNNNNNNNNNNNNNNNNNNNNNNNNNNNNNNNNNNNNNNNNNNNNNNNNNNNNNNNNNNNNNNNNNNNNNNNNNNNNNNNNNNNNNNNNNNNNNNNNNNNNNNNNNNNNNNNNNNNNNNNNNNNNNNNNNNNNNNNNNNNNNNNNNNNNNNNNNNNNNNNNNNNNNNNNNNNGGUUAAAUCUAACGGUGGAAAACUCGUUAGCACCAAAUCCUUGGUACUAUCGAUAGUAUCCCAACCGGACUCUCUCUCUCUCUCUCUCUCUCUCUCUCUCUCUCUCUCUCUCUCUAUAUAUAUAUAUAUAUAUAUAUAUAUAUAAUAAGUCUUGUGUGCUAUUAGGAGCACAAGUCUUGUGUGCUAUUAGGAGCACGGAGGCGGAGGUCUCCGUGCUCCUAAGCCGUUUUCAAUGAUGGAGCAUCCGAAUCGACAAUCGGCUCCGUUAGACUUAUCUAACGUAUUUGAACUAUCUAGAAAAUAAUUUUUGUGAUUUUUUGGUAUCAUAUUUCUAGUGAUCGAAAGGGUUCAAAAUCAACACUUGGUGCUAUAUAUAGAGUCCGGCUGCUAUGCUAUCGAUAGCACCAAGCAUUUGGUGCUAUCAAAUUUUCUACCGUUAGAUUAACCCCUUCCAUUAUUUUUACCCGUUAGAUUAUGCUAUUCAACCAACCACCCACUCAACCCUAGAAGACCCACAUCAUCCUAACCGCACAUUUGUCAAUCCAAGGGCUAAAAAAUUAAUAGCACCAACAACUUGGUGCUAUUGAUAUUAUUUCAGCCUAGUUCUAUAUAUAUAUAUAUAGUCUGUCUACUAUAUUCUUAUAAGUACGAUCACCUUCGCACUCAUAAGUUGUUUUUUAUAAUAGAGCUUUCGAAUCAACGAUUCAUGCCGUUAAAUAUUUUCUAGAAUAUUUAAAACUUCUAGAAAUUAAAUUUUAUAAUUUUUUGACAUCAUUUACCUUAUGAUUAUUUCUAAGGGCGCGGUAUGGGAUACUUGCUAAUUUAACGAGGUAAAAGAAUCAGAAUCGGUUGAAUUUUUUAUUAAAAGUUCUAUUCACUAUCUAGAAAAAAAUCAAUAACUCCGAUCUUAAAUUGAAGGAUCCGACAUCCAUUUUUAGGACAUCGUUCAAUUUUGACCGUUCAUUUUUUGCCUACUUGAUGAAUUUUAUUAUGAUUUCAAAAAUUAUAAAAUUUAUUUUUUAGAAAUUUUAAGUACUCUAGAUCAUAUUUAACGGAGUGGAUCGUCGAUUCGGAAGCUCCAUCAUCGAAAACAACUUAUGAUUACAAAGGGCUCUAUACUCAUAAGAGUAUAGUAGCCCUACUCCUCUCUCUCUCUCUCUCUCUCUCUCUCUCUCUAUAUAUAUAUAUAUAUAAUUUUUGAUUUACCUCGGGCUACUAUUCAAAAUUUUCAAAAUUAUCUGAAACUACCAAAAUAUCCUUCUAAAUCUCAUAUUCUAUUACUAAAAUUUUUUUAAUUUAUCAUGAAAUUAUCAAAAUAUCCUUCUAAAUCUCAAAUUCUACCGUAAGCUCUAGGAGUUCGGGAAUAUUUGAAAGAAUUUGUGAAAAUUAAUAAGAACAUUUUGGUAAACCAGAAAUAUAUUAAAUAUUUUUAAAAUUUUGAAGGAUAAAUUAGAUAUUAUCCCGAAUAAUAUGUACAUACGUAGAAUCAAAUAGCCCUUUUAAGCAACAAGAUCUAAUAAAGCGUGUUACUAUAAUUAACCUCUAUGAAAGUAAGCAAAGCAGCAAUAAGUGAAGUGAAGAUAUAAAUAAAAUAUAUUAACAUUUUCAAAUCAAAAUCAUAAGUAAUGAAUGCAAGGAAAUAAAAAGAAAAAAGGCCUUUUCAUUUCAUAAUAUGCAAAGUUUUAAUUAAAUUAUGAAUUAUUUAUCAUACCCGUGAAACAGAUGCAACAAUAAUAAAAUAGGCAUAAUCGAGGGAAAGCAUGUGGUCACACUAUACUUGGUAUUAUUAAAUGUUACCCUUUUUGACCUAUAUAUUGCAGUGCAUACCAUGUGACAUGUUAUUUUAAUUUGACACUUUAAUUAGAAAAAUAUACAUAAUUAUUACAGCCAAGAGAUAUAUUAUUAUAUAUAUAUAUAUAUAUAUAUAUAUAUAUAUAUAUAUAUAUAUAUAUAUAGUACAAUAACAUGUGAUAAUUUUAUUUUAAUCGGGCACGUUAACCUUAAAAAAAAAAGAAGAAAUGUUAUUUUGAUUCAGCAAACAAGUGCGAGGGACAUGCUUUGUGUCCAUUAUUUUAAAUUAUACGUGUUAUUUAACUACAAGUUUUCAUAUUAUAUAUGUAAGAAUAUUUAUUAUAUAAGAGUAAUAUUCUGUUACACUAAACGUUAUUUUUGUGUGUAUAUUAAUCAAAUUUUUCUAUAUUUAUACACUAAUACACCAACUAUUUAUUAGGUUAGGUUAGGAUUAAUUGCAGGUGACUUGUAAUAGUACUCUAUAUAAAAUAGUUGAUUUUUAUAUUAACAAAUAUUUUUUUUAUUAAUUUGAUUCAAAAUUGAAUUUUAGAAUAUUCAAUGAAUCUGAUAGGUGUCUUAUUAAAACCAAAUAUGUCGGUAUCACGAAAAGGAAGUACGAAUAAUUAUUUAUUAGAAAAUAGAGUAUCCCUGCAAGGAGUCCACUAUAAAAUCUUUUCGUAUUAAUUAGUAUUUUCGAUACAGAGGAUUCUGAUUGAUUCAUAAAUAGGAAGCUUCUCAGCAACUCUUUAUUUAGAAACUCUCUGUAUGUUGCUACUUGUCUAAAUAGUACGAAAUGAAAUUGAUGAGAAUAAUCCGAUCCACACUAUAAUUUUGGAUUCAUUACUUAAAAAAGAAGUACUAAGUCUACAAAAAAAGAUGGUAGGAUUAUAAUCCUCAAUCGAAAAGUUUUAACCCUGUUCUUAAAGUUCAUAUAAAUUUUUUAAAUUUUAACAUUAAAAAAAAAGAGAAAAAUUUGACUAUUGAGACGAAUUUGACGCGGAAUGAUAAGUUGGAAGAAAUAUUUUAUGAUUGUUUCUUACAAAUUGUAUCUCUUUCUUUUGUUUUAAGUCCUACUAGCAGUGUUGCAAGCGUCGUAAUUCUCUAAUUUCUUUUGAGUUGUAAAUUUAGGACGUGUUUGGUUCACCUAUAUAAACUAUGAAACAGAAAUAUGAUUCAUUGAUUCUCAUAAUUAUUGUUUGUUUACAGGGAUCAAAUUAUGAUCCGUUUCAUUCUGAAAUACAAAUGUUCAAUACAUUUGUAGCCUAAUCCAACUUUGAGUGCUUGAUUGGCCUAUUCGAAUGUAAACGACCCACAACCCUCUUUCACAGAAACCUCUUAGUCCUUUCCAUUUAUGACUCUUCGCUCUCUUAACCAAGACUUUCUCUUAGAAUUCUAUAUGUCGAUUCUGAUUUUUCUUUUAAUAAUAAAUCAAAAGAAAAUUGGAUAAUCCUUAGUUUAUUCUUCAUUCUAAUGCAAUAUAAUUUCGUUUCUCAUUUUUAUUCUAAUUAUGAGCCAAGAAUGGAUUCAAAAUUAAUAAAAAGGACCGAAUUCUUUUUUUACCAAUUCUUCGUUCUUCAGUCUUUUUUUACUUUGACGCUAUGAAAUUACAGUAAAACCCACCACCGAAAGUGAAAAUUACACUUUUGGUUCUCCAACUUUAAGAAAUAUUAUUAUUUAGCCCUUAAGUCUUCUAAAUCAUUACAAUUAAACCUAUGUCACAAAUCAUAUAAUUUGAGCUAUAAAUUAUAACAAAUUAAAAUUUAAAAACUAAAAUAUCAUGCGCAUUAUAAGUACGAGCAUCAAAAGUGUAAUCUAUCCCCAAUUUUUACGUUUAACUUCUAAAAAAUAACCAAACCAGGAAUUUAAUUAAUUAAAAGCUUAGCUCUAAUUAUUAUGGGUGUAAUCUAUUAUAUUGGCAUAAAUUUGUCUGUGGAAAGUGAGGGAUUCUACACUGUCACACUUGCACCACGUCACCAAUAAUAAGUGGAUCACGUUUCUUUUUUUCAAACAAAAGUAUGAUAAAAAUAUAUUUUUAUAAUAAUAAUGAGACAUAUCUUUAAGAAAAUUUUGAUUGAUUUUUCGCGUCACGUCAUCAAAUAUUUUAAAAUUUUUCCAGAAGAGCAAUCCGGUCAUUACUGCAGAAUAACUGAAGCAGAUACAGGCGGGGACCGUACGGUUUACAGACAGACAACAAUAACCCGCUACUCACAUUGCACGCGAGUGCUGACUUCCAACUCGUGGGCUCGUGUCAGACGCUCACAUGGGACGACUGCAGAAACAUGUACGACAGCUUUUUAUUUUUUUUUUAUUAUUAUAUAUUUUAGGGGCAGUUUGAAGGUUAAAAUAUUGGGUAAACUUCAAAACUCAGCCCUGUAGUUUCACACUUUUUCACUUUAAUAUAUAUGAUUUAAAAUGUAUCUAGUUAGUAUCAUGUUGUUUUAUUUUUAUUUUUUUUUUUGUUAAUAUUUCGUUAAAUUAUAUACAAAAAACUUCAGAUACUUCGCCUAGAUUUAUCGAAUAUUAAUUUCAGUAUAUUUUAGUUUUAAAUUUUGUCAUUGUUUUAAUAAAAAAAACUUAGUAGAAUCGGUAAUAAAAAAACAAAAACAAAACAGUAGGGCAUUAAAUUGAUAUACUUUAAAUCAUAGGGUACUAACAUGAGAAAGUAUGAAACCACAGAGAUGGUAUUUGAAGUUUUCCCUAAAAUAUUUUUUAGGGCAAUUUUACGAAGGAGGUAAUAUACUAUUUUUUUUAAAAAAAAUAUUAUAUAUUUUUUAAACUAAUAUUUUUUUUAUUUUUUUAUAGUGUUUUAAACAUUGAAUAAUAAGCAAAAAAAUAUUAUCACGAGUACAAUUGUCUUCGUAUUUAUAAAUUUUUUUUAUAAUAACAUUUUUGAAUCAACAUUUCCGUGCUAUAAACAUAAUAUAGAAUAUUUAAAUAUUGUAAAAAUAUUUUAAAAUACAAUUCAAAGCAGUUAAAAUAUUGAUUUUCAGAACUCUUUAUAUAUUUUUCAUGAAAUUGAUUCUUGUGGUUAAAGGUGUUCUAGUCUCUUCACAUAAAAUUAUUCGUUUUUGAGUGUUUUUUUUCUUCUUAUUUUUUUGAGGUAAACUUAUUGGUACCUUCCAAAUUUUUAUCAAAGUUUUACUUUGACCUCUAUUUCUUUUCUUUUCUUUUUUUCUAAGGGACGAAUGUACGAAAACAUCACUUAAAACUUUAGAAUUUUUGAUAAAUAAUGUUUUCAACUUUCAAUUUUGACAACUAAAUUCUCUAAAUUUUAUUAAAUAAUUUACGUAUAUGCUCCUUGUCGAGCAAAAUUACUAAUUAAAGCUUUAAAUAUAGCGAAAUAUGUCUUUUUUUAUUUUAAUGCUCAAACAGUUUCUAUAAAAUCCGUCACAAACAUAACAGUUUAAUUAGUAACUUUACUUGAAGAGAAAGACCAUACAAAUUAUUUUUUAAAUUUUAGAAUUUUAAUUAUUAAAAUUAAAAGUUCAGAGAGUCUAUCGACAAACUAUAAAGUUCAGAAGGUAUGUAAUUUCUCGUAUCUUUUAAAAUGAUUAUUUUCAUACAAGGGGGUGAAGUAACGAAUAAAACCUUAGUAGGAAACUCCUCGGCAACAUCGAUCUCCUCAUUUUUUUUCAAAUGUAAAAAUUGUAUCAGUAGAUUUCCAAAGUAUUAGAAAUUGACUUUUGACCUUCAUUAAUUGUUCCAGAAUAAUCUUCUUCAAGUGAAGGGUGCGGUAACACUUAAGUAUUUGAAAACUCAUACAUCUUAACUUGUAACUUGAGCCAGAAUCAGCUUCCUAGUGUUUGUCUAAGUUUACUUCGCAUUUAUUUUUAUUUCAAAGUCAAUUUUAAAAUACUUUCUAAACUUUUAAGAUAUGUUUUAAAUUGACCCUUCUUUUAAUGCUAAGUUUGUUGAUCCAUUUAGAAAUAUACUAAACUGAGUUUCGCUCUGAAGUGUUUAGGUGACUACUACUUCGUCGAAACCCUUCAUUCAGUGAGAGCGUGGAUUAAUUUCUAUUUUCAAUAUUUUGUGCAUUAAAAUUCAUGUAUUACAGGCAAUCUCAUAUGUUACGUUUACUUAAACCUUAGUUCAAAAAACAUUAAAUUUAUUUUGAAAAAAUAAAAUAGAGAUCAAAUUAAGUAAACAUUCAUAACUGAAUGCUGUGCACAUGGAUCAACCAAACUUAACUAGCCAUUUAGAGCUACAUGAUAAUUUACCAAAUUCUUGGUUUCAUACACAAAUGCAGUAAUUCUUAUCCUGAACGAUCAGCGGCUAAAGUUCUUUCUAAAAAAGUAAAUAAAACUGAUAGCAUACUAUUUUCGUUUUUUCCUCAAUAAAAAAAAGAUGAAGGUUUCAAAAAAGGUAGAGUGUUGAACAUGCUCAUGCAUAUUUACUAUGUUUUUAUUAGAGCGUGAUUUUUUCUGAUACCAAUUGAUCAAAUCAGUACUUGUGUUAACACCGAUUAUGUAACACAAAAUAUCCUGACAACAAUAACUAUAUAUAGUUAUUAAAUCAUAACAGAUGGUAAAUUCAACUUUUACUUUGAAUACCUACAAAUAUUAAUCAUAAUCAAAUAAAAAGCUUAAAUUUAUCUCUAAUUAUGUUUUAAUUAAGUUUGAAUUAUCAUUCUAACAGUUUUAAUCCCCGGUAUUGAAAAAAGAAAGAGCUAUUUUUAGCCGCCCUCCUGGAAUUAAACUAGACCCAAAGACCCAGGCGGCUACAAAGAAGAUUCCUAGCCACAAGCAUUACUCACGUUUCUAAUAAACAAUUUUCCUCCAUAUAUGUUUUGAAUACGUUAUUGGGUACAUUAAUUAUAUCAUAAAGAUAUAAAUAGCGAGGGAGCUGAGCCACCCACAGAAAGAGAGAAACAUAAGAAAUUAAAAAAGAAAGAUGGUUGAGAUCUUGGAGACGAGUUUUGUAGUUCCCAGUGAGGAGACGCCGAAGAAGGGGCUAUGGCUAUCGAAUCUCGACGUGGCGGCGACGCGGGGCCACACGCCGACGGUGUACUUCUUCCGGUCGAACGGCGACCCCGACUUCUUCUCCGCGGAGGCCGUCAAGGCGGCGCUCGCUAAGGCCCUCGUGCCAUUCUACCCUAUGGCAGGCCGUCUCGGCGUCGACCGCGACGGCCGCCCCGAGAUCGACUGCAAUGCCGAGGGCGCCGUCUUCGUGCUCGCGCGCUCCGACCAGCACACCGUCGACAGCUUCAAGGACUUCGAGCCCUCCCCCGAGAUGCGCCGGCUCUUCGUCCCCGCCAUCGACUCCGCCGACCCGCCCUGCCCCGUCCUCUUCCUCCAGGUCCGUUCCUACACAUUAUGAUGGGACUUCUGUAUCGACGAUUCUUCUUUCACAAGUCUCGUAAAUUGUGACCUUUAAUUUAUUUACGAAACAAACGAAAAAUACACGACAACGAUUGAUAUGAAAGCCACGACUUAUCUCUACACAGGAUGAUGGAAUUUCUGUAUCGACGAUUUUUUUGAUAAGUCCCAUAAAUUGUGACCUUUUAAGUUAUUUACGAAAUAAACAAAAAUACAGGACAAAAAAAAUAGAUUGAUGUGAAUAUGAACGUCACGACUUAUCAUCGACUGUUUCUAAGUGCAGUUGACGGUGCUGAAAUGCGGGGGAGUGGCGCUGGGAACGGCGAUGCACCACCUGGCGGUGGACGGGCGCAGCGCCUUCCACUUCAUCCAAACAUGGGCGGCGCUGGCCCGCGGGGGGGAGGCGGCGGGNGCUGGCACGCGGGGGGGAGGCGGCGGCGGGGCUGUCGCCGCCGUUCCACGAGCGGACGCUCCUCCGGGAGCGGACGCCGCCGGCAGUCCUCUUCGACCACCCCGAGUACGCGCCCAGCGCCUUCCCGCCGCGCGCGCCGGGGCCCUGCGUGACCACCAUCCUCAAGCUGUCGAGAGAGCAGGUCGCCUUCCUGAAGGCCCGCUGCGUCGCCCCCGGCGGUUUCGUGUCGACGUUCCGGGCGGUGGCGGCGCACGUCUGGCGGAGCAUGUGCGUGGCGCGCGGGCUGGCGGCCGACGCGGAGACGCGGCUGUUCCUGCCGGCGGAGGUGCGCGGGCACCUGCGGCCGCCGCUCCCGCCGCACUACUUCGGGAACGCGCUGGUGCGGGUGUCGGCGCAGGCGCGGGUCGGGGACAUCGUGGCGGGGCCGAUCGGGUUCGCCGCGGAGCGGAUCAAGAGCGCGGUCGACCGCGUGAGCGACGAGUACGCGCGGUCGGUGAUCGACCACCUGGGCGUCAUAAAGCGAGGGGGGAUGUCGGCCAAGCGCGGGCUGCCGGACACCGACCUGUCGGUCGUCAGCUGGCUCGGGAUGCCCAUGUACGAGGCCGACUUCGGGUGGGGCGCCCCGCAGUUCAUGGCCCGCGCCCAGACCUACGGCAGCGGCUUCGUCUACCUCACCAGCAGCCCCGGGAAGGACGCCGGCAUCUCCGUCGUCCUCGGCCUCGAGCCCGACGUCAUGAAGCAGUUCAAGAAGCUCUUCUACGAGGAGUUCUGUCCCCUCCAAACAUAAUAAUAAUAAUAAUAAUAAUAGUAAGAUAUUACAGCUGUUAGUAUGUGAAAUGAGCAUUAAUAAAUUAUUUUUAUUUUUAAAAUAAAUCUUAUGCUGUACUUAUAUAAGUUAUUAAUGCGUCCUGAAUAGAGCCGAGCUCUAUACUAUUCAUGAUAGAUUGUGUUUGUUUGACUUGACGUCGGCUUGUAUUGUGAAGGAUUGCUUGAUUUGUGGUUGAAUAAUUGAUUCCGGUUCGUGUUUAGUACGGAAAUUAUAUGUAUAUUUUGCUAGCUAGUGGGUCGGUUUCAAUUUGUCUUGGUUCAAUCUUCUACAAGCUUUUAGUCUUUAGAAAAAAAAAAAAAUUUCUUCACUCAGUAUAAUAAUAUGAGAUUCUCCCUGUUUAAUCAAUAAUAAUAAUAAUAAUAAUAAUAUGAGAUUCUAAUUUAGAAUUUCAUUCUAAAAAAUAGAACGAAAAUUACCUAAAUAUUUCAGUCCUUCUCGAAUCUUAAAUUUCAUUAAAGCAAUCAACUUCAGAUUUGACCGAUUCAAGUUGUUUACUUGGGCGUUAUAAUGAAGCUCAAAAUAUUUCAGUCUUUCGUCAACGAAUAUCACAUCUUUUUUUUAAUGAAAUUUUGAAUUUUUCAAAAAUACUAUGCAAACUGAUCAACUAACUAAUUAAAAUCUGUCUAACAAAAAAUAUAUUGUAUUAUUUAUUUUUGAUAACUUUUUUAAUUUUAUAUCCCCUCAUUUUAUUUAAAUAAAUUUUUACUCUUAAAAAUUUAUUAUUUUUUUUAAAAAAAAAAAAAUCCUCAAUGUAGAAACAAUAUAAAAAUAAAAAUAAAAACCAGGUGUGAAAGCCUCAACCAGUGAGCCUCCUCUUUUAUAUUUUCGUGUGCUAAUUGAUUACUAUCAUGUGACUUGCCUCGAGAUCUACAAUUUCUAAAGAAUCUUUAAAGAUAAAGUUUGAAGUGUAUUGUCGGGGGCGCUGGCCCACGUGUGAAAGUGGCUAUGAUGAACUCUCACCAUCGAAUCCGCUAAUUUGAUUGGACGCGAGUAGGGCUGUCAAAAUUAUACAUUCCACCGAAUUUGAGUUCCGAUUUAAAUAUUAUAUUACUAUAUAAUAUUUUUGAAUUCGAAUUUUGAAUAUAAAUAUAAAAGAAUAUUUUUUAACUCGAAUUUUGUUAGACACUGAGGGCAUGUUUGUUUCAACGUAAGUAGACUUGGAGUGGAAGUGAACUUUGAGUUGAAGUGGAGUUUGGGUGAAAAUUAGUUCACUUCUUCUGUUUGUUUCUAACCGUGGAAGCAUAGUUUUGCGAGUUCUGUUGUUUGUUUGGUAGAAAGUAGAUGACGUAAAACGUGUAACUCUCCACCCCCGGUAUACUUACCUCAAAAGUGAUAUCAUUGUCUAUUUUGUAACUUAUAGUAAAUAAUAAAUUAUAAUAAAUAAAAAUUAAUAUAAUUAUAUAUGUAUAUAAUUAUAUAUAUGUAUAAUUAUAAAAUAAAAUUUUAAAAAAUUAUAUUAUUUGUUUGCAUAUAAAUUAUAAUAAUGCAGCAAAUAAAAUUCUAAAGUUUAAAAAUUAUGAACAUAUUUUUCAUCAUUUUCUAAAUAUACAAAUUAAACAAAAAAUAUAUUAAUGCUUACCUAAUCAAAUUUGAUCACAUUUAGAAGAGGUAACCCUAACACAUUAAUCCAUUCUUUCCUUUUUUCACUUCAUCAGAAUUGACUUCGCCCCAUGGGAGGGCAAAGUCAAGUUUAUUAUUUUAGGUGAACUGGACUUUCGGGCGUAAUAAAAUUACGGUGAACCAAACAACGGAAGUGGUCAGUUUUCACCGAAAAUCACGUCUCCCGUCCCACUUCCACCCCACUUCCCUCAAAACAAAUAGGCCCUAAAUAGUCUCACGUCAGAUGGAAAUAGAAUUCUUACUGGGUACGUAAGAGAACUCUAUAUUAGUAAUAAUAUCCGUACUUAAGUAUUUUGGGCCGAUGGUUUGGGCCCAACGAGUUAUUAUUACUAGUGAGCCGGGUCGUUACAUUUGGUAUCAGAGCCAAUUCACUAGUCAAAAGUGUGAGAUGAGUCUUGACUGGGCCGAAGUUGGAAUAACAUGCUAAAAUAGGGUUGGAAUGACAAAGCUAGCAAGACAAAUCUCACAUCGUCUGGUAAUCUUGCAUUGUAUGCAAAUUUAGGGCUAACGAGGACGUCUGAGCGGGUCUUAACUGCGCCAAGGUCGGAAUAACAUGCUAAGUUAGGUUUGGAAUGAUGAGGACGUCAGGACGUCUUGACUAGGUUAAGGUCAAAAUGACAGGUUAAGUCAGGGUUGGAAUGUCAAGACUGGCGAGACAAAUUUCGUAUCGCCUAGUAAUCUUAGAUUGUGUCUAUGUUUAGAGCUGACGAAAACGUUAUGACCUAAAUUGGAGGAAUCUGUAACAACCCAAUAAUUUCAAUAAGCAUUUUAUUGUGUAUUACAUUUACAAUAUUUUUGGAUUGGAAUACGGAUGUGUUGGAAUAUUUCAUAUUUGGAUUUGGGUUGAAUUCCACUAUUCAAAAUUAAUAGGUAUUUUAAUUUAUAUAUUUUUAAAAAAUGAAAAGAGAGUAAUGUAACUUACAGGGGUGAGAGCUUUCUCAUAUGUACGAAAUGUAGAAAUCAAUUUAAUAAUAAUUAUUAUUAAAUUUAAAAUAACAACUAUUUAAAUUUAUUUUAUAUCAAAUUAUAAAUUAUAAAUUUAGUUUUGAAAUAAAAAUUUAGAUUUAGAGUUAAAAAGGACUUUAAUAUAUUUUGUUGGGGAAUAAAAUGAUUUUCUAUAUUUUUAUUUUUAUUAUUAUGAGUUUCGUAUUAAAAUUGGACUUUAUGUUUAGUAAAUCCCAUAUAUUAUUCAAUAAAUAUAGAUAUAUAAAAAUUUGAAUAUGAAUGUGAAAUUUUAGUCGCAUUGUGGUUAAUUCAAUUUUAUAUUUAUAUGUUCAUAUUAGUAUAUAUAUUAUUAUUAUUUGAAUAAUAUUCCAAUACAAUUUCCAUUCAUAUUCUAAUAUUAAGAAAUAUUCGAACACAUUCAAAUCCAGUUUUAAGUAAUAUAGUAAAAAAGCUUCAGCAUCUAAUGCAUAUCCGUAUUCUAAUUCGUAUUAUAAAAAAUAAAAAAAAGAAUGGAUACAAAUAUGGCAUCUUCAAAUAUCCAACUGUAUUCAACUGUUUUCAUCCCUACGCUGUGUCGGCCAACACCUACGGGUAUAAAAUAUAAAAUAUAAAACUAAGCUAAAAUACUAUCAAUAGCACUAAACUAUUGGUGCUAUUGAUUUUUUUAACCCUUAGAUAGAGAAAUUGGUGGUUAGAAUGAUAUGGACCCUCUAGGGUUGAGUGAGUGAUUGGUUGAAUAGUAUAAUCUAACGGGUAAAAAUAAUCAGAGGGUUAAAUCUAAUGGUGGAAAACUCGAUAGCACCAAAUCCUUGGUGCUAUCGAUAAUACCCAGCCGAAUUAUAUAUAUAUAUAGAGAGAGAGAGAGAGAGAGAGAAUUAGGCUACUAGACUAUCUAUAGUACCGGAGCUCCGGUACUAUAGUCUUGUUUUCGAUCUUAGGGUAUUCAAAUUAACGAUCCACACCAUUAAAUAUGAUCUAGGGUAUAUGAAGUUCUUAGAAAUAAAAUUUUAGUUUUUUUCGACAUCGUUUACUUAGUAAAUAAAUUAUGUCAAAAUGGACGGUGGAAAUUGAAUAAUCUUUAAAAUUUGAGCAUANUAGGACUUUUAAAUUCAAGAUCAAGAAUGUUAACCUUAAUCUAGAUAGUUUAAAAUAUUUUCUGUCAAAAUUUGAAGAAAUUUAGAUUCUUCUAUACCGUUAAACUCCAAACUCGCCAUAGUAGCAAUUGAAAAUUGACAAUUUUAAAAUUGUUUGAUCGUAAAAUAAACUAUGUCGAAAAAAUAUAAAAUUUUACUUCUAAAAACUUUAAAUACCCUAGAUCAGUUUUAACGGUGUGGAUCGUUGAUUUGAACACCCUAAGAUCGAAAAUAAGACUAUAGUAUCAGAGCCUCGGUACUAUAGAUAGUAUAGGAGACUAGCUCUAUAUAUAUAUAUAUAUAUAUAUAUAUGUGUAUAUAUGUAUAUAUAUAGCAGUAUAGGAUAGGAUUUACUUUACAAGUAUCACCAAGUGAUACUGGUGUGUUUUUUUAGCAUUGGAUGGAGAGAUGUGCCGUGAGAUGAUGGUGGGUUAGGUGGAAUAGUGUUUCUGAUUUUCAAGGGCUAUUGUAUUCAAAAAGUAGAUCCAAUGGCUAAAAACGUGCGAUUCAGACAACAUGGGGCAAUACAUGUACAAGUAUCCUAGAUUCAAACCUUAAUAUAUAUAUUAGAGUGAGCUGAAUACUUAUCGAUAACAAACACGGGGCUUGUUGCCAUUCAUUUGUUUUCGAUUCGAUGAUGCCUCCAAAUCGACGAUCAGGCAUCGUUGAAACUCUGAUGCUAUACACUUGAAGUGUUUAGAAAUCAAAUUUCAAUCUUUUAUUGCGACGAUCAUUUUGCCUAAAUGAUCAAAGAGUUUCAAAUUUUGUAAUUUAAAUGGUCUGAUUGAUGAGGUUUUUCGUUUACAGCCGGUAAAGAUAUCAAAUCAAUUUGAAUUUUUGUUAGGAAAAAUUCUUUAAACUAUUUAACAAAGACUACCUGUCAGUCUUUUUAAAGAAUAUUCAUUUUCAGCGUUCAUUUUUGUGUCCACUCGAUGGAUACGAGAACAUAUCGAAAUGUAUGAUAUUUGAUUUCUAAACACAUUAAUGUGGUAGAGAUCAUGUUCAACCGGGAACCGUCGUCAAUUCUGGAGGCUCCAUAUCGAAACAAUGGGUGGCACUGAGCCGUUUGCUAUCAGAUAGUAUUCUGUCCUCUAUAUACUAUAUAUCUAUUAUAGAGUCCGGCUACAUAUCCUAUUUAUAAGGAUUGCGAGCCAUCUUAAGCGUCGAUCAAAUGAAUAAUCCAGGCACCGUUUGAAAUUGAUUACACAAUUUAGAAAUGUUUAGAAACACGAAGUUUUUAUAUUUAACAAAUCUUAUCAAAGUUUUAUCUAUACACUACAAGAAAUGAACAGUCAUUCGGUGGCAAAAUUAAUUCGGCGAAUUUUGCCACCAAUUAAUUAACUUUAAGUGGCGAUAAAAAAAUUUUGCCACCAAUUAAUUAACUUUAAGUGGCAAUACUACUUUUGCCACUAAAUGACUAACUUUUUGCCACUAUUUGGUUAUCUAUGGUGGCGAUAAAACAAACGGCCACCGAUUAAUUAACUUAAAGUGGUGACACUACUUUCGCCACUAAAUAAUCAUUUUGUCGCCACUAAAUCGUUAUUUAUGAUGGCGAUAAAAAAUAUUGCCACUGAUUAAUUAACUUAAAAUGGCAAUAUUACUUUCACCACUAAAUGAUUAUUUUAUCGCCAUUAUUUGGUUAUCUGUAGUGGUGAUAAAAAAUUUUUGCCACCAAUUAAUUAACUUUAAGUGGCGAUAAAAAAAUUUUGCCACCAAUUAAUUAACUUUAAGUGGCAAUACUACUUUUGCCACUAAAUGACUAACUUUUUGCCACUAUUUGGUUAGCUAUAGUGAUGAUAAAAAAAAUUGAUGCAUAUUAUUAAUAAAAUUACAAUAGAAAUAAAAUAUUUAAAAAAUUUAUAUCAAAAUAAUGUAUAGUGAAGAUGAAAAAACUGUAGUUGUUAAAAAUUGAGGGUGAAAAUGUACAGNNNNNNNNNNNNNNNNNNNNNNNNNNNNNNNNNNNNNNNNNNNNNNNNNNNNNNNNNNNNNNNNNNNNNNNNNNNNNNNNNNNNNNNNNNNNNNNNNNNNAAAAAAAUGAGAGAAUCGUUUAAAUUUUUAAAGUUUGAUUUACAUAUUAAAAUUAAAUAAAUUAAAAAUUUUAAAUGUGUCGAUUAAUAAGUUGAAGAAUUAUUGAAAAAUAUAAAAAUAUUAUAUAUAUCUACUUAUUUAUUUAUAAAUAGUAAAUUUAAAUAAUUAAUAAAUUUAUACAAUUAUUUUAUGUUUAGUGAAGGUAACCUCACCACUCUAUCUGAAGAGGUGACAAAAUUUAUCAAUACAACUAUCAGCUUCAUAUUACCAAACAGAAGAAAUGGAACUGCAGCAGUUGCAACUGCGUAAAACCAAACAGACUAGGUGUAGUUAUAACUGCAGUAUUUGCAACUGCAUGUAUUUUCAACUACACUGUUUCUGCAACUACAUCCAACCAAACGGCCCCAUAGUGUAGAACUAUUAUACUUUCGGAAGCAUAAAGGAGUUGGUGCUUCCGACUUUUUACCCCUUGGAUCAAGGAUUAGAGGGUCAGGAUGAUAAUGGUCCUCCUUAGAAUUGAGUGAUUUUUCUAGAAUUGAGUGGUCCCCUCUAGAGUAAUAAUAUAAAUCCGAAGGUUAGAAAUGAUUAAAGGAAUUGAUUCAACGGCCAAAAAGAUUGAUUAACUCUUUUAUAUUUUUUGAAAGCACGGUACGUAGCUCUAUAUAUAUAGGUCCAGUUGGGAUAUUUUUAGAAGCAUCAAAUUUUUGGUGCUAGAACUUUUUUGGUUAUUGGAUCAAUAUUAAUGGCUCUUUGUAUUAUGCCUGAAUAGAAAAAUUCCCACACUAGUUAGUAUUGUUGGUUUUUGAUCUAAUGGCCAAAAGGCUAGAUUAAAGGAUGAGUAUGCCAGCUCAAUACAUAGGUGUAUAAAUAUAGAAUAUAUAGUAAUUUAGUAUUACUCGCUAGUCUUUGUUGACUUGGAUGAUAAAUAAAUAAUCUUAAUUUGAUUUGAACAUACUUCAUAGGCGAAUUACAUCGUUUGGUUUUUAUUUAGAUUAUUGAACUUUAAUUUAGGGAAAACUACACUUUGGUUCUCGAACUAUAUAUAAAAUGCGUGAUACUUUGGUUCUUAAAUUUUAAUUUGUUAUAAUUUUUAGUUCAAACUUUCUGAUUUAUUGCAAUCAAGUUCUGUAAUUCAAUCUAGUUAAUUGGCAAAGUUUUGAUAAAUUAUUAUAGUAAAAGUGGUGGGGCAGUAUUGUAGUUGAUGAUGCGCCAAUAAUUAAAAUGUCACGCUAGCUCCUCAUAGUUCGAGCGCCAAAAGUGUAAUUUAAUUACUCUUUAUUCAUUUAAAUUAAGUUACGAAACUUCAUUUUCGUUUUAAUGAGGUCCUCUUGUUAGGAUUUCUAAAGUUUUUGAAACAAACAGGUGAUAAUUAAUUCAAUUGUCAUAUCAUCUUUUAGAGAUGAUCAAAAUACUAAUUAUUAAAUAAAAUAAUUCAAUUCAAUUAAAUUAUUCAAUACUAUUUUGAGACAAUACAAUAGUUGUAAUGACUACUUGUCACUGCCUCAUCACUACUUGCUAGUUGAAUUUAUUGCCCCUUCUUUACUUCAUCUAAAAAGUUAAAUAAAAUGACUUUUAUUUUCCAAAUUUUUAUUCAGAAAAACAAAUUAAUUAAAACUGUGAAAUUUUUUUUUUUUAUCAAAACCUUUGUUUUGAAAAAUAAUUUUCACACUUUUCUGAGAAGCCAAACACCCUUCAAAUGAAAUUUCAGGAAAUGAUAGGCGGCCAAAAAUGUAUUAAAAGUAUGCGCAAUUUAUUUAUACGUGUAUACGAUAUACUUAAAUGCAUACGUACGCGUGCAUUAUUUAAUUUAAUUCGUCUCUCUCCCUCCUUCCUUUCUCCCAUACUUACUAUACUUUGAAUAGGUAUAAAUAGAUUCAAAUUUAAUAUUUUUUCAAUUUAUUUAAUUUCCGUGUAAACACGGUGGAAUUGACCUAUUAUAAUAAUAAAGAUACAUCACAUGUUAUGCAGAUAUACACUUGCGUAUGCUUAUAUUAUUCAGUUAAUUACUCUCUCUAUCUUCCUCUCUCCCAAACUUAUUAUACUUUCAAUAGGUAUAAAUAGAACCAAAUUCUAAUAUAUUUUUUGUCUUAUUUCAUUUUCGUGUGAAAAUGGUACGAUACAAUUGGCUUCUUAUAAUAAUAUAGACACAUUGUAUAUAUAUGUCAUACAUAUAUAGUAAGCGUGCAUGUAUUAUUUAAUCAGCGCGGUUACGGAUGCCCAAAAUAUCCUAAAAUUAAUGUUCUUGAUAUAUUGGCAACAUUAUUAUUAAACCUGAAACACUAUAUUUUAAAUCUUAAACAUCAUUAUUAAACUGCAAAAGCCGUAAUUAUAAUCUAAAUCGACUUAAACUCUAAAUCCACAUAUGUGCUAACACAUCAACAACAAUAUUUUAAAAUAAUAUAUCUAAGUGGGAGAUCCAAAUCAUUUCUCUUAUUUAACUAUUCUCUCCCUUUUCCUCUCCCAUUCUUCUUAUCUCCAAACCAAUUUUAAAAUUUGACUUAGUUAACUUUGAAUAAUUAAGUAUAAGUUGAACCAAAUUCUAAUGUUUUUCGUCCUAUUUCAUUUUUGUCCUAGCAUGGUGGAAUCGAGUUGCUAUAAUAAUAAAGCUAUAAUGAUAAGAAGAUGCUAAUGCCACGUCUUCAUAAGUGAUAUAAUAAGUUAUAAGAGAUUUUGUGUAAUGACAAGUCGUAUAAGUAAUACAAGUCAACAAGAAAGCUUAUAAUUUAAUUUGUUUUUUGGUUAAAAUGUAAGGAAACCCCACAACCAUAUUGAUCAUAAAUCCUAAUAAUAAUAAUAGGCUUAAACAUUUUGAGCUGAUGACUUGAAUCUACGAAUUAUUACUACUAGUAGAUUGAGUCGUUAUAUUGAGUUUUAGAGAUAUUUUACUAGCCAAAAAUAUGUGAUGAGUCUCACAUCGAAUGGUGAUCUUGAUUUGCAUUUGCGUUUGUGAUUGGGCUUAUGAGGACAUUAGGACAGUCAAGUAUGUAUUUGUGAUUGGACCAACGAGAACGUUAGGGACUUUGCCUUUAGUAUUACCCAAUGAAAUCCGAGUACUUAUACAAUUGUACUUAGACCGGAAACUAUCUGCUUAGUAUGGUAAUAGCAGGUGUUCCAUUUGAUACAUACUAUUGAAAAAGAGCUGCUUUUGUAAAAAUGGAUUUGGUAUUGCCUAAACUACAGUAGUAGGAGCUAUCAUUGAACCACAUAUAUCUUCCACAAUGAAAGGCAUUAUAAAUAUUGAUUAGUCUUCAGAUAAAAGUCUAUUCUCUAUAAGGGGGAAAAAAAAACUUUGGGCAAAAUUUUUUGGAAUCUCUUUUAGUUGUAUAAUUAUGCAUCAAUUAACCAUAGUUGUUCCAAACACAGUAUAUGAUAUAAUUGUGAUAAUUCAAAUUUAAGUUAAGGUUAACCCUGAAUCAUGUUGUAGAAUAAAGUUACAACUAAUUAUUAAAUUAGUCACUCCACAUAAUAAAGAACAAACCUAUACGCCUCUUUUGAUAGAAAAUUUUUCAGAAUUAACGGAAGAUAUCUUUUGAUAGAAAUUUUUUUUCAAAAUUAAUGGAAGAAAUCUGAAUUCGAUGCAUAUUCCAACUACUCUCUUCUUUUUUUCUUUUUUUUCUCUUUCGGAUAAAUAUAAAUAAAGUAGGAUUAGCCUGAUAAUUUUAUCUAUAUCUACAUUAAUCUAUAAUCAAAUUCAAUUCAAUUAGUAGUAAAUGAAUCAUGUAUUAUAUACUCUAAUAUUAUAGAUACCAUGCGUAGCGGUGGUUUAUUAAAAACAAACAAUAUGUCUAUGAGAAAAGGUCAAGAGAUAGAGGGACUUUGAUUUUCGUUUCAACAACUAUGGUGAUAUGAGUUGCACAUGUGAAUUAAAAUUAAUUGGCCCACAAGUUGGUCAUCACUAUUUCAAUAUAAUUGACCCCUCUGAUUUGCUAAAUACUAUUUAAUUGAGAGCUUAAUUAAUUCCCUCCUCUGGCCAUUACAUCUUAUAUGUAAUGAAUGUGUCGAAUGUGGAGACUAAUUAGAAUUCACAGUCCAAUUAGAUUCUUAAUUAAACUCUAUUUAUGUUUUAAUAAAACUAAAUCUCAUCUUAUCCUAAUUAAAGUAGAUUUUGACUUUAAUUUUAAAUAAAUUUGACUUUAAUUUAAAUAACUAUAAAUUUAAAUCGAAAUCUAACAAUAGAUUUUCUCACUAAUCUGUUAAACAACAAUAUUUGUGAAACUACAUCUUCUAUUUAUGAUCUAUUCGUAUCUUGUUAUAUCAAGUCCUAUUUAGAUUAACUCAACCUAGUUAAGAACUGAAAUUUGCUUUUAUCCUUUCAGACAUUAUACGAAAGCUUUUUCUUCAAAAAAGUUUUUAAAAUUUUUAAUAAGGGUAACAUAUAGAAAACUCUAUGUAAAUACUUGUUUUUUCAGUUCCUCUACUGGCUUUCAAAAAUCUAUGGGCGUGUUUGGUUCACCUAUUUUUCAUCCUGGAAUUGAAAUUGAAAGGGACGAAUCCGUUUGUCUGUUUUUGGUAUACGGGAUUUCCAUUCCAAUUCUGAUUCCUGGGUGAGUGGGAAUCCUCCCAAUUACCCUUUUUUCCAAUCCGGCCUAGGAGGCCGGAUUGAAAAUUGAAUCCAGGCGGAAUGGAUUUAUUCGGAUUAAAUUUAACUUUUUAAAGCUUAUUUUUUAAUUAAAACAUAAAUUUAAGUUUAAAAAUUAUAUUUAUAAAUUUACAUUUUAAUUUGAACUUAAAUUAAAAAUUAAAAUUCAAUCAAACAUUUUGAAUCUAAUUUAAAAUUUUGAAUUUAAAUUUAAAUUUAAUUUAAAAUGUAAAAUUUUAGUUAUUUAAAUUUUAUUUAAAUUUUAAAUUAAAUUUAUGGAUUCAAAUCAAAAUUGAAAUUAUAAUUUUAAAUUUGAACUUGAAUAAAUCGAAAUUUAGUUUCAUAUUUUGAAUCAUCCGUUCAAUUUCAAUUUUUAAUUUUUUUAAAAUAUAUUUAAAAUUUUGACAUCAUUUUAAAAUUUUGACGCAAAUUUUUAAUAUUUAAUUUUCAGUUUGAAUGUAAACUAAUAUACUGUAAAGAUAAAUUUGGCAUAUUAAUUUGAUUACGUUUCUAAUAUCUAUCUGAACCAAAUACCGACAAUAAGAAUGAUUCAUUCCGAUUCCGAUUUAAAUAGCGAAGCAAAUAGAAUGAGGUAAUGAAUCAUUCCGAUUCUAUUUCCAUCUUAUUCUCGUUCCGAUUUCGAUAUCGAUUUCAAGUUCGAACCAAACACACCCUAUAUUUCAUCUUAUCAAAAUUUCAAGUUGAUGGAUUUAAACGCCCUUCAAUCAUCAGAGUUCCGUCACUACUAUUCCGUCCAUUUCUUAUAAUUUAUAUUGAAUAUACCCUUAAAUUGUUAGAAAUGCAAUAAAAAAAAUUUAUUGUUUCCUUAACAAGUAAAGAAAAUUUAGUCAUCUUAGAAAGUAAAAAAAUAUGGAUAUUCAUAAGGGAAGGUUUUUUUUUUUUUAUUUUAGCCAAUAAAGAAAGUUUUAAGGGUACAAAGCAUUCUCCAAAUAAAUAAAUAAAUAAAGUUUUAAAAGGGUACAAAGCAUUCUCCAAAUACAUAAAUAAAUAAAGUUUUAAAAGGGUACAAAGCAUUCUCCAAAUACAUAAUACGAGUAGCUGAAGACAUGCACCAACUAAUUUGAUGCAUCCACUUUUACACACACAUACAUUGAGAAUAAAAUAAAAUAAAAUACACAUGCUAUAAGAUAACACCUGCAUAUAUCGAUCAACAUUUUCAAUUUUCAUCGAGCACGGACGGAUUGUUUAGAAGAUCCGAGGCGGAAAAUAUGGAAGCAUCAAGCUCGGUCGGUGCCUUGCAAAAAGCGCACAAACUCACCUACAUGAUGUGGAAUAAAUUUAAUCGUUUCUGUGACACUCCCUUCGUCUCGUUUGAAUGAAAUAGUAAAAUUCGGGAUGUGGCGAACCCUCGUGCGCAAGUCAUUGCUGUGGUCGCCUUCUCCUCCUCCUCCUCCUCCUAGAAGCAGCUCAACAAGUUCCUCUGCUAGAUGGCCAAUGUAUAAAUCCUGAAGGGUGGUAAGGUACUCGAUGCCGUGGGGCAGCUCCUUUAGCUCGAGGCAACCGUCUAGCUGAAGCUUAUACAGGCUUGCCAUUGCUCCUCUUUCGAUUUCCACCUGACUGAGCUCCGGGGCACCUACUAUUCCCAAUUUCUUUAGCUUCGGGAAUGAUGUUGCUUGGAAGUGCAACUUCAUGCCGUCAUAUGCCUCAUAAAGGUAGAGAACUAUCAACGCGGGCAGCGCUUGCAGGUGAGGAAACGUAUCUUCAUCCAAUUUUGCACCUAAAAGGAAUAAUGAGGUAAGGUUUGUUAGAGACCCAAAGGAUGUGGCAAGCUCAGGGAGUGAGUUUUUUUCUAAUUCACCAUACAGAUGUAAUGCUUGAAUUGGUGGAGGUAGGCGCAGGGUGCCCAACUGCUGUAAUUCUUGCCCACGUUCACUGCUGACAAAUAAAUUGCUAAGAUGGCUCAUCUUUGUGAUACUAUUCCACAAGUCUGCACAGUGAUGGGUUCUUACGCCCGUUAUUGAAAAUGUCCGCAACUCUGUCAAAGCUUCUACAUUCCGCACAAUCUCCUCAGUUGCUUCAAUAGGUGUUAAAGUCUGCAAGCCCUUCAAGCGCCAUAUUCCCACCGGUGCCUUGAUGUUCUUACCCCAGUCGUCGGACAAAUGUAGAUGUCUCAACUUUUGGAGCUCUGUUAUUUCCUCCGGCAGCUUUUCUAUUCCAGUGUGAUCUGCAUCUAAUACUUGCAGAUUUCGUAGCUUCCCGAUUGAUCUUGGAAGCUCGUAUAUUCUUGUUCGCUGCAAGCCUAGAUAAUGCAGGUUGAAUAGGUUACAAAUCUCACUCGGUAGUUUCUCGAUUCGCGCUCCUUGUAGUUCCAAGACACGUAAAAAUUUUGAUGAUCUUAAGACCGACUCCAGUAAAUCAUUGCUCAUGGAAUUGUUGAAAACAAGCACUGAACGCAAAUGAGAUUUGUCUUCAGUACGAUAAUUAGUUAUAUUGCUUAGGAUUGACAAGCGGCGCACUUUGGAUCUCUGCAAUAUUGUCCGUGAAUUCUCGUAAACCAUGCAGAAACUUAACUCCUUUGACUCCGAAAGAGCAAGGACUCGAAUGAUGUCAUGCAUUCGACAUUCUUGAACUCUACCGAUAUCGUUCCUCUCAACCACUUGUAGUAGACAGCGGUGAACUAGUUCGUGAAGGUAGUCCUCGGCCACUUCCUCCAUCGUUAUUCCUCUUUCUUCAAUGAACCCUUCGGCCACCCAAAGCCUUAUGAGCCUGUAACUUUCAAUUGUAUAGUCUUCCGGAAAGCUGGAACAAUAUAAGAAGCAAUUUCGAAGGUAAUAGGGAAGAUCGUCAAAACUAAGUUUCAAAAUGUUAUGUACUUUUUCAUGGAGCUUCGAUUCGUUGUUAGUUAGAUACCACUCAAGAUCUUUGUAAACCUUCUCCCAUUCGGAACCUGUUUCAUCUCGAAAUGAUAAGAGACGGGCUAUAGAUACGAUAGCAAGGGGCAAGCCACCGCACUUCUCGACAACUUUUUUAGCACAUUGUUCUAAGGGCGGUGGGCAAAUCUUGUUUGCACUUUUCCAAAAUGCAUUUUUACAAAACAAAUCCCAUGAAUGACCUGCCUCUAGCGUCUUUAGCUCAAACAUACGGUUCUCGUUUGCUAAUAGUGCUACAUCGCGAAUCCUUGUUGUGAGAACUAUUCUACUCUUGCUAUUACUAUUCAGAAGUGCAUUCUUUAUAUUGUCCAGUACAUCAGUACUCCAAACAUCAUCCAGAAUAAGUACAUACUUUUUACACUGCAAAUAAGUGCGGAUAGUCUCAACCAAGCUUCUAUAAUCCAUGGUAUUAAUGUUGUUAGGUGCUUCUCCUUUCUCACGAUCUUUCCUAUAGAACUCUUUUAAGAUCUGUCUAAGCAAAUCAUCCGUCUCAUAACUUUGAGAUACAGCAACCCAGGCACAAGCAUCAAAAGAAGCUUCGAUGAUAUUGUACACAUGAGUCACGAGAGUGGUCUUCCCUAGACCACCCAUCCCCAAUACUGAGAUUAUCAUGGGCUGUCGUUGCUGCUCAUCCUCAUCUUUCAACCAUCUGAGCAACAAGUCCCUGUACUUGUCAAUACCCACGAUAUCAUCCUCCUCGACAAAAUGUGCUAAUUCUGCGGGGCUCUUGCUACCGCCAGCAGCUAUUAGAGGUCUUGCUUCAUUUUCCAUUCUGCUUGUAUCAUAUCGCUCCCUUCUUUCCUUAAUGUUUCGAAGCUUAACUUUGAUUUUGUUAAGCCUCUUGCUAAGGCGACGCCAAGUUGCUAUAUUUCUGCACAUCUUGACUGUUGUAGGCUGGACCCCUCCUUGCUCUUCACCGAGCUUGUAUGUGAACUCAUCUAUAAUAUCCUCAAUGUCGAAAGCCAAAUCUCUUGUUUGUUUUAUGAUGGUUGUUGUGCUCUCAUCCUUCUGUUUUAAUCUUUCAGCGAUCCGUAGGAAGGAUAGCAUGCUCUGAAGCUCACCCUUAAUGUCACUUAUAUCCUCCACAAGGUCUUCCAUUGCUGAUAUCCGUGUUAGUAAUCGUGAUGUUGCUGCUUUAGUUGCUUCACUAGCUAAGGUCGCACCGAUAUUUAGGAGUAAUGAGCUUACCACAGCCUCCGCCAUGGGCACUUCCUCUGAAUUGAGCCUAAAAUGUACAAUCUUUUCAAAUUACCAUGUCUCUUCAAAUGCACCACUAGCAAAAAUGAUUAUUUUUUAACGCUCUUAUGAUUCAAGGCAAUUUUUGUAAAAAAAUAUGUAAUUAAUUGUCUCAAUCGGAAUAACUCUGUAGUGCACUAAACAAACAUUUGUUAGAAUCCUCAGUUAAAAAAAAAGAAACACCAUUAACAGUAUUGUAGUCUGGAAGAACAAAAAGCAAUAACUUGUUCAAGAUUCAGUUUAACAAAAUUUUGAGAUUAAAGAUUCAUCAUAACUAGUCAUAUUGAACUCGACCUCAAUGUAUAUUUGUAGAUCAAGUUGUGAAAAAGUCCUUUAGAGGAGUAUGAAAUCAAUAAAGAGUUGGAAAGUAAAUCAAUCUGCUGCUAGCUAGUGAGUAGAUGGUAUCACAUUAAGCGUGAUUGUAAAUUAUUUUACAAUUAACAAUUAUAAAUCAAGUUUGUUUUGAAGCCCUCUUCUUGUUCAUAAUUAAGUUAAUAUUUAUCAGGACGAUAAGUCAUUUGAGCAAGAAACUAUUAGUGCUUUUUCAAAUAGUUUUGUUUUGAUAGAAAUAUAAGAACUUAAAUUUUAGACUCAUGAAACUCCCGUAUAUCUAAUAUGUUAAAUUUUAUUGCCUCGACAUUCAUAGUUUCAUACCGCCUAUUAUCAGACCAGAAUCUGAAAGUUCUAUUUCAACUUUUGUGAUUUGUGUUGCAAUUUGUAAAAGUUCUACAUUACUAGUUUUGAUAUUAACUGAGUUUUUUUUUUCCCAAAAUAAUUGUUAUCUUUGUGAGUUCAGCAGGAAUAUUUCUUAAGUGAAAUGACUUUGAUAUUUUUUUUUUUAUUUUUUUUUAUGAUGAGGCAUUUAAAUAAACGUCUUGUAUCGUUAAAUAUAAUCUAGAAUGUUUGCAUGGUUUAGAAACUGAAUUUUUUUUUUUUUGUCAUUAUCAUUUACCUAGUGAUCAAAUGGUCUUAAAAUUGAUAAUUUAACAAGUAAAACAAGACACUUUCUUCUUGUUUAACUGCAAAGAAAUAAAACCCUCUCAACUAUUUAGAUCAAGAGUUGUAACCAAGAUUGUGAAUUUAAGAUUUUUUUUUAAUUAUAUUUUUAGAAUGUCGCUAGUUUUGAACUUUCAAAUUAUGCCCACUUGGCAAGCCAGAAAAUAAAUUUUGAAAAUCAUAAAACUCUUUUUCUAGAAAGUUUAUGUAUCCUUUAGUAUAUUUAGCAUCUUGCAUGGUAUUGAUCAUCGAUUUAGACGCUCAAUCAUUAACAAUAAAGUGAAAGUAUAUAAUAAGGCCAAAUUAUUCUACCUUAAUUAUUAAUUAUCUCUUGUUAUUUUGUUACCAAAGAUCAAGUGAAUCGAAACAACAUAUAUAUAUAUUUGUAAGGACUGAGAUUUUGACAGUGUAACUAAACUCUCUGUUGACGAUGUUUAUAUGUGUAAUUUAAUUACAUAAGCACUCGUCAAGUUUCAGGAGAAAAUGAGCUAAAAUGGAGAAGAUACGCAAUUUUUAGUUUUCACUUAAGUGAAUAGUAACUCUGGUUUUCCGGAGAAGCCGCGGCGUAGAGUUGGCUUCUGGCACGUAUUGGACUUCGAACAUAGCAGUCCAAUAGCCCGUUUCGACCAGUUCAGCUAUUCUGGAACUAAUGGCGCUGACGAAUUUUGAGUUUGACGCACGGAUUUCGAGAAAAUCCAAAAAUACAUGUUUUAUAUGUAUUUGUGCGUAGUUCUUCUAUUGGAGAGUUGGAACGGUUCUCGCCGCGAAUCCGCGACCGAUCGAGAUGAACCAAAAUGGUAGCUAUGUUGUCUCCGUGGUGCUGAUCGCACUGGUGCAAUCCGUUCGCAAAUCUGACGGACGGACAAGCGGAGAUCGCACGUUGAUCGAGGAGAGGUUGGCGAUGGCAAAACGGUAAUUUCGCAAAAGUCGCGACAUUUUAUGUACCGUUUUACGCGAGAUCGCACGUGGAGGGGUAUUCGUGCAUUUUAUUCAAGCUGUGAGGGACUCGGAGCGAAAUAUCGAGUUUGGAGGGACUUUUGCACGAUUUAUCGCCUUACGUAUUUAAAGGCUUCUAGGGUUUUCCAUGAAACCCUAACCCUAAACCUAGCUCCAGCGAACCUAGCCGCCCUACCCCCCUUCUCCUCAUACGCCGCGCCCCUCCCGGCCGCCGCCGACCCAACCCCGGCCAGCAGCCAUCGCCACAGCCACCAUCUCCCACCUUCUUCUCUCUCCAUCUCCCUCAAUCCUCCUCUUUCUCUCGGGUUAGAUGCGGGCCGAGGCUACAUUGCCUCCAAGCACCUUGCCGAUGUCGCCCCCUGCCCCGGCGAGCCUCCCCGGCCGACCGCCGCCGCCCCUUGGGGCAGCGCCGCCGCCGCCGGGGCCAAUCCUGCAGCCGCCCCAGGUCUGCUCGGGCCGAGCAGACCUGGUAGCUCCAACCCCACGCCGCAGCCGCCCUUGUCCACCCCUGCGGCCUCCAUCAUGGCCUACGGUACCCCCUCCCCCGGCCGAAAGGGUCGCUGCCGCUGCCACGUGCCUUGGGCGCUGCCGCCCAAGGCUGGAGACCGAGCCAAGCUCGGCGCGGUUGCGCCCGAGCUGCGGGCUACCGCCGCCGUCGCCCGCCGCCUCCUCCUCUCCGUCCGGCCUCUAGGGCCCCGUCGCCGUCGUCCCUGGGCACCCCCGACCGCCGCCGGCUACAGCUGCACCGCUGAAACCCAAGCUCAGCAGUACGGGCUCGGGAUGUUCCAGCUUCGCCGCCGCUGCCUUCCGUCGCCGGCUGGAGCGAGCGCCGGUCUUCCCUGGCCGGCCGUACCCGUUCAUCGCCGGCUACCCCGCCGCCGGAGCACCCUGUCAACCGAGAUGAGCCUGAGCUCUCCUCGGGUUGUGCGGCUAGGGCAUCAUCGUCCUCCGCCUCCGCCACCUCCCGUCGUCGUCCGGUGCAAGCCCUGGUCUCCCCACACUGGCUGCACCCUCCUCUGCCAGCGCGUCCGCCGUCCGGCCUCCCGCGCCCUACCUUGCUCCGAUAAGCUUAGUUAAGAGCUUUUCUUGAGUAGUUUACUGUUCCGAGCAAUCCGAGGCUUCUCGAUCUCUACGGAAGGGAGCACAAUGAUUGUGACUCAUCGCUGAUCAUCGUGCUUACCUUAUUUUCUAUCGGGGAGGCUCCGUUACGCUGUUUCGGCGGUGUAGACCCUAUAAGAGCCUUUUUGGCUGCUGUUUCUGGUUUGCGUGCGUUGUUCCGGCGAUCCGAGGAUGUCCUGAUGCCUCCGGAGGUGAGAAUGGUGAUCGUUGGUCAGUGGCGAUCCCAGUGAUCACCUCACUUUUGAUCAACAGAGUCCGGUUAGUUCUGUUCGGCGUGUUUUUCCUCGACUGCGCGCUGUUCGCUGAACCUUCGGGUUGCUCCCGCGCUUCCCACAGUGAGUCAUUGUGCCCCAGAUCAUGAGCACGGCCUCCGGUACGUCGAGACCUGUCAGUACGUGUCUCGGCGGACCUUGGAAGUCCUUAGUUUGCGUGAACGAGCCAUGUCAUCGCCCGAUUUACAUAAAAUAUAGGGAUUUUACGUAAAGUGAGGGGCAUUUGUGCAAUUGUGCAUUAUGUGGCUACUGUGGGCAGUGCAUAUGUGUGUGUGGUGACCUCUGGACUGAUUAUCCAUGAUCCAUUAGCUUUUGCAGAAAUCGAAGAGUCGAUUUCGAUGCGUUUUGCGGCGAAAUUCGCCGAAAGAACGCGGUUUCGGUUCGGAUUUCUUCCAACGUGGUUUGUUUAUCCUGUGAAUUGUCGCUGAGCCUUGUUGGCUGGUCACCAUCAUCAUUUUGUGGGUUCAGUGAUGAUUGGUGAGCGACGGUGGGUUCCGGUGUCGAAAUAGACACUUUCGGGAACCCGGAUUCGUACAAUUAUCCGGCGAUAAUUUGUGUAGUGGUGUUAUCUUGUGUUUGCUGCCAAAACAUCCAAAUUGGAGUGUUUUGGGACAGCAGGCGACUCGUGACACGAGUCGGUGAGUUUCGGGACACUUAGUGGGUCCCGACGGCGUCCCAGUGUGGUUUUCGGGACUCCCGGCGAGUUACGGUAAUUGGAAUUGGGAAACCGAUCUUCGUGAAAUUGUUUGUGGGGUUGUGGAUACUGUGGUUAUUAGUUGUGGGUUAGAUACUAACCCGGUGAACCCUCUAUAGGUCCUGUCGAUAUUCUUUUGCAGUCAGGAGACAGACGCGACAUCCUUACAGGUGGCUACUUCGAUCCGACGUUGGUACAGUGGUGCAAGCUCGGUGAUGGUUUCUUACCCUUGCUCUUUUGUUAUUAUCCAUGCAUAUAUUAUAUGUUGAGCUUUGCACCUCUAUUGUUUACAUUACACCCACGUUGUUUGGUUAUACUCUGCUCGUUGUUUACAUGCUUAGUAUCCUGAGUAGGAGUAGAGUAGUUUAUCUGUAUGUGAUACCAUGUUUUCUUGUUGCUCUACUUGCCUGUUCUACAUAUCUUAUAUCAUGUUUAUAGUAGAGCGGUUCCGUGACUAUCUGUGAGAUUAGUGACCUAGUCGGUCGAUUCUAGUAUCCCGUAUUUGUGACCUAUUCGGUGAGUUCCUUGACUUUCGUUGUCCGAUGACCGUUAAGGUCGGUAUAACCUGAGGGGUGGUAUUGUCGGUUAGUUGCCGACGGAUGAUUAUAGUUUACUCAUAUCCACUAUUUGACAUGUUUGUGACCUAGUCAGUCAGUUCGUGACUCUUGUUGUUUCUCGUCGUUUGAUGACCUUUGAGGUCGGUGUACCCUGAGGGGUAGGAUUGUCGGCUAGUGGCCGACGGUAGUCCUAGAUUAUAUACUCAGAUGACUUGUUGAUCGAUUCUUGCAUAUAUACAGUAGUUAACUUAUUGAUCAGUAUCUACAUAUUUUUGGUAGGACGUUGAGUUGUUCCAUUCCAGUUGACUUGAUUAGUCAGUACUUGCAUACAGUUGAGAGGGUGUCGAGUUGUUCCAUCCUAGUUGACCUGAGUGGUCGGUUCUUGUACUUUCUUACAGUGGAUGAUCUUUUGGUCGGUUAGCCUCGAGGGGCGGUGAUUGUCGGCUGGUUGCCGACGGUUGGCCUUUGAGCAUAUCAGCAUUGAUCGCCCGACUCGUCGCAUUUCACGAACACUGGUGGUCUGAUCCACAGCAAGGAGUGUUCUUUUUCGAAAAAGUGGUUACUUGUGCCAACCCGUGAGCCCAGCGGUCAGGACUAGGUUAUAUGCAGGUAGAGUGGUAGUGGGCUUUUGCCUGAGGUCCUUAGACCGACACGGCGGUUUAGAUUGGGUAUUUUGGACUUCUUGUCCGGUUGACACAUAUGUCUAUAGUAGCAGUCGUUGCAUGCAUACUUACAGUUCUUACUUUAUAGUUGUCUUGCUACUAUAGUAGAUAUUCAUAUAUGCUUUCUGUUCCAGUUACAGUAGCGGUAGCCGUUAUUCAGUUUAGUUCCUACUUUCUUUCAGUUUAUUGCUACUGUAUUCAGUAUAUCUGCUCAUUACCUUAUAUAUCUCUUUCGUGUAUUAUUGUUGCUACUAUAUUUCCACUGACCCGUGUUGUUGUAUAACUCUUCCUGAUCCGGUGAGUACUCCUCGCCUUCUUCGGCUUGCUGUACCUACUGGGAGGGGAGACAUGUUUACAUGUUCUCUCCUCCCCCACUAUUUUUCAGGUAUCGCGGGCGAUGAGUAGUGGGACGAGACGUGAGGUACGUGUGUAGCGGUCGAUAGAGCCUCCGACCCAGAUUAUUUCGGUUUAGUUAUUACCCUUAUUAUUUUAGUUGUUAUAGCUUAGAUAGUUUAUAUGGUUCAGUAUUUUUAUUACAUUUGAAAUUUUGGGUUUUCAUGAGUGUAAUAAUCUGGUUUGUGAAUUUUGUAAAAUAAAAGGUUUUCUACCCCUCGUAAUAGCGUUUUUAAAAAGAUAAAAGUUUAUGUGUAGGAAAAUAAUUUUCAGAAGAUUUUCUGUGGAUUUUAUAUCUUAGUAUUUCAAAACCUGUUUCUUUGGUUGAAAACAUUUUAACUGAUAGAUGUGGAUUUAUGUUUAAAUAUUGAAUGUAUAAGUAUGAAACUGUGGUGAAUGGUGUAUGAAUGUAUAACUGUUGGUUAUUUGUAUGUUCGUCUGGUUGUGGUUGUAUCAUGUUUGAACUCUUGUACUUGUGCGACGCCGUGCAAAUACAGGGGAGACUCUACUCGUGUGAACAAUAGACCUCCUGUAUUUGUGGCGGAUCUGGCAUACUCUGGGGUCAGGUUUUCAAAAAAAAAAAAUUUCAGACGGUUUUCCGCUAUGCUUUAAACUAAAAAGGGACCCCGGGGCGUGGCAGAUUAAAAUGGUAUCAGAGCCAAGUUACAACCACAACACCAUUCAUAGGUUGUUUUGAAAAGUAAAUGAAACUGAACCAUUGGUUAGGUUGAACCAUAGGAAGACCUACGGUAUAUAGGAACGUGAGUGCGGGGUUUGGGCUUGAGUCCCGGUGUGCAUGUCGAGUUUGGUAAACUCGAAUACACGAUUAUUUCCUUAUGUACUACGAUUUUUGCAAAGCUGGUGUCCUAGUCGGGACUAGUGGCGGUGCUUCUUUUUGGACAUUGAGUGGUGGGGCGGUAUUCCCCAAGUGUUGCCACUCCUGUCAGGUGGGGCCUUGAAGGGCCAGGUGAUCUUCGGGUCUAGGCGAGUGUCAUAACUGCCGACGCCCAGGCCACUCUCUCUACUUAGGACACGAGAGCUGUUGCGAGUGUCUCUACGGAGACGGCAUUGUGAUCAGUUACGAUCGUGACUUCAAUGGGGCUAUUAGGGCGUAGCCCAGGGUUUGGUUAGCGGUCGUUUAGGCGACUGCAUUGUUAGUGUUGCUUCCGCAGAUCUUUGGGUAGGGUUGCGAUGCCUACCUCUCUUCCUUGAUUACUGAUUAGAAUUAGCGGUUUGGGUCUUUUGACCUUGAACUAGUCCUUUCGCCAAAUUGACGUGUACUAGAGUCGGAUUGACACAGUUUUGGUGUCAAGUUUUCGUUGGGGCAUACAUCGUAUGCGGAUAUUCUAACACCUAAAUUGGUGUGUUGUGGGUUAGUUGUAGUUGGUGAUAGGUUUCGUCUUGAUUCGAGAGACUCCAGGUUGUUGUAGGAAUUCUCGGAACUUUGACUAAAGCUCGGUUGUGGUGUGAAAAUCGGUUAGAGAAACCAUUUCUUAAAGCCUCAGUCCGUGUGGUUCGCAGCUUAGUGUUGCUAGUAGCCUUCGGAUGUUGAAAGUUAUAGGACUCCCUGUGAGUCGGUUCAGGGUCGUUCUAAUUUCGAAUGUCGACUUGUAAAGUUGAUGUUUCGAUAGUAUUGGUUGUGAGCUUCUGGUUCAGUUAAGAGGUAUCAAGGGGCUUGAUACUUCGACGUGUCACACUUCCAACUCGUUGUUGAUAAUGGAUCUUCGGAUAUUUUGCUUUUCUUUUGAUAAGUAUAUUGGCUGCAGACAAUAUACUGUUGAAAGAGUGACGAAAUACUAUCUUCCCGUUUGGGACUUAUGGAUUGGGUCGAUGUGUUCUCUAGAGUGUCUUGUGGGAAAGCUUGAGUGUCGAUCUUUUCUGACCACGUAGCGAGCCUUGGGUUAUUCCUUAGUAGGUUUGGCACAGUUGACUUAUCGUCACUGAUAAAGGGGUUUUGACUCUAGUUCGAGUCUGGGUGUUCGUAGCUCUUAGUUGUGCUUCCCACAGUUAAAAGGUUUGCUUGGUUAGUAGUCUCGGUCUAUUUGCCGGGAGGUUCGAAAUCAGUGAUUGAGUGACUUGAGCCUGGUGGUUGGCCUUGAUUGUCACCAUAUAUGAUAGCGUAUAAGGUUGUGACUCGGCUUAGCGUGCAAAUCUUGGAAGGCUAUACUUGUCCGAUUAUUUGGUGACAGGUACGCCUGGGUCUCAAUGAGAUAGGCAUUUGGUGUUGCUCGGAACAUCGAUCGCUAGGGUCCAUGAUAGGACGGCAGCGACAGGGUCUUGUUGAGACAGGUGUUGAGCAUCACCAACGGUUAGUAUCGCUUUUGUGAUUGGCGACCUAUGCAUCAAGUGAUGGACUUGCAAAGAGCUUUCAGUGGUCUGUUGGUACCGUAUUAAGUUUGAGGAGACAUUGUCUAGCCCAAUUGGUAUCGUCAGUUGGACCUUUUGGUCAGAUGUAAAGUAACGUCUUGGACCUAGGACUAUAGAUUGUCGCAGAUGGCUUUAGGUUGAUGAGGUUUUGACAGUUUGUGUGGUUACUAGUGGAGACUGUGGUCUCCGGUGUGAGUGAUUUUGACUCGAAUUUUAGAACAACGUUUCUUAUUCGCUCGUGGUGAGCAAGUUGACGUUGUUGGCUAGUCAGAGUGUGUCUUUUCGGCCUAUAAAAAUACACUCCAGACUUGUGGUGUUGACUCGUGUCUCUUCUACGUGAACCUUCGACGUAAUCGAGUCGGUUACUGGUAUGCGGAUCAAGGUUGAGUGUAUUUAGAAUUUCUAAGUGGAGAAUUUUUAUCUCAGAGUUGGUAAUUGGGGAUCUGAUAAUCCUAGUCGCGGGAUUGUCUUUGUCCGCAGGUUAUAGGAUAAUGUUGAUCCCGGUGAGUUUUGGUCUGUAGAUUUUGGGUUGUUACGUUUUCCCUCGAUUUGUCCUGGAGGAAUCGUAGUCCUUGGUGUCUCCCCUUCUUCGGAGGUUGAGCUGUCCAAAUGAAUGGUGACUGAUCAGUACUCAAAGGUGAUAUCACAGAGGUGGAAGUAAUAUCCGAAUUUGAUUUUGGUGGGUAUGUGGUCAAGUUUCGGGGACGAAACUUCUUUUAAGGGAGGGAUAAUAUAAGGACUGAGAUUUUGACAGUGCAACUAAACUCUCUGUUGACGAUGUUUAUGUGUGUAAUUUAAUUACAUAAGCACUCGUCAAGUUUCAGGAGAAAAUGAGCUAAAAUGGAGAAGAUACGCAAUUUUUAGUUUUCACUUAAGUGAAUAGUAAUUCUGGUUUUCCGAAGAAGCCGCGGAGUAGAGUUGGCUUCUGGCACGUAUUGGACUCCGAACAUAGCAGUCCAAUAGCCCGUUUCGACCGGUUCAGCUAUUCUGGAACUAAUGACGCUGACGGAUUUUGAGUUUGACUCACGGAUUUUAAAUCAUUGAAUUUAAAAUUUAAAUAGUAAUAUGAAAUUCCUCUAGAGAAAACUAAUUGUAGAAAUCUUACUCUUUAAGUUUUUUAUGCAUUACGUUUUAAACUUGUGCGAAUAAACUGUCUUUUAAAUCUUGGUAGAAAUUUAGUUUUUAAAUAGUAAUAUGAAAUUCCUCUAAUUUAAAUUUCACUUUUAAAUUUUAAGUAUUUAAUUUUUAAAAUUUAAAUUCAUCGUAUUUAGAAAUAAAACUAUUUCUAAAAUUUCUAUAAUUUAAAUUAAUGCAUAAUUUGAGAAACACUAAAACAUUUAAAGUAGAUUCCUAAAUUAAUGCCUAAUAAUUGCAUAAAUUUGGUUAAUCAAUUAAUUUUCUAAAUUAGUGCUAAUUAAUGCAUAAAUUUAGGACCUCAAUUAAAAGUUUCUUUAAAUAUUAUAUUAUUUAAUUACCAAACUAACCUUGAAUAAAAUAAUCCUUUUACCUGCUAAGUAUUAAAGUUAUAUUUUUACUCUCUAUUAAUCAACGGUUAAAUUUUUUUUUUUUUUAUUUUUUUAAAGUACCGAAUCAUUUCUCCCAAAAUAAUUAAUCUGAAAUUUAACUAGAGAAAAUACCGCAACCAAAGAAGCUCUUGAAGCAUAUGGUUUAGAGCUUGAGGAGUGAGAGAUGAUCUGGACGAACAGUGCAGCAACCAAGAAACAUCUUUCCUCUUGACUUCUCCCAUCAGCACUUGAGUGCAGUGGGCCAUGAUGAAUUAAUUUUAGGGAAUCUUUUGAUUAUAUACCUUUUACUCCUUAUCAAAAUUUUUUAAUUUAUUUUGAAAUUAUCAAAAUAUUCUUUCAAAAUCAAAUCUUAUUAGUAAACCGCAGCAAAAAUGAGGAUAUUUGAAGAAAUUAUUUAAAAUCAGUAAGUAUAUUUUGAUCCUCCAGGAGUAAAUAUAUAAGAUAUUUUGAAGUUUUGAAGAACAUAUUAGAUAUUAUUUUGAAAUUUUAUACAUAGGAUGAAAACUUCGAUUAACUGCCCUGUGGCCCAGCGUGUUAUAUGCUUCGUCGUACUGUAUUUGAGAUAUCUAAAGUAUAUAUAUGCUUCGGCAUUCUGUGUUCAAAAAGUCUGACAAAAUUUUUUACUUUGUCAAUUCUACAUUCGGAAAGUUUUACUAUGUUGUUAUAUAAUUUUACCUUUUGUUUGAGAGUAAAUUAUUCGGUCCUCAAAUUAUGAGACACGUGACAUUUCGGUCCUUAAAUUUUAAUUUGUUGUAAUUUUUAGCUUUUAUACUGCAUAUUACAUUUUAGUUCUCGAACUUUAAUUAGAUUGUAACGUCCCAGCCCACUAGCAAAAAUAAUUCGUUGGGCCCAAACACUGGCCCAAAAUGCUUAGCCCAGUUAUUAUUACCAGUGUCUAAGUCUCUUAUAUACCCAAUCAUAUCCCCAUUUCUAUUUUCGAUGUGAGAUUAUUGGGGUGACUCGUCUCGCUAGCCUUGUCAUCCAGACCCUGGCAUAGCCGGCUAUCUUGUUAUUCAGACUCUGGCAUACCCGAUCACCUUGCCUUUCAGACCCUGACUCAGUCUCGCUAGCCUUGUCAUCCAGACCCUGGCAUAGCCGGCUAUCUUGUUAUUCAGACUCUGGCAUAGCCGAUCAUAUUGCCUUUCAGACCCUGACUCAGUCGAGAUUCGCAAUACAUUUUUGGCUGGUGAACCGGCUCUGAUACCAAAUGUAACGACCCAGCCCACUAGCAACAAUAACUCGUUGGGCCCAAACACUGGCCCAAAAUGCUUAAGCCCAGUUAUUAUUACCAGUGUCUAAGUCUCUUAUAUACCCAAUCAUAUUCUCAUUUCUAUUCGAUGUGGGAUUAUUGGGGUGUGACAUAGGUGUAAUUCUAGCUCGACGGAUAAGGCAUGUGAUAUUUUGACUUGCUGAAUUAUUGGAAUUAAAUUUCACAGCCUAUUUUUUUAAAAUAAAUAUGGAUAAAAUAUUAAAUAUCUAAUUAAUGCAGCAUUUUAAAUAUUGUUGCAUCAUCAAAUAUGAUAUUGUUACAAUUCAAAAAGUUCGAAGAUUAAAAAGUUCUAUUUUAACUUCUUUGAUUUGUGCUGCAAUCUGUAAGAUGUUGUAGAAGGUCAUCUCGUUGUACAUUAGCAAGUUUAAAUCCAAAGAAAAUCACUAUCAAUUAAUUGCAUUCUCUGUAUGCCAAAAAGAAUUACUCUCUGAUUGCAUGCACCGUUUGGUUUGGGAAUAGGGAUAGGGAUAGGCUCUUAUCCCCCCCUUUAUACCCAAACGCUAAUUUUUUAUUCGAGAAUAGUAGUUCUCGGUUAUCCCCACCAACACCUUCAUUUUCUAUAUAAAACUUUCUAAUAUUUUUCUUAUCCUCGGGAACAACCCAAUUUUCAUCCAAACGCUAUUUUUCUUAUCCUCAUACUUGUACCUAUCCCUGUAAUAACUAGUUCUUGCUUAUACCCGAACCAAACGGUAUAAUAGAGAAUUAAAUAGCUUA
Molecule: long non-coding RNA, 108347 nt
Filed under: Ananas comosus (pineapple)
Lineage: Eukaryota; Viridiplantae; Streptophyta; Magnoliopsida; Poales; Bromeliaceae
Description: long non-coding RNA (ACOM_LNC002886)
Source: RNAcentral